GUAAAAAAGAUAACCCAACUAGGGUCAAUCAGAUCGCACUUACAGUGAACUCUGUAACAUGAAUGGAGCUAGAAAUUGGAUCAAAGAGUCCUGCUGCUUUGUACAUUUCAAGAACAAAAGCUACACAAGAGGCGGACUUCCCGUCACUGUAUACCCAAUGGUCUUGCUCUGGAGUGUAAGCAGUUCAGCAAAAGAUGACCCCCUCAUUUCAGUUUCGUGUAUUAGAUUAGGAAGAUCCAAGCCCUGUAUGCAACACAAUCGUAAGGUAGCCAUAAAGUAAAGUAAGUGUAAUUACAACCAUAUAACAUUUGUUAACAGAAUGUCAUUCAAGAGACAUUAGAUUUCAGUUGCACCUCAGUGUGCAAAACAAGAUGCAUAACGUCACACAGACAAUUGCAAAUUGAAUGGGACGGUACCUUUGUUCCUAGUCACUUGUUGAGUGCUUCAUUCCAUAUGUUCGCAGCAUAGGCUGGUUGCACUUGGUUCCAUAGUCAUAACAGAAGCAACCUACAAUAAUACAAUGCUUUCUAUAAAAUGAGUGAACGGCACUCCCAUCACGCGAAUAAAGCACCCCACAUGGUGAGCAUAUUACAUGCAUCGUCAGUCAGGCUGAUAGCAACUCUUAAGAAAAAAUGAACAAAGUCUACUAUUUUGCUGUCUUAGUAUCAUAUAGGAGGCCAUAAAAAAUGAAUAAUUGUCAAACUAAGCCAGGUUCUUUUCCAUAACGUUAGCACUCAAUAGAGUCACAUGCGAACCUGCUAUUUGGCAAAAUCACUGUUCAUUUUUUAGCCUUUUGUUUUGUUCAGUUGAAUUCAUUCGAAAUCAUGGCAUGAUUGUCUAAUUUCAACUAGAACGUGUUGUUAGGAUCUAACACACGGCUUAAUAAUAUUUCAAGGUCUAUCAAAGUAAGAGUAAAUUGCUGUUUAGCAGUCAUGUUGAGAAGCAGAAACUAUUUCGUAUCCAGCAUCUAAGAAUCUCAAGGCAUCUACAGAUAUACCUUGGAAGUAACACAAGGCCUUAGUGCUAGAAAAUCGUCUAAGGCAACUGAAUGCACCCACAAAAUAUAUAUAAACAUAUAUGCACGUGUACAAUCUCUGUACCACAUGAGCAUCUAAUGGCGCCGGAUAAUUUGCGCCGAUGGUGUCUAUCCAGCUAAAAAGCAUGUUGUGAUAACCAUAUGGUUUCCCAUUCAUAAUCUGUGCAAACUCCCAUGCAGCAGCUCAUUAAAUUUGGCUCACAUAUCAGGAUGCAGUGGAAGCAACGCAAUGUGGGGAUUUGAGUAAUCUUUGUUAAGCUUGAACUCCCACCAUUUUCCCAUGGUAACACAGCAAUGACAUCUUCUCCCUGCAAUGAUAAGAACAAAACAAAACUUGCAUAAUCUCUAUUACUAUGUUAGACUUCUGUAGCACCUGACCCCUUUACCAACACAAAGGAACAAAGCAUGUAGCAAAAACCCAAAUGUGACCAUAAAUUAAUCAAGGUCUGCCUCAAGUAAAGGACGUCAUUUCAUCAAAUUCUAACCAUAAUCAUCAUCAGUAAGUUAUCGUCUCGUGUGUAAGGAUGGUCCUGAAGUUCAGUAGAAAAAGUUCAGACACUGCAUUCCCUAUGUUACAAAUAUGAUGAUGCUCCAAUAGAGCUUCUAGUAGAAGCCUAAAUAGGAUCAGCUGCAGUUCAACAUGAACCUGAAGCAGCAUGUCAUCGUUUACUUACUCAUCCUCUCUUACAAUCAAAAGUUUCUAUGGGAGCACAAAAAGGAAAGACCUAUCUUAUUAGAGAACAUAAGAUGAGCAAGGAGAUUUAAGGACAUAGGGGCGUGACUAAAGCACGCUUAAUAUGCAAAAUGGAACAAUCUCAAUGGGAACCAUAUUUGUGAGAGAAGAAGUCCAUGAUUCGACAAAAGUCACAUUUAUAAAGUAAUCACACAGAAAUACAAUGCCCCAAAAACCUAAGGGUUCAUGAAAUGUUAGAGAAACACAGCAGAAACCCUACUUGUCCUUUUCAAUAUGUAUGAGACCACACUUUGAUAAUCAGAGGACAUUAAAGCAGUAUUGUAUGAGAGUCUUUAAUGAUGAAUGACAGAUAAGCAUAGUGAAUUUUUUUUUCUUUUUUUUGGUCGGUAAGCACAGGGAAUUAAAGAGAUGGAGAAAUAAUGACUCAAACAAUUCUGGGGGUGUUUGAAACAUUUGAACGUUUGUCUGUUGGAUAUCCCCAUAUAGGAACAAGGUGGACAGUUAUUGUGGAAGACUGGCAUACUUACAGCCAUGUUAAUAUUGUGUCUAUGCAAUUGGUUUAAAACUUUACUUCACAAUUACAAUUGCAGAGACAGCAGCAGGCAAAAAGAUUGGAUGAAAUGUCGAACAUCAAAAGUAAUCCGUCAAUGUAUGGAAAAAAAAGAACAAGGAAUAGAAAAAAAUGCUUAAAAACAAUCGCAAGGUAAUCCUUUUCCUCAAAAGGCUUUUUCUCCACUAGUAUAUAUAAAAAUUAGGCCUUCAAACUGAAAAAGAAAUACACUUACAUGCAUAACCACCCUAUAUCUGUUUCCGAAUUACCUGUUCAUUAUCAUGUCCGGAUUCACCAACCCAAAGCUUUCCUUCAGCAUCCCUUAAGCACACAGCUGUGUGACCAGCGUAUGCGCCACUGACCCAUUUCUCUAGAGUCCCAAAACCACCCCCACUUUCCACGAAUUUUUGAAAUUGCAAUGAAGUCUCCAGAGUGGAUAUCAUCAAUGCUGAUGUUUGUAACCAAGGGCUGGGGACGUUGCUCAAAUGAAGCUCCCAUAUGCUUCUUGAGAAAACCAAUGUUAGAUUUCUCCCCUCACCCGGUAUUUGAAAACAAGGAAACACAUCCCACAGUGCUUGAAGGGUCCCUAGCAUCCCAGCUUGCAUCAGAAAGAUUGACACUCCUCUACUUUUCACCUGCAAUCAAAAUAAUGGAAAAUCAAAGUUUGACAACUCGCCAAUAUGCACAAGCAAGAGCAGAAGAGAAAAAAGAUAAUUGCAGCUUACAUAUUCAAACUCAGCUUUUCCUUCCCACUCUUUGAACUCAAAUGUGUGCUCACGAGAUAAAAGAUACUAGUCCCAUGUCACGCAGUAUGGGGUUGCAAAGACAUAAAUAUCCAUACAUGUCCAGCUAUGGGCUUUGCUGACCUGGAUGAGCAAUCCAAACUCAUGGUUACAAGCCGGAUACCUACAACUAGCUGUUAGUUUCCAUAUUCAGCAGAACUAGAUGCAAAAACAAGGACUAUGAAACAUCAACACGAGGCAGUACCCACCCAAACUGGAAUAGCCUCCAUAAGAUAAUUUGAUUUUACAUCAAACGAAACAAUUGUACUUGUAUGAGCAACCAAAUCACUAAAUCCUUCUUCAACCACUUAAAACCUAGACACAAAAGACUCAAGUGACCAACCAUGGUACCAAUUCGUGGAGCUUAAUCAAAGCACAAACAAGCAGAUGAAAGGAGAAGGAAAGAAAAAAACUUAGCUAGUGACGAAAUCCACUAGAAACAUAUUGAGGUAAGAACUGAAAAAUUCCAUCACUCAGAUUCCAACAUAAAUAACCAGAAUGAGAAAAGAGGAACAGUUGGGAUCAAGUGCAUGGCCCAAACAUCGAGGAUAUUCUCUAACGUCCUUUAAAUAAGUGAUUUUCUUUCACAACUCUAUAGAUAAGUAUGACCGCACACUUCAGUUGGUAAGAAAAAUACCGUAAGUAGAUAGAAACUCUAUCCAGUUCAGAGCUUUGAAUCCAUUAGAAAAAAUCGACCUCAAAUUAACUAAAAUAGAAAGCUCAAACUAAGUUAAUCGGAAAUUGGGAAAAGCUGCCAAACGAUGGCCAUUAGACCCCAUCAAACAAACUCCUACAGCCUCACAUCUCCUAGAAUUAUCACACAAUCGAACUGCAGUGAAUUGAAUUAAGCACUAACAUUCGACCAGAGAACCUUAAAAGCUCGUGAACAGUGACUGUCUCUCCACAUUACCAAGCCGCCACAAGCUCAAACAUCCCAAAAUCUUCCAGAAUCGCACUCAAACACAAGUAUUUCCAUUCCAUUCCGUUCCCCACUAUUCACCAAACAAAAAAGAAGACUUGGAAUCAUCACUCCAGUCCAUUCCUUUCCCCAUCAUUUCCCGAUUUCAUUCCAUUCCACCGUACCAAACCCGACGUAAUAGUCAACCAGAAAACCUCAUCUUCCAAAAUGGCACUCAAAACCAAAAGGAGACCAAGCAAAAGCGACGCGAUAAAACUAAAGAACGGACCUUGAUGUGAGGCGUGCCUCCGCCGAACUUGCUCCCGGUGUUGUUGUGGAACUCCCACCAAGCGGUCGGAGGAAAAAACGGCGCCGAGGAAGGCGGGCAACAGGUGCAGGGGACGGCGAAGGGCGUUGAGGAUGGGCCAGGACAGCUGCUUCGGCAAUAGAGGGAGUAUGUUCUCCAUGGUGGAACGGUGGUUUCGCGGCUCGAGAGCGCGGGUUGAGCAGAGAGGAGAACGUGAAGAGGAAGAGAAGUAGCAGAAAUUGGCUGACGAGAAGCCAUGGAAACUGGGGGGGGAGAGAGAGAGUCAUCUCUCCAGCGACGGUCCACUUCUUUAAGUGUCUCACACUGUAAAAGGUGUAGGGGCAAGAGGAGCCACUCGUUUUGAUUAUAUCCUUGGACGCUUGGUAAUUUAGGGUGCUUAACCAGUUAAAUGAAACAUUAAAGCAUCAUUGGGGCUGAAAAUAUUAUGUAUUCUUAUAUUAUGUAUUAAUGUUGGCAAAAAUCUUAAAUUAUAUCCAUCCUGACAUUAAUGUCUCGAAUUAGUAUUGAUUUCGUGGCAAACAAAAGUUUAAGAUUUUUAGAGACGAGAGGUAUUUCCACUUCAAAUAUAAGUUUAAGUGUAGAGAUGAGCAAUUAGAAGUCUCCACAAAAGAUGUAACCCUAUGGGAAGAUAUAUUGCCUUCCCACUCUCUUAUAGCUUGCCGUUAAACUGCGGCCAUUGAUAGCGUCAAAUCGGCUUAUAUUGCCUACCCCCACCCUCUUAUAUUGUUGCAACAACUUUAGCUACACCACCUUUUCAGGACUUGGUUAACAUCAAGAGUAUUCUAUAAAUGGUGUAUAUUUUCAUUUUGUAUGAAGCUAUAUGCAUGUUGUUAGUACGAAUUUGACGUUUAGCACGUUUUCACAGUAAUCAUGCAAUCUCCCUUAUUGUUAUAUUGUGUCUUGAGUUUGAGUAGAGGUGUCAAAAUGAGUUAUUGACCCAUUUAUGGACUCAUUUAAACAUAAAUGGGUUGUUAAUGGGUCAAGCCUAUUUCCUAAAGUACCCAUAAUGAGUUUUAAUGGGUUAAGACUGAGAUAUAUGAAUCUUAAAUGGGUCAAAGAACUUGCCCAUUUAAGACCCAUUUAUCAACCCACUAAAAAUAAACUCAUUUAUUUUAAGCCAAAACCUCACAAUCUCUCUCUUCUCUCUUUAACUUUACAAAAUAUUUAAAAAAAAAACCAAAAUUAUAAUUAUUUUUUUAUUUUUCUUUUCUUUUCUUUUCUUUUUUUCUUUUUUCUGUUUUCUUUCUUCUUCCUCUGGUCGUCGGCACUGCGAUGGCCGGCGACCGGCCAGGUGAGCCUUGGGCUCGCUAGAUCUGGCGAGGCGGAGGCCUCGCCGACGUCCAGCGAGACUCGAGCCUCACUAGAUCAGGUGAGGGGGCGAGCUUGAGGCUCGCCGGCGUCCGGCGAGGGGCGAGCUCAAGCUGGCUUGAUGUUGGCGAGCCUCGAGCUCGUCGGAUCUGGCGAGGCGGAGGCCUCAUCGACGUCUGACGAGGCUCGGGCCUCACCAAUCUGGCAAGACUUGGGCUCACCAGCGUCGGGCGAGCUCGAGCUCCCUGGAUUUGGCGAGCCUCAAGCUCGUCAAUGUUGGCAAGUUGGGCGAGCUCCAGGUCGCCUGUGGCUUGCCGCUGACCAUCAUUGUGGCCAGCAGCCGACCAAAGAAGAAGAAGAACAAAAAAGAAAAAAGAAAAUUAUAUUUAAAAAUAAAAAUAAAAAUAAUUAAAAAAUUAAUUUAAAAAAAAAAUUAAUAUUCGAUUUUUUAAAAUAUAUAUUUUUAAAAUUAUAAAAAAUGUCCAUUAAAUUUGCGUUGUAUAAAACCAUUUUAGCAAUACCAUUUUAUAUAUAUAAUAAGUUUUCUUAAAUUUAAUUAAAUGGGUCGGGUAUGGAUCGAAAAUUUUGUAUUGCAAUAAACGGGUUAAAUGGAUCGAUUUAGGUCGGAUCAUUUAUGACCUGAUCCAAACCCGACCCGAUCCACCCGUUUAACAGGUAUAAGUUUGAGCCCAUGUAUGGGCCCACAACUGAAGAAUCUAUUGCUCAAAGUCACGCACAAAAUGCAGUGUUCUUUUAUUAAUUAAUGCGCACGCAAGUCUUGGACUUUUUUCUCCACUUCAUUAAUGCAAUGCAUGCACGAAUCUCCUCCUGUGUCCCUUUAUCAUUUUUCUCAUUUUUGGUUCGAAUUCCCUUUUGUCAUUGAAGGAGCUGAACGUCCAUUUGUCGCCUUCACUCCAGAGCGCCCCCUCUUUCGGACUCCCCCUGGACCAGCGAAAUGGGAAAAUUCGGCGCCAAAGUCAACGUUGGAAACGCCGGCGACGGCGACGUUCUUGAGGCCUAGCCUCAAGAUUCGAGUGGAAUUGAGAGGGUGCUUCCAUUCCAGACAGCGGUGGAGAGCCGUGACGCUCACGGAGUGAUCGAGACCCAGAGAUUGGAUCCAAGCGCAGAGGCACGCGAGUCUUUUUCGCCAUUUUCAUGGAAUAGGGGUGGACGUUGGUGAUCUGGUUGGGGAAAGGAUGGAGCGUGAGGAGGAUGGUCAGGGACGCAUAUAGGAACGGACUCGACUUAGGGUUCAGGAACGGGUUUACAAAUCGGAUUGAGGUUGCGAAAUGGACCUACAUCUUUCUAGGAUGGAGAAGUUUUUUUCAGAAAUUGUCAGACGAUUUCAGGAAUUUGAAAGAAAUGAGGAGGGGCUAGAGCACAGGGGGAAUUUUAAUUUAUUUUGGCCAAACGUUCGAGCAAUAGUUUCGAAUCACUAAGGAGUAUAUAUAAAUUUCAGUACGGUGACCUCUUUGGUUCAGAUUGGAAAAGUAGUGUGCGGUGGCCAAUGGAUAAUGAUCUCGCUGCCCUCUAGCGAUAUGCAAGGGCCUGGCAGUGCAAUAUUGUGGGCUUAGUAGGGCUUAUUUGCUGGAUAUGCAUCGAUUUCUGCCAAAUAUAUGGCAACAACCGAGUGGCAGAGGUUGUUCUCAUGGGGACCACCAGGGCCAUGGUCGCCGUCCCCUGGGAUGAUUAAUUUAAACAAUUUGUUGAAUUGCUUAAUUCGACAAUUUCGUAUUCGAUAGUGUUGACUCCGUAACUUGCUUUCUCUGAUGAUAAAUGACCAAUAUCAUGCGUUUAGACCACAGUAAGCAUCGGCUCAGAGUCAGCGGUAACAAGUCAAUGAUUGACGCCCUUGAAAGACUUCUAUCCUUCCAAAGUCUAUUUUGACUUAGGCAAUUCCAUUUGUUUCUUCACAUACAUGUUCAAAUUUUUGAGUCAGACUUUCUCAUGUGCUGAUGACUUAAUUACUGCAUGGUUAUAUUAUUAAACUAAAUAAUUUGAUAGAUUAUGAUUGAUCUUAUUAAGCCAACCGCAUUUGAUAUUUUCACGUUAUUUGGCAUACAAAAUGUCGAUAUAAAUAGUGUAAUUCCGGGGGCCGAAGUUGUAAUUGGCUCAAAGGCGAACACGUCUUCAUGAGUAACACCGUCAAACUCCUUUUGAGAUUCUUGGAAUGUCUCCUACUUAGAUAACUCGAUCAGUUUCCUCUUUUUUCUAAUAGUAUAAUUUCCCUUUAUUAAUUUCCUCUAUUUAGAUCUAGUGUAUUUCUCUACUAGUACUUCAGCUCCAGGUGAAAUAAGGGGAUUAAAUUUAUCUGGUCGAUUAACUAUCAACAUCAAUUAAGAUUUAAUUUCUUUCUAUCUCUUUUCGUAAAUAUUUAUACACGAAAUUCUUAUUGUGUAUUUUUAUCAAUAAAUUAUUUUCAUUAUUUAAUAAUUCAUAUAUUUUACCCAAAAAAAUGAUUUAAAUUAAUUUUUUAAAUACCAAUUGUUCCCACACNNNNNNNNNNNNNNNNNNNNNNNNNNNNNNNNNNNNNNNNNNNNNNNNNNNNNNNNNNNNNNNNNNNNNNNNNNNNNNNNNNNNNNNNNNNNNNNNNNNNUUCUCUAGAAUAAAUAAGUUUCUUAAGAAGGUAUUUCACAAUUUCCAAGUUGUCUUUGAAUUAAUCGAGUCUUUCUUAAAUAUCAAUCUACAUAUUGGCUUUCUAAUUGUUGAAUGGGUUUAGUACCCAUGGAUAAUAAGUAAUGCUACAAAGACCUUAGAAGACAAAAAGGAUUUUCACCCUAUAUGAUGUCAUGUGUUCUCAUUGCCCUAAGAACAUAUGUUAGCUUGUCAUACUAUCUAAUGGGCUAGGAUGCAAAAGUCACAAUAUAGCCGUAUGUAGUAUGGCCAUUAAAAAUGCAGAAUAAACAUGGUUUCUUUUUAUUAUUAUUAUUUUUUUUACGAAUAAAGUGAUUCAUUUAUUCAAAACCAUAUUGGAAAUAUAUGACAUGAAUGAUAUAAAAUGUAACAGAAAAAGAAAUUUCUUGAAAUUUUGCAAAGUCGGAGGUGCCGCUCAAAUCGAGAAGUGCGGGUGGUCCCAGCAAAGUGACGUUAAUGUACAAGAAACAAAAGGUAGGAAAAGUAAUAAGAGCAACGUGCAGAAACGACGACGGCUUGGCGUGGAACGAGCAUGGCUUUAAGCAAACACAGAAACAGCACAUCUCGCGAUAUUUUGAUGUCGCGUAUUCUUCCUCUUCUUCUUCUUUUUCUAAACUGAUAAGGCUGCUCCGGAGCCUCUCUUCAUUUUCGUUUUUUUGUUUGUUUUUUCCUCCUCAUUUUUCCAACCACAUCCUCACCAUAACGCGCCUUCUCUCUUUUGUCCCCUAGCUCUCCCACUUUCUUUCGCCCGACUCUCUCUUCUUGUCUUGCUUUCUUUUUUUGGUUCCCGCCCAAACCCUUAAUGAAAGAUUAAUUGCUGUUUAGUAUUCCAAAGUCUAGCAUUAUCGGGCCCCAUCAUCGACCUAUCAAGUUCGUUAAACUCAGUCAUCAAUGGACUGACUAUUUUGUUGAACACGAGCUGCACCACCAUGGCAAGAAAAAGAAAAGUAAAAACUUAGGCAAGGGCUCAUUGAUUUCUAACACUUGAUCAUAAAAAUUUUUGAAAAGAAAUUUUAAUAUCACUGCUUUGAGGAUGGAUGCACUCUCAACAAGUGAACCCGAGUGAUCGAAUUCAAUAAUACGACAGAAUCAUCUCAAAGAUUUAAGUUUAAUAGUUAUUUUAUACGGCGAUUAUGAUAGGAACAUGAUAAUUUCGAGCGCCUGCAAUGUGAUGUCUUGAUGUAUCAUAGGAAUGUUAAUUAGAUAUGCAAACAGUAAAGAGGCAACGGCAUACCGGCAAUGACUUGGGUAGUAACAACGCAUCUAUGAGGCCUAUCCCUUAUUCGAUUUUUUUUUAUUUCUAUUUGUUUUUGUUCAUGUUUUUUUUCUCGAACCGCUCUAAUAUGAAUUAAAUAGUAGACAUCUUAAUAUAAAUUCAACAAUAGAAUUCUCCAUUUCAUUUUUGAAUUUGAAUGAGACUUUUUCUCUAAUUUUUUUACUAAUUCAUUUAGAUUACAUUUUAUAGUAUCACUAAAAUUUUAUUAUGUAAUUUAACUUAUUGUUAUAUCAUCCAUAUAAAAAUCAAAAUAUAAUCUAACUAAAUACAAUAAAUAAAAUCAAACAAAAUCGAAAUGCUCAUUAGAGCAUGGGAUAAUCAUAUUAUCGACAUUGUAGAAAACAGAAAUUCUAAUAAUUUUUAACUACUAACUAAAAUAUGUAAUGUGUUUGUAGGUAGUAUCUCAUUCUGUUUUCUUCUCACCCACUAGCUCUAUGCGCAAUUAUUGAGCCGUGACCAUGUGAAUGCUAGACUAAAGCCUCCCCUCAGCCGGGUUUUUUCCUGCUUUUUAUGUCCUUACCUUUUUCACUAAAUCUUUGCUGAAGAUAUGGUCCAUUAUGAGGAGGUGCUAGUUUUUUUCUAUGUUGUGUCCACUUCUGACCGGAGAGGACUUACUAUUCGGAGAGCGGGCUGCGUCCAAAACUUUCACAAGAAUUGCCAUUUAACUUCACCGCGGAAAAUUUAGGGUCAGGUCGUGUAGGGUUAGUUCAUAAAAAUUCACAAUCAGGGCCGCAAUGUUAAAUGUGAAAUAAUGCAAUGGAGAGAGAGAGAUUGUGGGAUUAUGAAUGUACUUUUAUUAGGGGUCAAAUUAUCGAUGAAUCUGAUCGUUAAAUUUCAUGAAAAUGGGAAUUGGACCUUUAAAUGAAAAUUUAUGUAUCGACAAUAAUUAAUCUUACAUAUUAGUAAGUAAUUGUUUCUCUUUAAAUCAUCCCUUAGUUGAUUUUUUUUUUCUUUUUGGUCUAAAGAUCUAGACUGCAUACAAAAUUGGUCUUGUGAAUUCAUUAGUACAGGUAAUAUUCUAAAUUUGAGUCAAGAUUUAUGCAAAGUAAAUAAGCAACACUACUCACGAAGAUUUUCCUAUUGAUUUCUAGAGGCAAAAAAGAGCAAUGCUAUGCAUAGGAGAACUGGACAUAUAUAUAUAUUAAGAUGGAUAGAAAAUGAUAAGGAAAAUAGUGCGGUAGCUCUCUUAAGAAAAUUUUGUUUUUAAUUUUUUAUUUUCCUUGGAAAGUCUAGAGAAUUUGGCAAUUAAGUAAACCAUAGUUUAACAUUCCAUAAUAAUUUUCCACCUCAUUCGGUGCACUAAUUUUUUGAUAUAUUUACAUAUUUAGCACCAUUUCGGGCAAGACAAAGAAAGAUAAGUAGGCUCAAAAGUUUAUCGGGUGCACGUUCGCAUGAGUUUCCUCGUGGUUAAAGCUGAAAUUGGCUCAAAGGCGAACGCGUGUUCUUGAGUAACACUGUCCCACUCCCUUUGAUGACGAUGACAUCAGAGACAAUUACCCGACACUAUUGAAAAGAGAGAGAGAGAGAGAGAGAGGGGGGGAAGAGGUCUUAUCGUGGCUUCCAAAAGAGGCCACUUGAAAUCUCUUAAAAAAAGUGAAAGUUAUGCGAGGUGGAGUGACAUCCAUAUAAAUAGACAAAUUGCUCAUUAUUUUGUUAAUAGAUUAUUGUCUAGAAAUGAAAAAGAAAAAAAAGAUGUAAAUAGUGAAGCAAUGAGGCAGCAAUAAAAUAGGAAACUUGUCAACCCCCCAUCCAUUAUAUUAAAUUAAAAUAUUAUUAAGUCCAUUGUCGGUCUAGAAAAUAAUUUGCACAUUCCCGAUUAAGAGUUGACACGUGGAAUAAUUGACUGGCAAAAACAACUUCAAACCCACACGUCACUUAUUCACGGUAAAUGUGUAUUGAGGUUUUAACAUCGACUAUGCUUCCAACAAUAUCCAUUCAAUUACUAGGUUUUUCGGCUAACAAUGUUUCUAUAUUUAGUUUAAUAUAUUCAAAUAAUAAGACCAAACAGAUAAUAUAUUCGAAUGUUCAAAAUUUUUACCCAUGGGGGUUAAUUAGGAAUGCCAACUAUUUAAUAAAACAUUGAAAAUAUUAUUAUUUCGUAGUAUCUAGAGAAUGAAAAUAAAUAAAAAAAGUCAAAGUCAUGCGAGGGUAGAGUAAAAGCAAUCAAAUCAUUAAAGAGAGAAAAAAUCAUUUUUAUUUAUUAAAGUAAUAGGUUAUAGUGUAGAAUGAAAACAAAAAAAAAAAUAUUCAAAACAAAAAGAAGAGUAAAAGCAUGCGACGACACCUAUCUAAUGUGCCAUUGCUCCAGGAGGCCUCCACGUAGCACCCGAGUUGUCUAUUCCACCGUCCAUCUCGCCGACACGACGGACGGGAAAAAAACCCACGCCGGACCCCCCCACCCCCGAAACGGCACAUGUUGGUGUCAGCGGGAGCGUCGGACCGGGCCCCGCCCCGGUUCACGAGGAUCGCCACCGAUGAUGUGGACAUGUCGAGAAGUGGGGCAGGGUCAAAGCAACGGACGGCUUGGAUUCAGCGGGGGCUUGGUCGUUCGGCUUGUCGUACGCCUUUUCAUGUGAUCACGUGAAUUGGGCGUACUACGGUGAGGGGGAACAAGGGGAGAGGGUGGGGCCCGUUGGGCCGGGGAAUGUAGUUAGGCCAUGAUGAUGGACGGCUGGAUGGACGGAUGAGUAUUUGGUUGAUGAAAAGGAGGAAGCGCCAUAAAUCGGUGAUUUCUCGGGGUCCUGAUUCCACGCAAUUGACAGUGUGAAUGUGAAAAUUGAUCCACAACGAACACAAUCAACGCCCCCUGACCCAGCAUCUAGUGGGGAGAAGGUUGUCAUUGAUGAUUAGGCCUUGUAAAUUGGUAUUUUCAUGGUUUGAAUAUAUUUGAUAAAUUUACCUAUACAAAAGUGCUACAAUAGCCGAAGGGGAGGCCAACCGUAGUCCAACCGUAGUCCAACAGAGAUCCAUAUUAGUUUGACGUGAUAUUGCUAUGGUUGUUAUAUUUGUUGUCCGACGAUGAUAUAACGUGAAAUUAUGUUUACGAUUACGCACUUCUGUAUUGAGCCGUGAUUUCCGUGCUUUUUCUGGCGGUAAAAUAUAACAUAUCUGAGACUUUCGACAGUGUAGUUGAUUAGAAUUCAAGACUUUGACCAAGUCCAAGUCUCUCCCUUUCUUCACCAAAACCGGUUCAUUCCCAUUUCCAACAGCAGGCGAAUGCCCUUGUUUCUGUAGGAAUUGGGUUACUGCCUUCAACCAGAGGAAGAGUCUUUGCUCGAUCCCUGGAUGCUGACUGGUGCUUCAGAUUCUCAAGAGCAGUUUCUUAGCUCUACUUCUUGAUGUGCAUCUUUGCCACUUGCAUGCAUCCGAAUCUUCUUUUUCAGUCCUAACUGGUAUGUUGCUUCGUCCUCAUUCCGUCUAUAAGAAUCAAAUAAAGACUCUCCAACUGAACAUCCUUAUUUAACUGGAUCAACAAGUAGAUCUGACGGAUUCUAUACGAAAUGAAGGGUUAAAUGACCUGAAUGGAGGUGGGUGGACGUAACUGCGAGAUGCAAUAAACUUCUCGGAGAGAGACCAAGAAACAGAGAGAGAGAAGGGGCGAGAAGAGAGGGGGGAAGAGCGACAACGGUGGAUUGCAGGCCGUCAAAAGGGUCGAGCUACGCCAUAACUCGCCAUUUCCGAAUACUAGAAAAGAUUUUUUUUAGCUCUAUUUCUCAUGAAUUUGGGUUUUUUGUUUUGAAAGUUCCUUUCCGGAUCUACUUUGGAUUUGCUUUGCCGGCAACGAUUCGGUCAAAAUCCAACGAUAUUCUGAUUCCUCACAUCUCCUUGUAAUUCUAGAAUUAAUUUUUUUCGAGUUGAUAUCCAAGUUGUCUUUGAGUUGAUCGUCUGGGUCUGUUUAAUAUUAAUUUGCAGUUUGGCCUUCCCGCUUGAAUACUCGUGGAUGUUAUUACUUGCUUGAGAAUAAUGCUAUGCGCGCUAGGAAAAUAUAAACAAGAUUGGUACUUCAUAUAAAUGGGUGCGCUCUCUUUGCCCACAGGUUGAUAAUCAAGACGACACAUGCCACGAGUUGAAGAUACAGCCUGGGAAAUUCGUGAUUAGACUGGAGGCAAGAAAUGGCGUUGUCCUUACUGCAGAUGAUACUCUGGAUCAGUGCACAAGAGUGAAAAGUCACUUUCUUAAACAACCAAAAGAAGGGAUUGCCUCUUGCGCAAAAGUGCCGGAUCACAUCAGCACACUAAUGGGAUUGAUACACAAUCAGGUGGCUUUAGUACUUGUGGUAGCUACAUUAUCUGCUCGAGAAUGAUGCUAUUCACUCUAAGAAGAUAUAAAAAAAUUGGAGACAAUAUAUAAUGGGGUGCACUCUUUUUGCUUGCAGGUUCGUAACAAAGAGGAUGUAGCCUGGAAAUUCGUCGAGAGACUGGGGGAUAACAAGUGGCGUUGUCAUCACUGCACGGAAGAAUUCUCUGGAGACCUUACAGGUGUAAAAGGUCACUUGCUUACAGUCCCAAAUGAAGGGAUUUCCGUUUGCACAGGAGUGCCGGACCACAUAAGAACGCUAAUGCGGUCGUUACUUGAUGCGGUGGCUGAAGAAGAGAGCAGAGGAGCCAACAGUCAAUCCUCCAUGGAGCCACAAUCACGUCACAUGCCGACUCAACUGUCGCCUUCAUUUUCACCAGAAAGCCUCGAAUUCUUGAGACCGUUAUUACCAACACCACGGAGGGCGACCAAAAUGGCAAACUUCACCCAACAGGAUGUCAUUGGGUCAAACUCUGACCAACAAUCACAAGCGGAGCGUCAGCUUCGUCAGAGUUCAGCAAUGCCAUUAUUGGUGCAAAGUAGUCAUGGUAUGUCCACGUGAAGUUUCUUUACAUUCAUCUAGGCGUGAAGAAAAAAAAUCUAUUACAUUUUUUAUAUAAUUAACUCUAUCUAAAAUGACUCAAACUUAUCUAUUUCCACAUCGCAUCAAUUCUAAAUUACAGAGGUAUCAUUGCAUUUUCUAUAUGUCCGAUAUCACUAUAUUUUUACAGCACAGUUUAUUUCAUUUAAAUAUUUAACUUACGAGCAUGCUGAUUUUCGUUGUAGAAAUCUCUCUCUGUGAUCAAGUUCUAGAUGUUUGUUUUAUCUGUACCCAUGACUUGAUUUGAAAGUCCCAGUGUUGACUGAUCUUACGCUUGAAUAUUUUAGUGCAACCAGCUUUGGUGUCCCCUCAACAUCAAAGUGUUCUGCGUCAAUCUAUUAAUCAUGAGAUGAGGGAUACACAGCAGAAUCCAACCAUUCCUCUGGAUAAUCUAGAUACCACCCGGCAACCUGAUCUUCGUGACUCUCCACCAGAGAAUCUUGUUGAAUCUCGUGAUGUAAUUGUAAACGCUCUUGACGAAAUGCAAACGAAUGAACAGCAUAAUCCAACAGUGGGAUCAUCAUUACAAAAUGAUUUAUCCCUUGAUGUGGACCAUACAAAUCGUUUACUGGAUUGGAGUCAACCGUGUGCAGUGGAAGGCGUUCCUCUAUUCAGCAAUACAAGUCCGACCAACGCUGUUGAGCAUCCCGAUCAGCUUUACCCUAGGUGUGAUGAGGAAGAUGGAAAUGAUACCCGUUUGUUCCCCUCGCAAACUCCAAUGGACAUAGAUCCCUCAAUUGCCUCACCGCAUUCAAGUGACUCUCAUGAUAAUUUGCAAGUUCUAGAAGCAGCAACAAAUGCAAUAGCCCCAUCAUCAUCACAAGGUAUGUCUGGAUUAAUCUAAAUUGUUCCUCUUGUUCUGUUGGAUUCUUAAAUAUCCCAGAUUAAUUUAUCGAAAUCUAACAUAUGUUUUUAUACAUUAGAUUUGAACAGGGGUUAUCCAAUCAUGACCGCAUGGAGCAUCAAUGCCAAUGAUGAAGAGAUAAGAAAGCUCAAAAGAAAAGUGGAAGAACUUGACGACAAAGAAGCUGACGUAAAGGAGCAGAUGGAGAUAGAGUCUUCUUCCUCAGUUCGGAAGAAGCCGAGGAAAACAGUUGAGAAAUGGCUGGAAAAAACAGAAAGAGCAAGAAAUAAUUUCCAAAUAAUUGGCCAAGCCAAUGGGGAAACUUUGCCUCCGAAGGAACAGGUGGUGACAUUGACGAGAGAAGUGGAAGAGCUCAUAAAACAAGCGCUUCCACAAACACUACUCAUAGAGGAGAGAGAUGCCAAAGGAGUCAAAUUUUUGGAACGAAAGCUAAUAGGUGAAGCGAUUCAUGGGAACAUCGAGUUUAUUUGGGGCCAUCUGAAGAAGAAUCGUGCAUGCAAAUUGGGUAUUUAUGGAAUGGGUGGUGUGGGGAAGACAACUAUCAUGAAGCGAGUACAUGAUAGACUUCUAGAAGAUGCAACCUUUGAUGGUGUGGUUUUUGUCACCGUGUCCAAAGAUUUCAGCAUUUCUAAGUUGCAAAUUGAUAUCAGGAAGGAGCUAAAAUUUGACGUUAAGGAGGUUGAGGAUGAGGAGAAACGAGCAGCAAUGUUGGCGGAGCAUUUAGAAAGAAGGAAGAAUUGUGUAUUGAUUCUUGAUGAUGUGUGGGAACACCCACUUCUUGACCUUAAAGAGGUGGGAAUCCCUGAUAGUGCAGAUGGAUUUAAGUUGGUCUUAACCACUAGAUCCUUUAAUGUGUGCUGCCAGAUGCGAUGCCAAGAGAAGAUAAAAAUUGAGCCUCUAUCUCAAGAAGUAGCCGAGAGAUUGUUUCUGGUGGAGCUUGGAUCCAAAGGGCCACCUAAUUUGGAAAUUGCGAAGUCCAUUGUUAAAGAAUGCGUAGGCUUGCCAAUUGGAGUAAUCACGAUGGCAAGAAGCAUGCUAGGAGCGACUGAUGUGUUUGAAUGGAGGGAUGCCUUGGAGAGAUUGAAAGAAUCGAGUAUUGGGCUAAAAGAUAUGGAGAACAAGGUGUUAAUGAUUCUGAAAUUCAGUUAUGAUCGCCUUGGUGAUCCCGAUGUCCAACAGUGUUUCUUAUCUUGUGCACUUUAUCCAGAAGACGAAUUGAUUUAUAAGUUCGAGAUGGUAGAAUUCUUUAUCGACCAAGGAUUAAUUGAUGGAUUGAAUACAAGGAAGAAACAAUACGAUAGAGGCCUCACCAUAUUGAACAAACUGAUAAAAGUUUGCCUAUUGGAAGAUGAUGGGGACUAUAUGAAGAUGCACGAUUUGAUUAGAGACAUGGCAUUGCAAAUCAUGAGUGCGACUUCAAUUGUAAAAGCAAGAAAGGGAUUGAAGAGGAUUCCACUUGAGGAAUAUUGGACGGAUGCUUUGGAGAAAGUGUCUCUAAUGAAAAAUAACAUUAGCGAAUUUCCGUUGAACUUGUCACCAAAUUGCCCCAAGCUAUCAACUCUUCUAUUGGAUUAUGGCUUGCAUGAUGUGGUCAUACCUGAUUCUUUCUUCAAAAAUUUAUGUGGGCUAAAGGUUCUAAAUCUAAGUAGAAUUGAUAUGACAGAACUUCCAAAUUCCAUCUCAGACUUGGUAAACUUGAGGGCACUAUUGCUUGGAGAUUGUAUGGAAUUGCGCCGUAUUCCUUAUCUAGGGAAGCUCACAUCUUUAAGAAAGUUGGACGCUAAAAACUGUAGGAGUCUUGAAGCGCUCGAGGGUUUGGAAAAGUUGGUGAACUUGAGAUACCUUGACCUUAUUAAAACACGUAUUGAGAGAUUGCCCAAAGGAACGUUGGACCAUUUAUUAAACUUGCAAUAUCUUAAAUUUCCGGCGGUAAAUGAAGAAGACAUUACAAAAUUGGGGGCAUUGGAGACAUUUGAAUGCUACCUUAAAAAUGUGGAUGAUUUUGACAAGUGUGUGAAGGCUAUUGAGCAGAGUAAUAACACUCGCUAUUACAACCUCAUCGUGGAUCUAGGAAAACCAGAGUUUUUUGUGCAAGUAAGUGAUGAUACUCGAUGUGGGAGUUUUGAGAAUUUGGGGAGGAGAGUCAUCAAUAGGGACUGGGGUCAUGCCAUUGUGAGUGUGGGAGGCGAAUGCACCGGCAUUUUUAUUUUGAUUCCCCGAGACGUGCAGGCAAUGAUGAUGAAAAAAUGCAACGGUACAACAAAUUUGUCUAGCAUAGGUCUGCUUAAAUACCUCGAAGAGCUAGAAAUAGAAAGAUGGGAAAACAUAGGGGUGCUAUGUGGAGAACGAGACGAAGAAGUAAUUAACAUCCACGACUCCCUCGCCCGAACCCCUAUGUCUCUCCUCUUCCCGAGCCUUAGGGUUUUGAAAAUAUGGAAAUGUCCGAAGCUGAAGUAUCUCUUUGGGCAUGGGUCUAAAUCCAACCUUCCGCAUCUACGAAAGAUUGAAAUAAAUGAAUGUGAGGAAAUGGUGGGGAUAAUAGCAGCAGUUACAUCCCCACCACCACAUCUGCUCCCAUUUUUCCCUAGUCUGGAAUCGAUUAAUGUUGAAUCCUGUGGUAAAAUGAAGAGAGCGGUGGAAUCUGAGUGGAUGCCCCACUUCCCUAAUCUGAGAUGGAUCGAAGUAACCGGAUGUGAGACGAUGGAUGAGAUAAUUAGAGGUCCUCCACCAUACUUGCUAGUUGAAGGGAUUCCUCUCCAAUCUCUUAUGGUAAAAUGUUGCGAUAACAUGAGAAAGUUGUUUCCGCAUGAAUGGCUGCUCCAUCUUCGAAAUCUGCAAGGUAUCGAUGUCUGUAACUGCGAAGGAAUGGUGGAGUUGAUAAGUGGAGCAGGACAACGCCAAGAAGGAAGUAUAAUGACUCCUGUAAACAACACCCCUUCAUCCUUCCAGCCUUCAAUUUCUCUCCCAAAGCUGGAUUUGUUGUGCUAUACGAUCUACCCCAGCUGAAGAGCAUAUGCGAAGUACCAAUAAGGUGCGAUUCCAUGAAAGAAUUGACGGUGUCCAGAUGCUCAGACCUGAAGGGGAUUCCUUUGCAACUGCGAUUGCGUGAUAUUGAGGAGCUUCCGUUUUUUUUUUGGUGGAAGAUGAGGAAAGGUGGAAGACGUUGAUGUGGGAUCAUCCCGAUGCUCAAGCUAUUCUUCAACCUUAUCUCAGAAAAGGGGAAGAUGCUAUAGGUUAAUGAGUUUAAUUGAUAUACGAUUGCUUCACUUCUUAAAAGUCCUUACAAAGAUGUAGCUUUUCUGUCUAUAUAGUCAUGCAGCUCUCUAACAGUGGCCUUUUGCAGAAUUGGAGGCCAAGGGAAAGUAUCUCCAGUGACUCUGCUCUUGAAGAAAGCCCUGUUGCUCAAUCAUGCUUUCCUGCAAAAUCGACUCGAGUUACCAUAUGAAUUGACUUUUUUCGUGUGGUCAUGCUUUGUGUAAUUUGAACGCGCUUGCAUGUUUUAUUGACUACUGGAAAUGAGUCAAUUUGGUCGAUAUUUCAGUUUAGUCAAAAAAACAACAGAUCUAAGGAUUUGGGAAGCCAGGGGACUAGUAGAGUUUGUUUCCUAUCUUAUCUUAUAACUGAAAGGACAAUUUAUUCAUACAUGCUCAGGUUGAGGAUCAGCUUUACGUAUAUCUAGAAUAUGCACAUCAUUAUUGUCUUGUCAGGCGGUAGGGGAAAGUCUUUCCCCCAUUUGGUUUUGCUCCCAAGUGAUGCUGCAAGUUUACCGUAUUUUCCCCUUAUGGUUGUUUGUAAUUUCGUGGAAUGUUUUUAGAAUAAUUUUGCAUCUCCUCUCUAUAAAAUGCAAAUAACCGAUGAAAUAUGUUGAAAAUAUCUCAUACUGAUUGUUUACAAGGUUUUAAUGGGCCUUACAUUUAUAUAAUUUACCUUCGCUUGUUCAAAUUUUUAGGUCGAACUUUCUCUUAUGUGCAAAUAGCAAUUUCUACAUGAAAUGAAGAGUAAACAUGCUUCCCUUUUUUUUUCUACGAUUAAAGUGAUUAUUCUAAGAAAUAUAUAAAGUGUGACAGAAAAAGCAACUCCUUGAAAUUUUGUAAAGUCGGAGGCGCAGCUCAGAAUGAGCUAUGACUCUCGGCUGCAUUGGAUUCUCUCUUCAUUUUCGUUUUCUUUUGUUCUUUUCCUCAUUUUUUAGCCAACAUCCUAACCAUAAGGCGCCUUUUCUCUUUUCUCUCUUAUCUCCCCCCUCCCCCAUUUCUUCGUACAACUCGCUCUUCUUUUCCUGCCUCUUUUUUUUUUUUUUUUUGGGGGGUUCUCUGCCCAAACCCUUAACGAAGACAACUAAUUGGUAUUUAGUUUUCCAAAGUGUAGCAUUAUUGAGCACCAUCACCGACCAUUAAGUUCGCUAAACUCAGUCAUCAAUUAAGUAACUAUUCUUGUUUAACAAGAGCUGCACCGACGUGGCAAGAAAAAGACAAACAAAAACUCAGGUAAGAGCUCAUUGAUUUUCAAGACUCCAUCGUAAAAAUCGAAGAAAAGAAACUAUGAAUAUGUGCUGGAUUUUUCUCUGCCGCUGUGUCCUUUUUGAACCACUUUUGAUCCAGAACUCUAUCAUUUUCAGCUCUCCCUUUCUGUUCCUUUUGGUGUUUUCACGCUGCUAAUUUCCUUCGCUCACGCGCACACACACACAUGAAGGAAUGUCAUGUUGAAAGUGGCCUCCUUUCGGCCAACCAGAGGGAGGGAACGGAAGGGACUUUUACUUCGGAGAGGGGGCCGCGUCCAAAAUUCUCAUAAGAAUUCCCGUUUAAAUUCACCAAAGGAAAUUCAAGAGUCGGAUUAUGUAACAGAUUUUUUUUUUUUUUUUGGCAGUCCUACGCUAUUCCUACUCUACACUCACUCGCAGACUUGUGCCCUGCCUCUUGCAGGGCGUGGGAGUCGCAACCCAAGCUCGAAACUUACGCGUCCCUAUCCCCCAUCCCCCCUGAGGAGGUGGGGAUUUGAACCCCUCACCUCCCCCUUCCAUGUUGAAAGGGUGGCCACUGGGAUUGUGUAACAGAUUGGUUCACAAGAAUUGCGCUCUUAUUAGAAAGGGUAGUGCAUAGAAGAUGUGAGAUUACAAAUGAUUUAUAUGGGUCAAUGGUCAAAUUAUCGGUGUNNNNNNNNNNNNNNNNNNNNNNNNNNNNNNNNNNNNNNNNNNNNNNNNNNNNNNNNNNNNNNNNNNNNNNNNNNNNNNNNNNNNNNNNNNNNNNNNNNNNNNNNNNNNNNNNNNNNNNNNNNNNNNNNNNNNNNNNNNNNNNNNNNNNNNNNNNNNNNNNNNNNNNNNNNNNNNNNNNNNNNNNNNNNNNNNNNNNNNNNNNNNNNNNNNNNNNNNNNNNNNNNNNNNNNNNNNNNNNNNNNNNNNNNNNNNNNNAUAGGAUUUAGCGAAUUGACAAUGCAAAAAUUGAGAGAGAAUAUGAAGUGAUUCUGUGCACUUUUGAAACUCUGUUAGUGUACAUUCUUGUAGUUUUUCCUUGUCAAAAUAUAUUGAUUUUCAACUUUCACUAAAAUGUCGCACAUUCAAUUAGGAAGCAUAUGAUUAAUAGUCCUAAUCAGCCAAGUCACAAAACAAAUCAUAAGAGAUCUAAUGCGGUUGUCACUAAGCCUCGAAUUGGUGGGAUGAUCUUUCCCAUGGCAAGAGCGGCUAACAUCACAAACUUCAUCUUCUAGGGAUUAAGUUAAAAUAUUAUGUUUGGCACUUACGGUGUUCUUAUACUUCAUAAUAAAUAUGUUAUUUAUUUUAUCAGUUAAUCUACCCUGAACAACAUGCUAAUAUUAGUUUAGAUAAUUUGUCAAUUUGGCUAUAGCUUGGAAUAAGAGACGAUAACAAUAUAAAUUCAAUAUUGAAAACUUUUUGUUUGAUUUUUUUUUCUCGCUUUUUAGUUAUUCUUUUAGCAAUUACCGAAUAACAUCAUUCAAACCUUGUAAUGCCGCAUCUAUUUAUUUAUUUAUUUAUUUCAAUUAGUUUACGGCUAAAAUGGGCGAAUCAACAUACAUGAUUUCACCACAAAAUAAAUGGACUUUUUUUGAAAAAAAAAUUAAAAAAAGAGAUAGAAUAAUGGCUCAUAUUAGAACCAUUUACCAAGUAAUGCAAAUUAAAACCAAGUCUUAAUUUUUUUUUAUGUGUAUUAAAAAUUUCCAAUAUCAUAUCAUUUCAUUUUACACAUAAAAUGAAUAGAAUAAACAUUAAAACCCUUUGUCCAUCGUAAGAUAGAAAGUAAACAUCAAAUUUAGAUAAUCUUACUUUAAAUACUUAUGUAGCAAGAACAUACAUAAAAAAUAGAACAUAAUGCAAGAACUAAACAGUAAUAUAACGAUUGAUUUAUAUAAAGUGUCAAUAUAACAUUAUGCAAAAAUUUUAUACAUGUAAUAUGGGUUCAUAUCAAUAAAUGGAAUUUGAAGAAGUAAAUUUCUGAAUUUGUGCAACCCACGGGUCUUUGUUUACUACACAUUCCACAAAAAAUAUGCAGUCAUAAGCUACAAUCUGAUGGAAUCAUCUACCAAUAUACAAAGUUCUAUUCACAUCAUAGGAAAUGUUUUCUAGCAAUCUGAUGGCCUCGAAUAUUUUGGGGGCAAAGAUGGACACAUUUCAUUCAUAUGAGGGUACGAGUCCAUUGUGUUGUACCUUGGCAGCUCCAUUCGAUACCUACCUCGUAUUUGACAGAAUGGAAUGGAAGCUCAAUGUCAUCCCCAUAAUUGAACCACUUAGGCAAGUGGCUUGAAUUAUUCUCGAAGAACCUUAGUGAGUAAUCUUUUAUCUGCAUAAAAAACAAUGCCAUUCACAAAAUGCCAAAUGGGAUUCCUCAUGACAAAAGUUCACGCUUCGAAAGGCAAACUAGAUUAUAGUUUUCUCAAUCUUUGAAAAAAGUGACAUCCAUCUCUAGAUAGUAAGUUCAAGCAACUAGGGUCAGAAAGAUAACCCAACUAGGGUCAAUCAAUCGCACUUACAGUGAACUUUGUAACUCGAAUGGAGCUAGAAAUUAGAUCAAAGAGACCUGCUGCUUUGUAUAUUUCAAGAACAAAAGCUACACAUGAGGCAGACUUCCCAUCACUGUAUACCCAAUCAUCUUGCUCUGGAAUUGUCAGCAGUUCAGCAAAAGAUGGCCCCCUCAUUUCCCUUUCGACUAUUAGAUCAGGAAGAUCCAAGCCCUAUAUGCAACACAAUUGUAAGGUCGCCAUAAAGUAAAUUGCAAUUUGAAUGGGAUGGUACCUCUGUUCCUAGUUGCUUGUUGAGUGCUUCAUUCCGCAUGUUCGCAGCAUAGGCUGGUUGCAUUUGGUUCCAUACUGUCAUAACAGAAGCAACCUACAAUAAUACAAUGCUCUCUAUAAAAUGAGUGAACCACACUCCGAUCAUGCGAAGAAAGCACCCGACAUGGCGAGCAUAUUACAUGCAUCAUCAGCCGGGCCGAUAAAAACUCUUAAGAAAAGAUGAACAAAGUCCACUAUUUUGCUGCCUUAGUAUCAUAUAGGAGGCCAUAAAAAAUGAAUAUUUGUCAAACCAAGUCAGAUUCUUUUCCACAAUAUUAGCACUCAAUAGAGUCACAUGCUAAUCUGCUAUUUGGGGAGAUCACUGUUCAGUUUUUAGCCUUUUGCUUUGCUCAGUUGAAUCCAUUCGAAAUCAUGGUAUGACUGUCUAAUUCCAGCAAGACCAUGCUGUUAGGAUCUGACACAUGGCAUCAUUAUAUUUCAAGGUUUAUCAAAGUAAGGGUAAAUUGAUGUUUUGUAGUUAGGUUGAGAAGCAGAAACUAUUUCAUAUCCAGCAUCAAAGAAUCUCAAGUCACCUACAACACAAGCCCUUAGUGUUAGAAAAUUGUCUAAGACAAACCGAAUGCACCCACAAAAUAUUUAUAAACACAUAUGCACAUGUACAAUCUCUGUACCACAUGAGCAUCCAAUGGCGGUGGAUAAUUUGCAUCGAUAGUGUCUAUCCAGCUAAAGAGCAUGUUGUGAUAACCAUAUGGUUUCCAUUCAUAAACUAAGCAUACUCCGAUGCAGCAGUCUCAUUGAAUUUGAUUUGCAAAUCAGGAUGUAGUUGGAGCAAUGCAAUGUGGGGAUUUGAGUCAUCUUUGUUAAGCUCAAACUCCCACCAUUCUUCGCAUGGGAGCACAGCAAUGACUUCUCCCUGUAAUGAUAAGAACAAAACAAAAAAUUGCAUUAUCUCCAUUACUAUAGUGGACUUCUGUAACAGCUGUCCCCUUUACCAACACAAAAGGACAGAGCAAGCAGCAAUAACCCAAAUGUGAAUUUAAAUUUGUUAAUCAAGUUCUGCCUCGAGUAAAGGACGUCAUUUCAUCGAAUUCUAACCAUAAUCAUCAUCAGUAAGUUGCCAUGUCUCGUGUAAAGAUGGGUCUUGAAGUUCAAUAGAAACAGUUCACACUGUAUUUGCUAUUUUACAAAUAUGAUGAUGCCACAAUAGAGCUUCUAGUAGGAGCCUAAAUAGGAUUUGCUCUAGUUCAUCAUGAACCUGAAGCAGCCUGUCAUCAUUUACUUACUCAUCCUCUCUUACAAUCAAAAGUUUCUACAGGAGCACAGAAAGGAAAGACCUGUCUUAUUAGAGAAGAUAAGAUAAGCAAGGAAAUUUAAGGACAUACGGGUGUAAUAUAAGCAAAAUUAAUAUGCAAAAUGGAACAAUGUCAAUGGAACUGUAUUUGUAAGAGAAGAAGUCUAUGAUUCGACAGAAGUUACGUUUAUACAGUAAUCGCACUGGAAUCCCAUGCCCCAAAAACCUAAGGGUUCAGCAUACGACAUAUUACAGAAACACCACAGUGAGCCUAGUUGUUCUUCUCAAUUUGUACAUGACAACCCUUUUAUAAUCAGAGAAUGUAUAAGCAGCAUCAUAUGGGUGUCUUAAAAAAUGAAUGGCAGAUGAGCACAGGGAAUUGAGGAGGAGGUGUAGAAAUAAUAACUCAAACAACUGGAAGGGGUGUUUCAGAUGUUUGAACGUUUGUUUGUUGGAUAUCCCAAUAUAGAAACAAUGUGGCCAAUUCUAGCCAGUUAUCAACCGGCAGCCAUGUUAAUAUUGGUUCUAUGCAACUGGUUUAAAAAUACACUUCACAAUUACAAUUGCAAAGACAGCAGUAGGCAGAAAGAUUGGAUGAAAUGUCAAAAUUCAAAAAUAUAUACAUCAAAAGCAAUCUAUCAAUGUUUGAAAACGAAGAACAAAAAGGAGCAGAUAAAAUGCUUAACAACAAUCGCAAAGUAAUUCUUUUCCUCGAAAGGCUUUUUCUCCACUAGUCAAUAUAAAAAUCAGUCCUUCAAACUGAAAGAGAAGUGCGCUUACACGUAUGACCAACCCAUGGCUGUUGCCAAAUUACCUGUUCAUUAUCAUGUCCAGAUUCACCAACCCAUAGCUUUCCUUCAGAAUCCUUUAAGCACACAGCUGUGUGACCAGCAUAUGCCCCACUGACCCAUUUCUCUAGAGUCUCAAAACCACCCCACCUCCCUUGAAUUUUUGAAAUUGCAAGGAAAUCUCCAGAGUGGAUAUCAUCAAUGCUGAUGUUUGUAACCCAGGGCUGGGGACGUUGCUCAAAUGAAGCUCCCAUAUGCUUCUUGAGAAAACCAAUGUUAGAUUUCUCCCCCUACCUGGUAUUUGAAAACAAGGGAAACACGUCCCACAGUGCUUGAAGGGUCCUUAGCAUCCCGGCUUGCAUCGGAAAGAUUGACACUCCUCUACUUGUCACCUGUAAUCCAAAUAUUGGAAAACCAAGUGUAACAACUUCUACUAUGCACAAAGGAGCAGAAGAGAAAAAAGAUAAUUGCAGCUUACAUAUUCAAACUCGGCUUUUCCUUCCCACUCUUUGAACUCGAAUGUGUGCUCACGGGAUAAAAAAUAGUAGUCCCAUGUCACACAGUAUGGGGUUGCAAAGACAUAAAUAAUACGUGUCCAGCUAUGGGCUUUGCUGACCUGGAUGAGCAAUCCAAACUCAUGAUUACAAGCCGGAUACCUACAACUAGUCAUCAGUUCAUAUUCAACAGAACUGGAUGCAAAAACAGGGACUAUUAACAUGAAUGGAUAGUACCCACCCAGAUUGGAAUGGCCCCCACAAGAUAAUUUGAUUUUACAUCAAAGGAAACAACCAUACUUGAAUGAGCAACCAAAUCCAAAUCACCAAAUCCUUCUUCAACCACUUAAAACCCAGACACAAAAAACUCAAGUGACCAACCAUGGUACCACCAAUUCGUGGAGCUUAAUCAAGUACAAACAAGCAGAGGAAAGGAAAAGAAAAGAAACCGUGGCAAGUGACGAAAUCCACUUAAAACAUAUUGAAGUAAGAAAUGAAAGAUUCCAUGACUCAGAUUCCAACAUAAAUAAGUAGAAUGAGAAAAGAGGAAUAGUUGGGAUCAAGUGCAAAGCCUGAACAUUGAAUGAUAUUCUCUAACAUCCUUUGAAUAAUUAAUUUUCUUUCACAACUCUAUACAUAAUGGUAUGAGUGCACGCUUCAGUUGGUAAGAAAAAUACCGUAAGUAGAUAGAAACUCUAUCCAGUUCAGUACUUUUAGUCCAUUGGAAAAAAUCAACCUCAAAUUAACCAAGAUAGAAAGCUCAAACUAAGUACUGAAGUCACCAAGACUUAAAUUGAAAACUGCGAAAAGCCGGUGGCCAUUAGACCCCAUCAACAAACCGACACAACCUCACAUCUACCAGAAUUAUCAUAAAAUCGAACUGCAGCGAAUUGAAUUAAGCAGUGACAGUAGGCAAGAAAACCUCAAAAGCUGGUGAACAGUGACCAUCUCUCCACAUUGCCAAACCGCCACAAGCUCAAACCUCCCAAAAUCAUCACAGAAUCGCACUCAAACACAAGGAUUUCCGUUCCGUUCCAUUAGGUUCCCGACUAUUCAACCAAAAAAAAAACCCAAGGCUUGGGAUCAUCACUCCAGUCCAUUGCUCUCCCCGUCAUUUCCCAAUUCCAUUCCAUUCAACCGUACCUAACAGAAAACCUUAUCUUCCAGAAUCGCACUCGAAACCAAAUAGAGACGAAGCCAAAGCGACGCGAUGGAACUAAAGGACGGACCUUGAUGUGAAGCGUGCCUCCCCCGAACUCGCUCCCGGUCUCGUUGUGGAACUCCAACCAAGCGGUGUUCUCGUAGAAGCAAGCUCUUUUCCACGCCAGAGUGCCGUUGGAGGGAGAAGCGCCGCCGCCGACGAGCCAUUGGACGGCGAAGGGCGUUGAGGAUGGAACAAGAGAGCUGCCGAGAAGCUAUGGAAAUUGGGGCGGGUCUCCCCGGUGACCCGGAUCAUGUAUCAAACUAUCAAAAGUGUGAUGUGAUAAUUGUAGAGGGGGAGAGGAGCGAUUCGUUUUGAUCGUCCUUGGACGCUUGGUAAUUACUAGUUAGUGUGCCUGGCCAAGUAGAUGAAACAUUAAAGCAUAAUCGGAGCUGAAAAUAUUCUGCAUUUUUAUAUUAUGUAUUAAUUCCACUAAAAAAAUCUUAAAAUAUAUCUACGGUAGUGAUAUUAAUGUUUUAAUUUUUUUAUGGCAUAGAAAACCUUAAAAAAAAAAGGUUUGAAAUUAGUAUUGAUUUCACAUUGAAUAAAAGUUAAAAUUUUAGAGGUAACCUAAAAAUAUUUUAAUCAUUUUAGUGUAGGGAUCGGCAAUUAGGAAUCUCCACGAAUGAUCUUAGCUUGUGGGAGCACAGAUACUUCGGGCUCGUAUGGUCUGUCCUCAAGUUCUUCAGGAGUGUCCCAUCCCACCUUCUUCUAUAUAGUCCUUUAAGAGAGAGGCGAAUUUUUCUUGGCCACUAGCAUAACUCUUCCGAUCUAUACUUCUGGCUCCUCCUAAUGGAUCAGCAACAGUUAAAUAAAUUUGAUCAAUAUGGAAAGCAAGAACUUAAAUUUGCUAAAUAACCGAUGCCCAACCAAGCUCGCCGUCAAACCACGGUCAUUGAUAGCUUCAACUUCACUUAUAUUGCUUACCCGCCCUCUUCUAUCGCCACGAAGACUUUCACUAUCCCGCUUUUUUAGGACUUAGAUAACAUCAAACAUCUCCAUCGCUGCUGGAUAAAAGUUGAAACAUCAUAAAGAAGUCAAUGCUUUGAAAAACUCUUCCUUAUAGUAUUUCAUCAAUGAUGUACUUCUUAAUUUUGUAUGAAGAAAUGUGUUUGUCAUCGGUAUGGAUUCAACAUUUACCUCAACUUUGUCGUAUCCAUGCAAUUAUGGAUUCAACAUUUACCUCAAUUUUGUCGUAUCCAUGCAAUCUUUCUUACUGUGAAACUGUGUCUUGAGCUUGAGCCCGUAUACAGGAAUCUAACCCACGUUCGAAGAAUUUAUUGAUCGAAGUCACGCACAAAAUGCAGAGUGUUCUUUUAUAAAUUAAUGUGCACGCAAGUCUUGGACUUUUCUCUGCUAUCUCCUACUGUCCUAUUAUCAUUUUUUCACUUUUUUGUUUGAAUCCCCUUUUUAUCAUUGAAGGAGCUGAACGUCCAUUUUUCACGUCCACACUUAACCAAAUCCAUUGGCGCUGGUUUCGGAUUCUUGUUCGAUCAGCGAAAUGGGAAAACUCGGCACCGAAGUUGGCGUCAGGAACGAUGGCAUUCUUGAGGCCUAGCCUCAAAAUUCGAGUGGCAUGGAGAGGGUGCUUCCGUCCCAAGCUCUGCUGGAGAACGGUGACGCUCAACGGGGUGAUCAGAGGCACAUGCGUACGGGCUUGGAGCAGGACGGGCAAACGGGGCCGCUUUGGAUUGGAGUGUGAGCUGUUUCCGCCAUUUUCAUGGAACUGCGAGGGACGCUGGUGGUGUGACCUGGUUGGGGAAAGGAUGGAGCUUGAGGAGGACGGUCAGGGACACGUAUUGAAACCCACUUGACUUAAGGUUCAAGAACGGGUUUGCAAAUCGGAUUCGGCUUGCGAAAUGGACCUGCAUCUAUCUAGUAUGGAGAAGUUUUUUCCAGAAAUUGUGAGACGAUUUCGGGAAUUUGAAAGAAACAGAAGGGGCCAGAGCACAGGGCAAUUUUAAUUUAUUUUGGCCAAACGUUCCAGCAAAUAGUUUCUUCGCCUAAAGACUUCCCUUUUUUCUUCGUAGAUUUUAGCAAAGGAAGUCCAUCUGCUCUUUGGAUUCUCAGAUGCUGAUCUCUUUUUGGGCUUCAGAUUGUAAGAAAAGAGAGAAUUUUGGGCAGCACUACUUAAGUCUCUGCGUUUAUAAAGGAUUUCAAACAUGAUAUUGCUCUAACUUGUCGAUCGAAAAUGUUGUGCCUCAUAUGCUGCUUCGCUCUUUUGGAUCAAAGCAACAUGACCCCAAUUAAACUUGUUUCAACAUUAAACUAUCGGGUAUAGAAUACUUGAUCCACUUAGUAAGGGUUUUGGCUUUUUAGCCUAUAAAAUUGAUUCCAAAACAAGGUGAUCCGGUCUUGUUCCCGAUUGGAUAUUCACUCGGAACCUAUUCUUGAACCGAUUUGAACCGGUUCCAAAAAUUUGGAAUCUAUUUGCAGACCAACUCCGACGGGAACCGGCACUUGAACCUAUUUUUCGAGCAGUCCAAUUUGGUUCCUAAGUAGAACCGCUUUGGUUGCACACCGGCUACAUUGCUUUUCCAUUUUCUCUUUUUGUCCUUGGACCGAUUUGUGUCAGUGCUGCUUCAAUAGACAGCCUGCCGAGAGGCCUUCAACUGCUAUGUUGCUUGAGCAUGCUUUCCUGCGAAUUUGAAGUUGCAGAUGACUUUUUUCAUGCGCCAUACAUUGUUGCAAAAGGAAUGUUAUAUUGUAAGUGCUCAUGUUUACUUAACCAAAAAGAUUAGAAAGAGGAAGUGCAGAAAACGUUAAUGGAGGUAAUUAUAAUGCUUGAGAUCCCGAAAACAUUCGUAAGUCCAAAUGGCGGAGUACAGCAGAGACCUCAAUGAAUGAGAGUUCAACAAGAAUAAAAUGUCAUUUCACACAUAAUCAACGCAAUCAUGCGAUAAGAACUUGAUAAAAAAUUUGCCCAAGGGCUUGUCAUGGCAGGCAGACGGGAAGAGGCUUACCUGAAAGGAGAUUUACCCAAUCUUUCAUCUUUACAUCGUCUUUGACCAUCUACCACAGACUCGAACACAUCUAACAAUCGAUCCAGCUUAUAUCAAAUUACCACCGAAAUCUAAUGCAAAGAAAGAACAUUAACCUCUUUGACUCAUAUCAAAUCCCAGCCCGACAAUGGUGGUCCCCUCCUUUAGGUAUCCAAAUCUAUUCUCUCUCUUUUUUUAAGGAAAUUCUUUACAUGAUCCAAGUGCUAACAAUACUCCUGACACGACAAUUCAAUUCUUCCGAUGAGAUUAUUUCAACAUUUAUAAUAAGAAUUUUUUUUAUGAUCCUUAACGUUCAUUCCCACCACCGCACUUGAAUGGAUCCAAGAUUCACUUUUUGAGAAGAUCAAAGUCUUAAAUUAAAGGACUAUUACAUCCUCCAGAUGGAGAAAUGCACUGGAGAAGAGGAAAGAGACUUGAAAGCCCAGCUCUUCGGUGUCCACGGCCGAGCGUCCUUGAGUGAACUUCCCCUGAUUUUUAGCCCAUAACAUGUGGUGGAUUGGUUGGCGAAUUGGGCUAUUGACACUCAACAUUCAUGCGUCCAAUUCUGUUACACGGACUAGGGGGCGCAGUCGAUUGCGCGCGUGGCUGCAUUGCUUGCUGAUACGCAUCUCAAUAAAAUUUUGCUUUCGAAUUUUUUUAACUCUUUUUUUUUUUUUUUGGCGUUUGAAAAAUAAGAUGGACAUUCCCCUGCCAUGAUAUGACCCAACAAUGGACAAGCCCGUAAGCAAUUCGACAACGUUGCUUAAUCUAGAUGUCCUCUUCUGAGUGCAUUCGAGUUAUAAACAUUUGUGUACGAAGGACAUCUAUUCAUCAAAACCAAUGUUCAUAUGGAGCCAAAAAAGCACCACAUCAGCAAACACAAGCUAGAACACAAAAAAAAAAAAAAAAGAGGAAAAAGAAAUGAUGAGUACAUUAGACGUGCUACAUUUUUUUCUUAUUAGUGCAAUCAAAUACUUCGUCAGUUCCAUUCGAUUUGAGAGAUUGAAAAUAUUGAUAUGAUGUACACUAAUACAACACCAUUUUAUAAGGGUCAAAUUCCUCAGUUCAACCAAAAAAAAAAAAAAUCAAACCAUUUUAUAAACAUUUGGAAUGUAAAGGCUUAAUUCUACGUGUCUAUGCAAUUUCAACAAGUUUUUGAUCAAACUAAAAAAGUCAACUCUAGUUUUUUUUCUUGACCGAGAAAUCUAGAUCGGGCGAGGGUCGCCGGCCCUCACUCACUUUUGGCCAAGGGCUGCCAUUGGUGGGUGCCGAAACCUCGUAGUGAGGGCCGACGAUCCUCGCCUAGAAUAGUCAAGGGCUAACAGGCCCUUGCUUGCAAUCAAUGAGCCCCUAGUUGUGAUUGGCAAGAGUCGUUGACCCCAAGCCAAGGCCCAACACCCUCGCCAACCAUUCCCCCACCAUUGCCGGCCCUUCCUGGCAAUGGUGAGGCGGUGGCAAGGGCUUGCAGCAAGCCUCGCCAUUCUCGCCAUUGGUUUCCAACUUUUUUUUUUAAUUUAGCUUUUUUUAAUUUAAAUAUAAUUUGUAUAAAAAAAAAAAAGCAUAUUUGGAUCAAAAUGACGUUAUUUAAGGCUUAUGUUUCAUGUUUUAGUCACAUUAUCACCACGUAGGAGAGAGAAAACAUUUUAAAAAGUCACAUCUGCAUUUUCCUUUAACUAAGCUAGAUGGAGUAAAUGGAAGGACUUGAGUGCACUAAUUUGACAAGUUUAGGUACUUGAUUAUACUUUUUAUAAGUUUAGAACUCAAUUGAACUUUCAUGAUAAGUUUUAAAUUUCAAGUGCACUUUUUUUACCUAUUAUCCUAUUUGAAAUAAAAACCAAACCAAAAAGACCCAAAUAAUUUCGGGUCAGUUUAGGUAUUUUUGACACCACUAAAAAGAGGCGAGUUUUAUAAGAAGCAUGCGAGUCAGCUUCUAACGUAUUACACAUUUAUACCUUUCCAUUUUUUUUUCUCACCUACACACUGUAUUUUUUUUCUUCCAAGAACCUCCCCUUUUUUGUCUUGCUUGCAGGGCAUUUGUGGAAGAAAAAAUAGCAAAAUCGAAAUUUGGAAAAAAUAAUGGGGCAUUUUUGGAAGAAAAAUUUCUUGUUCCCAUUCUGCUGCACACACUUCUUAUAAAACUCUCCUGUCUCGCCUCUUAGCGUUGGCAUCACAUUUCUCUCACCAAGCAUCUAGGGGAAAUGAAGAAGAUGAAGAUGAGAAAAUUGGUGGAUAUGAUCAUAGCUUCAAGAAGGAUUGCAUCUUCACAAUGGUGCACAAAAACAUCCCUCAUCAUACUUGUUUUGUGAGAAAAUUGCGGAAAAUUAUCUAAAAAGUUCUAAACCUAUUGCACUUUUGUCAAUUUAGUCAUAAACCUUUUAACAUUGCCAAUUAAAUCCUAAACCUUUUUACUUCUUGCCGAUUCAAUCCAUCCAGCCAAUUUUGGCCGGAAAAUGCUGACGGACGCCAGCAGUGCCACGUAAGAUUGCCGGUACUGACGUUGAAAUUUUUUAAUAAUAUUUUAAUAUUUUUUUGAAUUUUUUUCUAUUUUCCCUUUGUUUUCUUUCUUUUCUUUUUGGCUUUUUUCUUUUCCUUUUCAGGUGGCCGGCCACAGGCCACAACUAGCUGGCUGGCCUCGCCUGCCACAGGGAGGCCCAAUCGGGCAAGGAGGAGCCCUUGCCUAAGCGCAGCCCGACAAAGGUCUCCUGGGUGAGGCCAACUCUCACUCAGGCCAGGGCGGCCUCGCCCUCACCGAGGCGAGCGUCAACCUCACCCAAACUAGAUCUGGAGAGGCCGGCUCUCGCCCUUGGCCGGCUGAUGCUCGCUUAGGCGAGGGCGAGCCUCGGCGAGGGCUCCCCUCACAAGAUCUGGCGAGGGCUGACCCUCGCCUAGGCCAGCGUGGCCUCGCCUAAGCGACCCUUGUCAGGCCACGCCUGGGGGAGGGCUCCCCUCGCUAGGGCUUCUUCUCUUUCGGGUUGGGCCUCAUUUGUGGUGGGCGAGGCCAGCCGGCUAGUUGUGGCCGGUGGUCGUCCACCAAAAAAGGCCAAGAAAGCCAAAAAAAAAAAAAAAACAUAAAAAAGAGGGAAAAAAACAUAAAAAAAUAUUAAAAAUAUUAAAAAGUAUUAAAAAUUAUUAAUGUCAGCGCCGCGCGGUCCUACGUGGCACCGCCAGCGUCCACGUCAGCAUUUUUCGGCCAAUAUUGACCGGAUGAACUGAAUCGGCACGAAGUAAAAAGGUUUAUGACUGAAUUGAUAAAGGUAUAAUAGGUUUAGGACUUUUUGGGUAAUUUUCCCGAAAAAAUUGCAAUACCAAACGCUAAAGUGCAAGACGAGAGACUUUUAUAAGAAGUGAAUGGAAGUGAAGGUGCUUCCAAAAAGGGCAUUUUCGGAAGGAAAAGUGCUUGUGCAGCUAAGGGGGGAAAGAGGGGAGUCUUAUAAGAACUGAGGUAAAAGUACUUCCAAAAAGGGCAUUUUCGGGAAAAAAAAGUGCUGGUCAUAAGAGCUUUAUAAAUAGUGAUAUGGCUUCUUAUAAAACGUUUUAUACGAAGUCGGAAAAGUUUUGUAAGAAGUGACGUGGCUUCCUCUAUAAGGGCGAGGCAGGAGACUUUUAUAGGAAGUCAAUGAAAGCGAAACUGCUUCCGAGAAGGGCAUUUCGGCAGGAACAGUGCCUGUGCAGCUAAGGGGGAGACAGGAGAGUUUUAUAAGAACUGAGGCAAAAGGGCUUCCAAAAAGAGCAUUUUCGGAAGAAAAAGUGCCGGUCAUGAGAGCUUUAUAAAUAGUUACGUGGCUUCUUAUAGAACGUUUCAUACGAAGUCGGGAAUGUUUUGUAGCGGCUGACUUCGUAUAAAACGUUUGACUUCGUAUAAAACGUUUAAAUGUUUUAUACGAAGUCAGGAAAUUUUUGUAAGUGACGCGGCUUCUUUCUCAUGAAAAGCCCCCAGAGGACGCCGUUCUUCUUUUAAAACUCUCCUGGCCAGCACAUUUUUUUCAAUUCACUUCUUAUAAAACUCUUGUCUCGCCCCUUAGCAUUUGGCACCGCAUUUCUCUCACAAAACAAUUCACUCAUGGGGAAUGUUUUUACGCGCCAUUGUGAAGACGCGAUCAUUCCUGAAGCUGAAGCUGUGGUUAUAUCUGGUAAUUUUCUCUUCUUCAUCUUCUUCAUCUGUGAUUCACGGUCACCCAUAGACGUUUGAGUUGAGUUUGAUUCUUAUGUUAAAAUUUACGUACUUCAUUUCCUUGAGAUUCAAUUGUUUCGCUUAGAAAGUUUGUCAACUAGGUAAGGGCUGACGAUUAAGUGUUUGUUUUUCUCGCUUUUAAGCUUGUAAAGUACAGAGAACUAGUCUUUUGAUAGUUAAAAAAAAGUACAGAGGAGUAGUCUUGUAAAGGUUGAUCAACUGGUAGAAUUGUGUGGCAAUCAUUAUGAGACCGUGAUGUAAUGCCUCUUUAUUUUUCUAAUCCAUAGAUCUAUUUCCCCUGUCUACCAUACGUAAUGAAGAAGAGGGCAGUGAAGAAGUUGAAUUACAAGAUGAAUUCGCCAUCGUCAAUUUCCCCAUUCAAGGUGGAGAUGGCAAUAUCAUACCUAAUGAAGAAGAGGGCGGUCAAGAAGUUGAAUUACACGAUGAAUUGAUUGCCAUCAUUGUCCCCAUUCAGGGUGGAGAUGGCAAUACCAUACUUAAUGAAGAAGAGGGCGGUCAAGAAGUCGAAUUACACCAUGGAUUGAUUGCUGUUGUUGUCCCCAUUCUGGAUGGUAAUGGCAAUGGUGACGGCCAUAUUGAGGAUGGCGACAACAAUGUUGGUGACAAUGAAGUGGAGCAAGAGGUGCAGGAGGUGGAGAGUGAGCAGGACGGCAGCGAGGGGGCUGGUGGUGUGGGGGCUGUUGUUGGUCCUGCCAUUGCUGGUGAUAGAGCUGGCUUUAUUGUUCUGGCAAUGGUGCUGGUCGGGGCGCUCUUCCUGUGGAAGAUGCGGCUGAUAACUUUGCUGGAGUUGCUUUUGAUAGUGGUGGUAGUAUUGGCAGUAGCCUUGCUCCUUUGGGGCAUGGAUGGGCUAAACUUGAUAUGGGUCUUAAUCCUAAGACUCAAUGUUAUCUUAGUAUGAUGAAGAGAUUGACGCGUGGAUUGCCAUGUGAGAUGUCUAGGUGGACUUCUUUGGAUGAUUUUCAGUAGAACAUUUUUGUUGCAGGAACCUCUGUUUGUAUCCUUUCUUCAUCAUGUACACAUUUGUAUCAUUACUGGUUAUGCUGUCAAUCUACUUGGCAGGAAUAAACAUGUUCAUAAUUUAUUAACAGCUGAUUGUUCUCAUAUUGGUAAUAAUUUAAGUGCACAAUAUGUAAGGAAUGGGGUAAGUAACGGCCAAUAAAAGAUUAUCCCUAAAUAUUAUGCGAGAUCUAUAAGAUAAAUUAGCAACUCUCCUUUACCACAAAACCUGAUGGCAAUUUGAUGAACUGUCAUGUUUUCUUAGGAUUAGUAUGUGCACAAGUAGUUACGGAAUCUUAACUUUCACAUAAAAGGAUGGUCAGUAAGCUUUUCUUUACCCAUGAGCUUAGCUCUCCUUUUUACAUUCAGCUGGACUCAUCAAUGAUGGAGGGUCAUUUGAUUCAAUCUUCUACGUGAUGUUGAUGCAUAUAUGAUUACGUCUAAAUAGAUGUGACAAAUGGGUGGUGGACUAGAUUGAUUUUGGAUGGGUUAUAAAUAGGUUCAAUUCAAAUUCACCCAUUUAAUUGACGUUGACCCAUUUAUUUUCUACACAAUUUAUAUGAUACAUAGCCAAUCCAAACCCACCAACAUAACUCACAAUUUUUUUUAUUAAUACCAAUUAAGCAAUUAUCAAAUUAAAAAUAAUAAAAAUUAGUAGGGAUAAAUACACUCAAAAUUCUAAACUUAUCAUAAAAGUAUAAUUGAAUCAUAAAAUUAUUAAAAUAUGUAAAGUACUAAAAUUUAUCACGAAAAUUCAAUUGAAUCUAAAAAUUUUCAAAAAUAGUAAUUUAAGGGAUUUUUUUUUUUUUCCCGUUCACAGGCUCCCCUUCUCUCUCUCUCGCUCUCUCCCUCUCUCUCUAUACUCGCUUUUUGGAAUUAAAGAGGAGAAAAAUGGAUUUUUUGCACUAACCUCCUUCCACUUCCUCUGCUUCUUCACGAACGACCAUAAACCUUCACAAACCAAUCCCUUUUUUCUCUGCCAUGCUUUAGUCGCCGUGUCCUUUGCCCCGGAUGUUGCCGGUGACACCGUGGCCCAUCUCUGAGCUCGACGGCGAGAAUUGAGCCGCCUAGAUUCAUCUCGCGCCUCUAUCUCUCUCGUCCUCCCCUUUCGACUUCGGAUGGCGCUGAUUCGAGCCAUUGAGAUAAUUUCAUCUCAGAUUCACGGCCGAGUCGAGGCCUAGAUCUGAGAUCUAGGGCUCAAUCGAGCUCCACCGAAGGCGAGGGCUCAGUCGAGCUACACCAGAGGCGAGUCUCGGAUCUCGGCAUCUUGUCGGUGCCGGAGAAAUGGAGAGAGAUUGCCGUAGUGAAGGCUUGGUUAGAGAGAGAGGUGGGUUGGGUUUCUUGGUUCAAACGUGUUAAAGAGGGAGGAACUCUGGAAGUGAAGAACCCCAGGCAAUGCGAAGAUUGCCGCAGUAUGGUUUUUUGGGUUUGGCUCCAAGAAGCAAUGAAUCAAAAUGCGUUUCGGUUCGGUUCAAAUACUCGACCUGAACCGAAAUGAUACAACACCCAUCUUUUUUACCUAUCACCCGAUCUGGAAUGAGACACGAAUCAAGAAGACCCGAAAAUUUCAGUUUGGAUUGGGCCGGGUUUUUUCUGACGCCCCCAACGAGAGGGAAGUUUUAUAAGGAGUGUGUAAGUUGCCCCUUAGCAUUGGCAUCGCAUUUCUCUCACAAAACGUCUAGGGGAGAUGAAGAUAAAGAAAAAUGCCAGAUAUAACCACGGCUUCAAGAAUGCUCGCGUCUUCACAAUGGUACCCAAAAACAUUCCCCGCGAGACUCGUCUUGUGAGAGAAAUGUGAUGCCAAACGCUAAGGAGCGAGAUGGGAGAGCUUCAAAGAAACUUGAAUAGCUACUUCAACACACCCCGGCGCCAUAUCUCCCUCUCUUUGGUUCCGUUUUCCCUUUUUUUAUUCGUGGAUUAAGUAAUCGACAAUCAAGAGUACCCUCUCCUAUUCCUCAAUCUUAAGAUGCUGUCUGUCGGGGGACGUCGGAAAAUGAAGUAUCUCUAAUCAUAAAUCAAACAAUCAUCGACCCAAAAACAUCCGACAGCUGAUCUAGCUUCUUGGGAUUGUCCUCCUUCACUGUGGACAUGACCCCUUGGAGAGCGAAGAAAAAGAACAUCCAGCAUUAGGUUGACUUCUAACUUCUCCAUAGAUGCUCAUCGCUCCCAACUCGCCGUCGGUGGAUUUGAGCUGCGCCUACAAGAUCUAGGUUUGUCGAAUUUUUUUCCUAUCAAACGAGUUAACAGCUUCAACCAUGGAUUCUAACUGUAACUUUCUCUUUCUUUCAUCCACUCUCUCUCUCUAUAUCAGCACAACCAAGUUCAUCACUCUAAACUAAGUGGCCUCAAGUUCAUCAAUGCCAAGGGCAUUAGGAGCAAGAAAUUGAAGUACCAACCUUUCUUUAAAAUUUUGUGAGACUACUACCAACUACUUUUGUCCAAUAAAAUCUCACAUGAUACAUGAUUAUGAGAUCUUAAGCCCAAACAAUUCAAGGCCCCAAUUUGCGCCCCCUCUUAUAUAGCUCAACUCUUUAGACUUAAGCCAAACUCUAGUCUACGCUUGAGGGAGAUUGGUAGAAUAUUUUAAUAAAAUCAUAUCAUCAUCUAAUAGUUUAAAUUAUUAGAAUGGUUGUAAGUGGUCUCACAAAAUAUCAUGCUUCUCCCCUUCUUGAGGGAGUUUACACAACUAAACAUGCUAUUAGAUAGUGCAAGUGUGUGGACUAUGUAUAUUUUCUUCAAAAAAGAUAUUAAAUGCAUUUCUAGCAAUAUAGGUGUUACUUAGGCUCUAUUUGUUUCACAUAAAAUUUCCUUUAAAAAAACAUUUUCCUCAUUUUCUGGCAUUUGGAUAUCUUAAGAAAAUAAGUCAACUUAAUAUAUUUUCAUAAUUAAUAUAAAACAUAUGCUUAAAUUCAGAAAAAUGAUUUCCUAUUUUAAAAAUCAAAAAUCAUUUUCCGGAAUACGGUUAGACAUUGGCGCUUGUAACUAAGAUCUUCGUGCUUGAGCAUAGGAGCCCUAAUAUUCGUGUUCGGGUCCUCAAUUGUGGGACCCAAUUCCACAAUGGCCAAGCUCAAGACUCCGAUGACCAUACUAGAUCCCUAAUGGCCAUGCCUAAUACCGUGGUGCCCACUCCUAGGUCCCUAAUGGCCAUGCCCCACUACUCGAUUUUCAAGCCUAGGUCCAUCGAGACUGGGACUAGUUCCUUGAUGGUUGGGCCAAGGUCUACUAAGGCUAAGCCUAGGUCCCUUGAUGCUUAGCCCAAGACCCCGAUGGUCAUGGCUAAGUCCUUGGCAGUCUUGCUUGAGUACUCAGCUCCUACACCAAAAUCAUCGAUGCUUGAGCCUAGGUCCAUCAAGGCCAAACACAAGUCCACAUAGGUUGAGCAUGGGUCCUGGAUAGCCAUGUUGGGGUACUUGAAUCUCGUGCUCAAUUUACUAGCUGUCAAGCCUUGGUCCAUUAAGGUCAAGCCUAAAUUCAAAGAGGACGAACCUGGGUCGUCAGUGGCCUUGCCCGGGUGCUUAGCUCUCAUGCCCACAUCAUCGGCACUUGGACAUUGGUUCAUCAAGGCCAGGCUCGAUUCUAUGGCAAUCGGGACCAAGUCCCUUGAGGCUAAACAGAAGACACCUUAGUACCUGUGCCUAGGUCCCUGGUGGCCGUGUCCAAGUCAUCAUUACCCAAGCCUAGGACCCUCAUUGCCUAGGUACCUCGAUCCCUGCUCAAGUCAAUGGCGCUCAACCUCAGUUCCUCGACAACUGAGCUCGAUUUCCAUGUGGUCGGGCCAAAGAUCCCAAUGUCCAUGCAUGGAUACUCGGCUUCUAUGUCUAUGUCACUGGUGCAUGGGCUGGGUUCAUCAAAGCUAAGUCCGAGACCUUGGUGCUCAUGCUUGAGUUCCAGUGGUUACACUUGAGAAAGCCCAGCUCCUGCAAUUGAGCCCCUAGUGAGUAGGUAUCCCUCGGCUAGGUAUCCCUUAUAUCACAUGAAAAAUGAAUAUCUCUUUGGGAAAAUAAAACCAAGUUCUUCUUUGUAAAAAAUAAUUACCAAUUCAUGUUCAUAUUUCAACUGAACACUGACAAAUAUUGCCUUUUCCCUAGAAAAUAACUUAUUAUAAGGCUUUUUUUUUUUUUUUUUGGGAAGGUCAAAUCUUUUAUGAAACAAAUGAACCNNNNNNNNNNNNNNNNNNNNNNNNNNNNNNNNNNNNNNNNNNNNNNNNNNNNNNNNNNNNNNNNNNNNNNNNNNNNNNNNNNNNNNNNNNNNNNNNNNNNNNNNNNNNNNNNNNNNNNNNNNNNNNNNNNNNNNNNNNNNNNNNNNNNNNNNNNNNNNNNNNNNNNNNNNNNNNNNNNNNNNNNNNNNNNNNNNNNNNNNNNNNNNNNNNNNNNNNNNNNNNNNNNNNNNNNNNNNNNNNNNNNNNNNNNNNNNNNNNNNNNNNNNNNNNNNNNNNNNNNNNNNNNNNNNNNNNNNNNNNNNNNNNNNNNNNNNNNNNNNNNNNNNNNNNNNNNNNNNNNNNNNNNNNNNNNNNNNNNNNNNNNNNNNNNNNNNNNNNNNNNNNNNNNNNNNNNNNNNNNNNNNNNNNNNNNNNNNNNNNNNNNNNNNNNNNNNNNNNNNNNNNNNNNNNNNNNNNNNNNNNNNNNNNNNNNNNNNNNNNNNNNNNNNNNNNNNNNNNNNNNNNNNNNNNNNNNNNNNNNNNNNNNNNNNNNNNNNNNNNNNNNNNNNNNNNNNNNNNNNNNNNNNNNNNNNNNNNNNNNNNNNNNNNNNNNNNNNNNNNNNNNNNNNNNNNNNNNNNNNNNNNNNNNNNNNNNNNNNNNNNNNNNNNNNNNNNNNNNNNNNNNNNNNNNNNNNNNNNNNNNNNNNNNNNNNNNNNNNNNNNNNNNNNNNNNNNNNNNNNNNNNNNNNNNNNNNNNNNNNNNNNNNNNNNNNNNNNNNNNNNNNNNNNNNNNNNNNNNNNNNNNNNNNNNNNNNNNNNNNNNNNNNNNNNNNNNNNNNNNNNNNNNNNNNNNNNNNNNNNNNNNNNNNNNNNNNNNNNNNNNNNNNNNNNNNNNNNNNNNNNNNNNNNNNNNNNNNNNNNNNNNNNNNNNNNNNNNNNNNNNNNNNNNNNNNNNNNNNNNNNNNNNNNNNNNNNNNNNNNNNNNNNNNNNNNNNNNNNNNNNNNNNNNNNNNNNNNNNNNNNNNNNNNNNNNNNNNNNNNNNNNNNNNNNNNNNNNNNNNNNNNNNNNNNNNNNNNNNNNNNNNNNNNNNNNNNNNNNNNNNNNNNNNNNNNNNNNNNNNNNNNNNNNNNNNNNNNNNNNNNNNNNNNNNNNNNNNNNNNNNNNNNNNNNNNNNNNNNNNNNNNNNNNNNNNNNNNNNNNNNNNNNNNNNNNNNNNNNNNNNNNNNNNNNNNNNNNNNNNNNNNNNNNNNNNNNNNNNNNNNNNNNNNNNNNNNNNNNNNNNNNNNNNNNNNNNNNNNNNNNNNNNNNNNNNNNNNNNNNNNNNNNNNNNNNNNNNNNNNNNNNNNNNNNNNNNNNNNNNNNNNNNNNNNNNNNNNNNNNNNNNNNNNNNNNNNNNNNNNNNNNNNNNNNNNNNNNNNNNNNNNNNNNNNNNNNNNNNNNNNNNNNNNNNNNNNNNNNNNNNNNNNNNNNNNNNNNNNNNNNNNNNNNNNNNNNNNNNNNNNNNNNNNNNNNNNNNNNNNNNNNNNNNNNNNNNNNNNNNNNNNNNNNNNNNNNNNNNNNNNNNNNNNNNNNNNNNNNNNNNNNNNNNNNNNNNNNNNNNNNNNNNNNNNNNNNNNNNNNNNNNNNNNNNNNNNNNNNNNNNNNNNNNNNNNNNNNNNNNNNNNNNNNNNNNNNNNNNNNNNNNNNNNNNNNNNNNNNNNNNNNNNNNNNNNNNNNNNNNNNNNNNNNNNNNNNNNNNNNNNNNNNNNNNNNNNNNNNNNNNNNNNNNNNNNNNNNNNNNNNNNNNNNNNNNNNNNNNNNNNNNNNNNNNNNNNNNNNNNNNNNNNNNNNNNNNNNNNNNNNNNNNNNNNNNNNNNNNNNNNNNNNNNNNNNNNNNNNNNNNNNNNNNNNNNNNNNNNNNNNNNNNNNNNNNNNNNNNNNNNNNNNNNNNNNNNNNNNNNNNNNNNNNNNNNNNNNNNNNNNNNNNNNNNNNNNNNNNNNNNNNNNNNNNNNNNNNNNNNNNNNNNNNNNNNNNNNNNNNNNNNNNNNNNNNNNNNNNNNNNNNNNNNNNNNNNNNNNNNNNNNNNNNNNNNNNNNNNNNNNNNNNNNNNNNNNNNNNNNNNNNNNNNNNNNNNNNNNNNNNNNNNNNNNNNNNNNNNNNNNNNNNNNNNNNNNNNNNNNNNNNNNNNNNNNNNNNNNNNNNNNNNNNNNNNNNNNNNNNNNNNNNNNNNNNNNNNNNNNNNNNNNNNNNNNNNNNNNNNNNNNNNNNNNNNNNNNNNNNNNNNNNNNNNNNNNNNNNNNNNNNNNNNNNNNNNNNNNNNNNNNNNNNNNNNNNNNNNNNNNNNNNNNNNNNNNNNNNNNNNNNNNNNNNNNNNNNNNNNNNNNNNNNNNNNNNNNNNNNNNNNCCCUUCUUCUUCUUCUUCUUUGCCCCCUCUCUUGUUUUGUUAUAGAGGUAUGUUUGACUAAAUCGUUCGAUCAUUCUUGCUGGUGAUCUUUUUCUUGAGGGGAACUCAGAAACUGACCUUUCUUCUUCCUUUCAAUUUUUCUGGUCUUCAAAUUCCGACGACUAUUAUCCACUUCUCAUUCUACGAGUACUUUUGGAUUUUAGGCGACCCAUCAAUAGUUGUCCUUGGUUUUGCUCCCCAUCGCAAUUGUGAAUAAAGGGCUCAGUACACGAGACAAAUCGGCAAAAUAUUUAAUAGAACCUGUAUCAAAGAUGACACGUUUUCUACACAGUAAUCGCCAAUUCACAUUCCAGAAGGAAUCUACCACUUGAAAUACUAGUUCAGAAACUGACAAAAAUAGAGCUACAAGCCUACAACUCUCUUGCUUUCCUUCAUCGCCCGCGCACUCACCUCAUAUCCACACCCACAACAAUGAACUUUUUUUAUCACUCUUCUUCUCUUUCUUCUACCAGUUCUUUUUCUAUUAAACUGGAGAAGAAGUUCAUCAAGAAAGCUACCUCCGGGUUCAUUGCAAAUCCCCAUUAUAGGCCAAAGCCUUGGCCUGCUCCGAGCCACAAGGACAAAUGCAGGAGAAAGAUGGCUUCGAUAAAGAGUGAGGAAAUAUGGACCAAUCUUGAAGCUCAUUCUCUUGGGAAGACGGAUGGCGUACACUCAAUGGACAAGCAGCAAACAAUCUUGUAUUCUGCGGAGACAGCAGCAAGAUUGCCAACAAGCAAACAUCAUCCAUCCGCACGAUUCUGGGAGACUGCAAUCUAUUGGAAGUCAGUGGCCAAGAUCACAGACACGUGAGAGACUCUCUGAUGUCGUUCUUGUGACCAGAAUCCCUGAAGCAGUACGUGGGGAAAAUGGAUGAAGAAAUCAGAAAGCACAUCGAAUUGCACUGGCAGCGCAUGGAAAGAGCUGUGGUAUGUCAAUAUUCUGUAAAACUCCCACUGUUGCCUUGAUCUGUUUGAGAUAUAUCCAAUACAUAACAAGUUUAAGAUACAUAUGGCGUAUGCACUCAUUCUCUCAUAUAACUGGUGUUCACACUUGUAUGGCCUCCGCAUAUAUCGACUAAGAGAAUGAAUGCAUAGAUUAAAAGUGCAAAUAAUCUCUUCAAUAAACAAAAGAAGAGUAAAUGACACUAGUGUUUUGAUUUUUCCUAUAGGCAUGGCCCCUGAUGAAAAACCUUACAUUCAACGUUAUAAGCUCUCUUAUCUUCGGUGUUGAGGAAACAUCUGAAAGAGAGAAUUCUUGCAAAAUUUUCAAGAAAUGAUAGAGGCAAUGUGGUCGAUACCAGUAAAGCUGCCAUUCACACACUACACUAGGAGCCUCUGUGCAAGCUCUAGGGUCCAAGAUCUGUUGAAGGAGCUUGUAGCCUUGUACAGGAGAAGAAAGCAAAAAUAGAGCAGCGCAUUGCCACUCUUUAUCAAGACUUGAUCACGUGCCUGUUAAGUAGGCAUGAUGAAGAAAAUAAACAAGUUGUGACUGACAAGGAAAUUUUGCACAAUAUCAUGCUAAUCAUGGUUGCAGGACAUGAUACCUGUUCUGAUGACUUUUAUGCUGCGUCUUCUAUCAAAGAAUCCCUCUGUUUAAAAAGCUGUUCUUCAAAGUACACAUCCUCUAUUUCCGGCAUCUUUUUAGAUUUGCCGAAUCUGCAUAGGGAUUCCUGCAGCCCAAAAAGGAAGGAAAACAAAACUAAAAGAUGAAUUUGUUAAUUAAUGAAUCUAUUUUGCUGAUGGAAAAUGGAUGACUUGCCAAAUGUAAGAAAAGUCAAUACACAAAUUAUUCGAAGUUUCCGAAGUCAGAUGUCAACUUUAAUAACAAAGCUCAAAAGCAUGUUCUUCCCCCUUAUUGCAAUUCAUAAGCCUCUCUUGCUUUUGCAGAACAAGAAGAGAUAGCAAAAAGCAAGACUUCGAGGAUGGUUCCACCUGUUUUUGCUAGCUUCAGGAUAGCCUUCAAGGAUACCUCAUUCCUAAAGGCUGGCAAGUAAGGAUGCUUGUAACUUUUCCUAUCUCUUCAAAUACUUGCAUUAUCUGCUAUUUAUUCUCUCUAUCUGUGAAACCAGUCGCUUAAUAUACCUUUGGAACUUAACAUGUGAUUUAGAUCUUCUAGGCAUCAAGCAUGACACACAUGAUGAGAGCAUAUUCCUGGAGCCAUCAAAGUUUGAUACUGCUAAAUUUGAAAACCAGAAGAUAGUACCACCCUACAGCUUUAUUGCUUUUGGAGGAGGGCCUUGCAUAUGCCCAGGAAACGAAUUUGCGAGGAUUGAAAUCUUUGCUACAAUCCAUUAUUUGGUCACUCAGUACUCUUGGGAGUUAUGUUCAGAUGAUCAUUACAUGAGGGACCCAUGCCAGUACCUACUCAAGGACUACUGCUUUGGAUUGUGCCUAAGAAACAGAAAUGAUCUUUCCUUGACCAUCCAGGACUUCAACUAUGCCAGCUUUUCAGGACUUAGCUACAUCAAACAUCCCCAUUAGUGGAUAAAAGUUGAAACGCCAUUAACCCAAGAAAGAAGCCAGUGCUUUUAGAAACUCUUCUGGAUAACAUAACAAAGUGUAUUCUGCCAAUGGUGUAUGCUUUCAUUUUAUAUGAAGCUAUAUGCAUGUCAUCAUUACAAAUUUAAAAUUGAGCUUGACUGCCCAGUAUUCAUGCAAUUUUCCUUAUCUUAGCCCCUCCAGAAACUAUCAACGCUUGCUAUAUUAAUAAAACCAAAUGCUGUUUGAACAGAAAAAGGCCUAAUUUUUCUUUUGCUCUUCCAAUUUCUUUGGGUUGGUUUGAAUCUGAUUUAAUUUUUGUGUUUUUCCCUUCUUUCUUGCUUUUUACCUAACAAACCAUGAUAUUUCAACAAACAGUGAUGACAAAGCAUCAAAUUAUGACAAGGAGAUUCAUUUAUAUUGAUUGAAUCAUGCAAUAGUGAAGGUAAAAUUAUUUAUAUUAGUUGAAAGGUGAUCAUUCUUGACAUGGAGUGACAGCAAAAUACUUUCGUACUUUCUCUUUGUAAAGUGAAUAUUGUUUUACUCUUUUAUUUGAAAUCUAACAUGUAGAAAGUAAUUAACUAAGCUAAAUAAUAUAGAGUAAUUUGAGAAAUGGCAAUAUCUAUCCGAAUUCCGACAUGUCAACACAUUGAACUUUGAUGUAAUUAGAUAUAUCUGUGCACGUCAUACUCUAGUAUUCCAUUGAAUUACACCAUAAAUGCUUGAGUAUAUAUUUUGAUACUCAACCCAGUGUGCUUGCUGGUAGUCAAUAUUCACAAAGUUAAAUAAGAGAAUUACAGUGCAGAAAAUCAGCACAUCUUUGGCAGAUUCAACUUAGAAAUAAUUAAGAGGCAAAGGACCUAUAGGUUCUUAAGUCUUUGCAGAACUAGCGAAGAGCUCAAAAAUGCCAAGGCAGGCGAUUGGGAUGCAUGAGAUUCUGCAAAACCUUGAGAAGUGCAAAAGACAGGGGACAGCAGAGACAAAUGAUCAAUGCAAUCAACAGGCACAAAUGAUCAAUGCAAUCAUGCGAUAUGAACUUGAACAGAAAAUUGCCCAAGAGCUCAUUAUGUCAGGGCAAGCUGGAAGAGGCUUACCCUGAAGUGGAUUUACCCAAUCUUUCAUCUUUACAUCAUCUGUGAUCAUCGACCAUCGACUCAAAAACAUCUAACAGUUGAUCCAGUCCCUCCGGACUGCCCCCAACCGCCUUCAUUGCGUAGAUGGCCCUCUCGAGAGUGGACAAACAUCCAGCCUUAGGCUGCUAACUUCUCUGGACAAGCUCAUCACCUCCAAAUCCAACUUCAGAUGAGGCGACGGCUUCAACCAAGGAUUCUCGCUGUACAUUCUCUUCGCCUUCAUCCACGUGCCGUCCAGCACGAUCAAGUUCCUGACUUUGAACUCGGCUGCCUUGAGUUCAUCAAUGCUGAGCGCAUUCUUGGUCGGAAACAGAAGUACGAACCCGCGCGGCACCUCAAGUACGAAUUCCACAGAUUCUUCAAGCUCCAAGCUCGAAUUCGAUACAAGGUUUUGCGAUUUCCUAAUCACAAAUCCAUUCGACAGAACGUAUCGAGGCCCGGAGAUCGGAUUCGGGCGCAGAGACACGUGCGCGCCGGCUUGGAACAGGACGGGCAGACGUGCCGCAUCGGAUUGGUGGAGCGAGCCGUUUCCGACAUUUUUGCGGAGCCGCGGCGGGCGGUGGCGGCGAUCCGGCUGGGGAAGGAGGGAGCUUGAGGAGGAGGAGGGUGGCCGGGGACGCGUAUCGAAACGGGCUCGGAUUCAGGUUCGGGAACGGGUUCGCGAAUCGGAUUCGGGUUGUGAAAUGGACCCGCAUUUCCCCAGAAAUUGGGAGAUGAUUUUUGGGAAUCUUGAGAGAAACGGUAGGGGCCAGAGCGGGCAGUGGCGCUGUUUGGCCAAAACGGUCGAGCAAAUGGUUUUGAAUUUACUAAUGAGCGUGCCAGCGGCGGCCUCUAUGAUUCAAAUCCGAAAAAUAGUGUGCAUAGGCCAAUCGAUGACUGCCGCCAUCAGGUGAGGCUGAAUAUCAUGGCGGCGACCAAGUGGUGGAGAUUGUUCUCGUGGGUUUAUCAUGCUAUGAGACGGCAACCAUUGUAGCAAUGGUCGAAAUCAGGAUGAUGAAUGACCGAAAUCAUGCAUCUAGACACAGUAAGUAUCCACUUAGAUCAAAUGGUCAACAAGUUAACAAUUGAGGCCUUGAAGAUUUUAGCAGAGGAAGUUGAUAUGUUCUUUAGAUCCUUGGACGGCGGUUGCAUUUGCGCUUCAGAUUGUAAUAGCAGCCUCAGGGUUCCUCCUUUCGAAGUCUUCUGAGUAUGUAUCACUUAGACAUCCUAAGCUUCAUAUCAGCUGCUAAUAAUGCUGCGAAACUUCACAUAAAAUUGCCUUCUUGGAAUUUGCAUGAGUAGUGUCCAAUUUCAACCUAGUGAGGAACUUUUUGGCCAAAAAAAAAAAGAAAAAAUAAUUGGUUGAUGUUUCAAAUUAACCAAAGGACGAUGGAUCUAAAUAUCUAAGAAACUAAAGGACUAGCAAAGUCUACUUCCUGUUCGACUUAGAACUGAAAGGAAAAUUUAUAAAAUUUAUUAUUAUGAUUGAUCUUUCCAAAAUGUUGCCUCCUAAAGAAAAGGGAGAAUUUUGGGCGAUACCGCGUUUAAUUUGUUUGUGUUUAGAAAUGAUUUCGAACAUGAUAUUGCAUAAACUUGUUGAUUGAAAAUGUUGUGCCACACACGUUACUACUUGCUCUUUUGGAUCAAACCAACUUGACAUGGAUUGAACUGUUUCAACAUUAAACUAUUCAAAAUAUUUGAUCUGCUUACUGAUUUUAUCAUAUUUGGAAACACGGGCGGGCAAGUUUUCUUUUUGCCCUUUGUUGUCAAAAGAAGAAGAAAGAAUUGCAUAGCUAUCACCUCUAUUUUGACAAAUAUAGUAGCUUCCCAUGUCUGGGAUAAGACGAUGAAACUCGCAAGGGUUCAUCCUAAGUCGGCUUGUGCUUCGUACAAUGUCUUGUAACCGACUUGUUAGCUUAGUACCCCGAUUACCUUAUACUCCUUUUCUUCAAUUAUUAUUUUAAUACACAGAGAGAGGGCCAAUGCUGAGGUCUUGAUGAGCACCGACUACCCUUGAGCAACCACUUCAACACUUCCUGGAAGAGAGAGGAAACACACCUCCUUCUCUUCAUUUCCAUUUUCCUAUUAUUUUGUUUUUUUUUUUUUUGUGGUCUUUGCCUUUUAUUUUUUUAAAAUUUUUGCCUUUUUUUUUAUAUGUCACAUUAGCGCCAUGCAUUCUCAAAAUUUUUAGAAAUGUCAUAUCUCCACUUUCCAUCACUUAAAUUGAACGCAUCUAAUAACUUGAUUGCUUUAAUUAAAUUAGUUUACAACUUCAUAUUACUUUUAUCAUAAGUUCUAGAACUUAGGUGCCCAUAUUAAAAGAAAUGAAAGAAACGUCGAAGAUAGAGAGAGACAAGGGGCUGGUCUUGUGUCCGGUUCAUUCCGGGUCAGCAAGUCGAUAAUGUCACUAGCCAUGAAUUAUGGAGGAACUUGAUUUCAUUAACAGAGAAAAGCUGAAGGACAUAUUUCCUUUUUUCCCCCGAGAAUGACAGCACGUGAAUUCGGAGGAAGCUCCUAGAGGCACGGUCUGUCCUUAAGCCACACGUUAGAUAUAUUAUUGGUAAAUGGUAAUGAACAUCAUAGUUUCUUAUGGAAUGAUCCUCGGCAUCCUCAUGGGGUGUUGUUUGGAUGUUUAUCCCAAAAAACUAAUUUAUGAUGUUGCACUGGGCCUGAACUCUCUAGUUGCUGGUGUCAUUUGUAGAGAUGAGUGGGUUUGUCCUCCAGCAGGAUCAAAAUUGUUUGUGCAUAUUCAAGCAGCCAUAUGUGGAACGAUCUUUCUCCUGCUCUGCUUUUGAGGGUAGAGCAAUUUUCAAAGGAAAUUCCUCUGGAUGCUUCACCCAGGCAGAUGCUAGGAAGUGGGUAAGGGAUAAAAUGCAGAAGAUCUAAUCCAAGUUUGCAUAAAUUCAGCGUUGUAGCUUGGCUUGCUAUCUUGAACAGGCUGCAAACCUUGGAUGGGAUAAAAAGGGGGUCCUCCAUUGAUGACAAAUGUGUCUUAUGCUAUUCUUCCCAAGUCUAGGAAACCUUUGUUUUUUAGGGUGCCUUCUCAAAGGAUGGAGAUCUCUAAUGGGUUUGGUUAAAGUUUGUUGGAACGUUAAUAAUUGGGAUAGAAUGAGUUCUUUAGAGCUUGUAGAGGGAGGUCUUUGACUAAAAUCGUAUUGAAACUCAUUUGGAAUGGUGCCAUCUACUCUAUUUUGGGGAUAGGAAUGGAGUUUUUCACAAUCGUGCUGCUCCUCCGUCUGAUGGAGCUGUUAAAGUGGCGGUCUUUGGUGUGAGACUCCGCAUCAAGCUGUGGUAGGAAACAAAGAGUCUUUCGAAUGAUGCAGAGAAAGCUCUGUAUAUGAUAUUUUGGAUUGUUUGUUAAGUCUGGGCGUUUUCUGUUGUUCUUUCUAUACGCUUCAUAUACUAACCCGAAAAAAAGAGCUAACGGAAUUAAUUGCAAGUUGGAGGAUUUCAUAGCACAAAAAUGAUAAAGCAAGACCGUAUCUCAAUAUUGAGAUAUGGUUUUUUUUUUUUUAACCGACCAAAAAACAAAAGACCGUAUCUCAAUAUAAGAUUUGCAUUUACGGGAUUGGUUCUUAUUUUCUUUUUAUGGUUUCCAGUGCCACUCACCACGUGCAUCUUUCCAUGGAGGUUGGACCUGGCGGCUAGUUCCUUGAUGUUGGUCCGGUCCUAUAAUCCGAAAAGUCCUUUCCUGACUGCCAUUGACUCUGUUUUUCCAUUUCAUAAAAAUGCCCGACUUUUGAUCUUUCUCGAGUACCCCAAAAGCCUGACAAAUCCAUAAACUCCUGAAAAUUUAAACUGGCAACCUCCUGAAAUUCCUGACGCUAAUCCCUUCCGUGGUCCAGAUUGCCAGAGCAGCUUUGGUCCUUCCUUUUCAUCUAUGUUUGCUACUUUGGAAUUUCCAAUUUCGUCGGUUCUUGUCUAUAUCUGCUAUUUACCCACUCUGAGGGAUCCUCAGGUGGUUCUGCUUACUGGGUGAUAUUUCUUUCGUUUUUUUUUUUCGGUUGGAUGGUUACUAAGUGAUUGGGAAAGGGUUUAGUAUGGUUUCUUUUUUAUACAUGCAGAUCUUGGCUGACUUCAUUCUUUUCUAGUUAGCUCGAAGUUGUCUCCUCUCUCGUAGCUCAGAAUAAGUGAUGCCUAGAGAGGUUGAUCCAUUUCGGAGGCAUGUGGAGGUUGUGGCGAACAAGUGGAAGUGUAAGUUUUGUGGCAAGGAUUUUGGUGGAAGUGCUACAGGGAUCAGGGCACACCUCGUGGGGGCUCUGGGCUAUGGUAUUAAACUAUGCGAGAGAGUUGAUGAGCAUGUGGGAUCCCAAGCUUUGAUAUUGAUGAAAGGUAAAAGUGUGGCGGAUGCAACCAACAGGGUAUGGGCCAAAUUGUAGUCCUUGGUAGUGACCAUGCUUCGAGUCCCCAUAGUAUGCAGGACUUGAAUCGAAACGUCCCAGAGCAACCAUCUUGCCAUUGGCAGAAUGGAAGUGUUGCUGGUGCAGCUUCGUAGAUUGUCAGCAUCAAGAGACCUUGUGUCUCGUUGGCAUGCCAGUGGGUGAUGCAGAAUUGCCCCCGCAAGGGCCGCAACCCAAUGGGUCAAUUCAACGCUUGAAUGAUGAACAUGGAAACGAAAAAACUUCAUCUCUCCAGCAACCUGCAACCGAUCCCUUGGCUUCGAUUUUUCUUGAUCCAAAGUUAACUACCAGAGCUUUUUGAUCAGUUUAUUGAUCUGGAGACGAGGUAUGAACAACGGAAUAGUAGAGGGCCAUCACCAUUGCAAAGUCAUCGAUCCCUUAAUAACAGCGUGACAAAUGGGUUGCAUCAAGUCAACUAGACCUGGUGGUGCUGCGCCUGGUCCCCGUCUCAGUGACACAAGUACAAUUGGCACUCCCCAGCAUCCCAAUCAAACUCAUUUGGGCUUUGAUGAACAAUGGAGAGGUGAAAGCGCUCCAUGUCCGCAAAUAUCUUCAGCAGAGUGGGUGUCUUGUCUUCUCGAUAUGCCCUAUCAGCCACAGCAUUCCAUUCCAUCUUGUUAUUCUGAGGAAAUGCCAAUGAAUGACCUGCAGAAUUGAACGGGUGCAUCGUCGUCACAAAAUGAUCAAUCCCUUGACGUUCAAAUUGUUUGCAACACUGCAAUUAAAUCCCUAUUGCCGAAGUAGUUCCGCUGUCCAAUGCUACAAGUGUAACCAAUGCCGUUGAGCAUUUUAGUCAACAUCCACUUCUUAUAUGUGAUGAAGAAUGUGAAAAUGAGAGUAGUUCCUUUCCCUCACAAGCUUCAAUGGACAUAUCUCCGCCAAGUGUAUUACAGCCUUUCACUGGCCCUCAUUCUUUUGAGAAACUGGACGUAGAUUCCCAAGUUCCACAGGGCGGAACUAAGAAGGCCCAUUGUCAUUACAAGGUAUGCCUUGAAGUGAGCCUUCUCUUCUCUUUUCUACUGUCUCCUAUUUAACAUCUCCCACGUUUUCCUAAUUAUAGGUGUAUCCUUGAAUGUUUCAUAUGUGCACUUUCUCUUAUUUUUUAAUGAUGAUAUUAUAUGAGAAUAUCAAACAGACGUAGAUGUUAGUUUCAGUGUAGAUGUUUUGUGGGAUUAAGUCUAGAUUUUGACUCUACUUACGCUUGUGGCUNNNNNNNNNNNNNNNNNNNNNNNNNNNNNNNNNNNNNNNNNNNNNNNNNNNNNNNNNNNNNNNNNNNNNNNNNNNNNNNNNNNNNNNNNNNNNNNNNNNNNNNNNNNNNNNNNNNNNNNNNNNNNNNNNNNNNNNNNNNNNNNNNNNNNNNNNNNNNNNNNNNNNNNNNNNNNNNNNNNNNNNNNNNUUGAUUACAUGUUUCCCACAAGCUCCGAUGGACAUAUCUGUGAGUAGUCCAUCAUCACCGCAAGGUACAUGUUAAUUCAUCUAAACUGAUCCUUAUGUAUCCUGAUGUUACUUAAUUAGGGAGAAGCAUGAAUGCUUACAUUAGGAUCUAACACGUAGAAUUCUUGAUUCACAAUCAGCUAUUUAUAGAGUCAUCCAAACGCUGGCAACUUCGAAAAUAAUGGAGCCUUGAAAAGAAAGGUAGAACGACUCUACAAUAGAGAAGCUGACAUAAAGAAUGAUAUAGAAUUUGCUGCAUCUCUAUCUCUGAAGAAGCGGAGAAUAGAAGUUGUGAAUUGGUUGACAAACGUGGAAACGCAGAGGAAAAAUUUCCAAAGUCUUAACCAGCGAGCGCAGAAAAUUUGCGACCACAAUAACAGGUGGAUAUGUUGAUGGAAGAAGCGGUAGGCCUUAUCAUAAAAAGCAAAUUUCCAGAAGGACCGUUUGAGGUGGGAGAUGCCAAAGUCAAUAUAUUAUUAGAACGAAAGUUGCAGGGAGGAAAGGCAUUUGACACAUACUAAGAAGAUCUUGCGGUAACUAAUAGAGGAUCGCAUAUCAUGAUCAGGCAUUUACGGUAUGGGGGGUGUCGGGAAAACAACCAUUAUGGUGCACAUACAUAAUAGGCUCCUAGAAAAAGAAAAUCAUAUUAAUGCAUUGUGGAUUGCUGUGUCACAAGAUCUCAACAUACAUAAGUUGUAAGGUGACAUUCAGCUAAUAUAUUCAAAAAAAAUUUCAUGCAUGGGUGUUAAUUUGGAUAAUGCUAACUAUUUAUAAAACAUGAAAAUAUAUAUNNNNNNNNNNNNNNNNNNNNNNNNNNNNNNNNNNNNNNNNNNNNNNNNNNNNNNNNNNNNNNNNNNNNNNNNNNNNNNNNNNNNNNNNNNNNNNNNNNNNCUCGUGUUUUUGGGUCAUUAAAAAAAAUAAAAAUCUUUCUUUAGCAACUUCUCAAAUUGGUAAAUUGUUGAACGGAUGAUAUUAAGGAGCAAAUCAUUAAAAUGUGGGGGCCAUAAUACAUAUGCCUAAUGUGGCGCUACGCGUCAACUUGCUCUAUCUAUUUGGAGAAUAAAUUCGGCUUUCGACGAUAAAUUUUUUCCUCGAGUUGCGCAUGCAUGUCCAGGAACAAAUGGGAGAAGAGAGAUACAUCGUCCAACUAAUGCUAGAAAUAAGAAAGGAUUGAUGUGGUAAAUGACUUUACAAAAUAAUAUGGUAAAUUCUAAGUAUUUAUUUGAGUCAAUAUAUAUUUGAAAACUCAAUAGUAUCUCGUCACUUCAUGUUAUAUAUCAUUUAAUAUGUCAAAUCUCGAACAUUGUACUAAUAAAAUCACUCUAAAACUCAAUUAGACCAGCUCCAAGUGAGCACCUCAAAGGUAAGAACUUGAGUUCACUUAUGAUUAUCAAGGCCCAUUGGUAAUAAAUAAAUAAAUAAAUAAAGGAAAAGGGUGAGAAAUAUCAUGUGGUGUCGCCGGCGCUGACGUGGAUAAAAUUUAUAAUUUUUUAAUAAUUUUUCAAUUGUUUUUCUUUUAUCAUUCUCCGUACCCCUUGGCUAAUGAGGUUGUCGGCUGACCAUCGUUGGCCAUAGGCCGGUCAGGGUGACGGCCCUUACGCCUUUGUCGACCACAGGUGAGCACGUCGGCCCCCCUAGAUCUAGGCGAGGGCCUAAACCCUCACUUGUUGGCCGAUGAGAGCCUUCGUGCCCUCAGCAGCCACAGGCGAGGACGUGAAGGCCUUUGUUCGUGGCGGGCAAGGACUGCAACACCAUAAGCGAGGCCGUUGUGGCCAUCACUUGGAUUUGGGCAAAGGCAUUGUGCCCUCGCUUGGAUUUGGGCGAGGGCCACCGUGCCCUCACCCACCACGAGCGAGUGCUACCACGGCCUCGUUUGCGGCUAACGAGGGCGUAGAAGCCUUGGCUAGCCAAUGGGCAAUGAUUUCAACCCUUGCCUAGGUUUGGGUGAAGGCCCACGUCCUUGUCGAGCGCAGUGGCCCUCACUAGUGGCUGUUAAUGGUGCGGGGACCCUUGCCUCGACCAGCCUGUGGCCGACGAUGGUUGGCUGGCGACCUUGUCGGCCAAGGGGCUAAGGAGAAAGAAUUUUUAUUUUUAUUUUUAGAAAAAGAGAAAAAAAAAAUGGAAAAAAAAAUAUUUAAAAAUUAUAAAAUUGGUGUACGUCAGCAUCGGCAAUUUCUAGCUUAAACUUGUUGGAUAUAUUGAAUUGGUAUCAAUAUGAAAAUGAUUAGAAUUAAAUUGAUCAAAUGAAAAGUUUAUGACUGAAUUGGUAUUAAUGCAAAAGGUUUAUCACUUUUUUUUGUUACUUUUCCCUCAAAAUAGGUCACUUGAAAUCUCAUUUGGUUUCGUCUCUAAAAGAAAUGAAAGUUAUGUGAGGUCGAAUGGCAUCCAUAUAAAUAGACACAAAUUGUUCAUUAUUUUGGUAAGAGGUUAUUGUUUAGAAAUGAAAAAGAAAAGGAUAAAAAGGUGAAAGCAUGAGGUGGCAACUUAAUAAGCCACAAGUCAACUCUCCAUGCACUAUAUUAAAAUGAGAUUUUAGUAGGUUAAUUGUUGAUAUAAAAAAUAAUUUGCAUAUUCACAAUUAGGCGCUGACAUGUGGAAGAAUUCAAUUACAAAAAUAAUUUCACAUACACACGUCACUUGUUCAUAGUAAGUGUGUAAUGGGGCUUUAAACACUACGUAUCUAAUAAUAAACAAUUAGCUUACUAGGUUAUUUGGUUAACUAUUUUUCUUUAUUUAGUUUAACACAAUAUUUCACUAUUAAUUAAUUAGACCAAAUAGAUCGCAUAUUCAGAUAUUCAAAAUUUUCAUGCACGGGGUUAAUUUGGAUAAUGUUAACUAUUUAUUAGAAUAUUGGAAAUAUAUUAUUUCGUAGAAGGUAAGCAGGAAAAAAAGAAAGAAAGCUAAAGAUACAUGUGGCGGAGUAAAAACAAUCGGAUCUUUAAGAAGGGAAUAAAUCAUUUUUAUUAUUUUAGUAAUAGGUUAAUAUGUAGAAUGGAAUAGAAAGGAUAUAAAAAAGCGAAAGCAUGCGAGGACAACAAUGUAGGGGGCAACAUGCCAAUUCUCGAUAAGGCCUCCAUCUCAUGGAUUCUCCUUCAUGUGGCACUGGAUUUUCUUAUUCAAGUGGUUAAAGAUGCGACAAAAGCUUUAGUUGAAAUAGUUUUUGGGAUUACGACCCAAAAGAAAAAAUUAGUUUUUGGGACAACGAGGGAUCUACCUAACACGGCAUCAGAAAUUCAGCAAAUUAAUAAUCUAAGCAGCAGCCGUGGAAAUUCGCUCAGUUUUUUUUUUUUUUUUUUUUUUGAACGGAACGAACAUAGUAUUAAGAUGAAAAGGCCUUACAUCCCGCGGCUAGAGCAUCCGCGCAUAAAUUCGCUCAGUUUACGUUGCAUAUUUGGCGAUUCUCUUUUGCAGGAGACAAUAGCUCGAGAUGCUAACGUGGGCAAGGGUUCAUGAUUGGAGUAGUCUGCAAUAAAAUAAAGCAUAUAUGGACCCUUCAACAGUAUUGUUGAUCAGGAUUCAAGACUUUGAACAAUGCCAACUCUCUCUCUCUCUCUCUCUCUCUCUCUCUCUCUCUCUCAUUAAAAAAUAAAGAAAUGACGAAGAAAAGACGGAGACAUUUCCUGCGCGCGUUCUUAGCGACUGUUGCGUUGUCUCUUAUGGCAAAAUUCCUUGUGACUCUUCACCAAAAGCUGUUCAUUCCCACGUGCAGCAGCAGGCCUGUGCCUUUUGUUUCUCUGGGAGUUUGCUGGAGUCCUGGACGCUGACCAGUGCUUCAGAAUCUCAAAAACAGCUUCUUAUUUCUACUUCUUGAUUUGCAUCUUUGCCACUUACAUGCAUCCGAAUCUUCUUUUUCGGCCCUAACUGGGAUGUUGCUUCGUCUUCAUCUUUGCCAUUUUCCAUUUGUAAAAAUUAAGGAUAAACUCUCCAACUGUCCUUAUUUAACCGGAUCAAAUAUAUGCGCAUCGGACAAGUAAAUUUGAUGGAUUUUAUGUGAAACGAAUUCUGUCGGGUUGAAUGAUCCGGAUGUAAUUGGGUGGACGUAGGUGUGAGAUGCAAUAACCUUCUGUGAAUUUUCUGAUGGCAAACAUAUACACGUGCUUUGAUUUUCUUUUUAAAGUCGAGAUUAUGCUUCAUCGUAUUUUACAAAUCAUUUUUCUAUGCAUGAAAGUUGCUCCGUGUUUGGGUCAUCUACAUAAAUUAAAGAUCUAGGCUUGAUCAGUUUAUGAGGAUUUAUAGAAUGUUCCAUGAUCUUCCAAGUAAUCGGGUUUUGUGCUUAUGUCUUUGGGUAAAAAAACGGUCUUUCUUCCGCAACUUCUCAAAUUGGUAAAUUGGUAAAGGGAUGAAAUUAAGGAGAAUAGCCUUAAAGUAUGGGAGAAAAAAAAAGAAUUGUACUGUCCAUGUUAUUGACAUCAUAAUCUUUAAAAAUCAAAACUAUUUAGGGUACGUAACUGAAAUGAUAUCUGUACCUUGCGAAGGGUAACUUACAUGCUCUUUGGUGGUUAUAUUGUUUGUUUCCAUGUGUUUGUAUUUUUCUCCAUGACAUUAUUCAUUUGUUCUCUUCCUUAACAAACAGAACAUCACAGUAGUGGAUACAUUAGAAUGACACAAAAUUUUGGAUAGAAGAUAAAAGGGGAAAAUGAGUACUUUUUUUUUUAUCGGAAUAUUUUUAAAACAAUGCAAUAAAUUCUAACUGAUUCUUUUAGUUAAUUGAUGUAUUUCAAUGUUCAAUGAGAUUCUGUCACAUCAUUUUACAAAUCAUUUUAGUGUAUUAAAUCUCUAAUAUUAUACUAAAUAAAGCACUCUAAAUUCAACUACACCAACUAUAAGGGAGCACUCAUCGAAUUAACAAGAACUCGAGUUCACUAAUGACUAUUAAGGCGCAUUGGUGAAAAGGAAAAGAAAAAGGCAAAGGAAGGCAAAGGGGGAAAAAAAGAGGGUUGGGGGCAGGGGUCUCAUCGUCUCAUUAUAUUUCUCUGAAAGAAACAGUACGGAGAGAGAUCGAGAAAUACAGAGAGAGGGGAAGAGCGACGACAGUGGAUUGCAGCCUGUCCAAAGGGAAUCACCAUUUUCGAACCCUAGAAAACAGAUUUUAGCUCUAUUUCUCACAAAUUUUGUAGUUUUGUUUUAAAGUUAACAUCUGAAUCUCUUGUGGAUUUUGCUUCGCCAGCAACGAUUCGGUCAAAAUCAAACGAUAUUUUGUUUUAAAAUUAAUUCUGACAUUGAUUUUUUUUUCUUUAGAGUAGAUUGGGUCUUUCUCAUGUAAAAAAUAGCAAGUUAUACUUGGGUCUGUCCGUAGCUUUUCUUAAUAUUAAUCCAAUUUAAUGGAAAUUAGUAGAUGAUAAAUUUGUCACAAAUUCACAAGUUUUGGGUUUUUGGUGUAAAAAUUGGUUUGAGAUAAAUUUGUUAUAUGCGUAUUAAUUUGGAAUAUUUCCUAAUAUUAACAUUAUUAGUGGUUCUUUUAGUUUAUAGAUAGAAAAUUCGGUCGCCACUUUUCAAGUCAUUUUAAUGUAUCAAAUCUCACUCUAAAUACUAUUGAGGCACGUUAUUAAGGGGUCUAAUCGUCUCAUUUGAUAGGGAAUUUGCGGAAGAGAACAGUGCUGGUCAUGUGAGCUUUACAAAUGGUGAUGUGGCUUCUUAUAAAACGUUUUAUACAAAAUCAGGAUGUUCUGUAAGAAGUGACGUGGCUUCUCAUAUUGGGCAAGACAGGAGGCCUUUAUAAGGGGUGAAUGGAAGCCUUUAUAAGGGGUGAAUGGAAGCGAAAGUGCUUCCUUAAAGGGUAUUUUCGGAAGGAAGAGUGCUCGUGCAGCUGGAGGGAGAGACAUGUGAACUUGGAGGCCAAAGUGCUUCCAAAAAGGGCAUUUUCGGAAGAAAAAGUGCUGGAAAUAGUGAUGUUGGCUUCUUAUUAAACGUUUUAUACGAAGUCAGAACUUUUCUGUACCGACAAAAAAAGAAGAAGAAGAAAAGCUCUGUAAGAAAUGACGUGGCCUGACUCCGUCAGGAACGUUUAAAUGUUUUAUACGAAGUCAGGAAAGUUCUGUAAGAAGUGACGUGGCUUCUUAUAUAUAAACCCCAACAGCUUCGUAAACCCGAGAAAAUAUUGGGUGGUCCGGGACCACCACGUCAGCGUGGUCCCCGGCCACUCACGAGGUGCCAUGUGGAGGGGUGGGCCCCACUUGGUGUCCUCUUCGCUUUUUCUCUUGCUCCUCGACGCAGUGCUCCUCUCUCUCCUCUCUCUCUCCCAAAUAACUCUCGGCUGAUGGCUCGGCUCGGCUCGGUUGGCAGAAGAAAGCACGGGUCAAUGGAUAAUAAAUGCGCAGCCCUCCCGCUUAAAAUUUCUCUCUCCUCACUUGAAUAUUUUCUGGGCUCUCUCUCUCCUCGCGGACGAGCUGCACUUCCUCUGUUUCCUUCUCAGCGUAUCCCACCCCCUCCGCCUCCGCCUCCCCAAAAAGCCUCGCCGGUCCGUCGCCUCCUCCAAGAGCCCCGCCAAUCGCAGCUGGUUCCCGAUCCCCUUUGCUUCCGACUGUUUCCAACGCCGAGAUUGAGCGUAAGGUUUGUGCUCGCCUGGGUCUCUAGGCAACUUCUGGGCCUCCCUCCCUCCGGCGAACUCGUCAUCAACUCCGACUCCGAGCCGCCGUCGCCGCCGCCGAUGGCGUCCUCCGUCUCUGGCAUCUACUCGUCCUUCCCCUCCCUCAGGCCGAAGACACCGCCAGCCUCCGCCGCGAAGUCGUCGGCCUUCGGCAGGAGGGAGGCGGCCUCGGUCUCGUUCCCGAGCGGCGCCAGGCUCCCCGCCGUCGACCGGGUGCUGUCCCUGUCCGACGAACUCCCUCUCUCUCUCCACCCUCCCCCUUUCCGAUUGGCGAACCACCGCGAGCAGCCGACGAACCAGGAAGCGAACCUAAUAUUUUCUCCCUUCUCCGACGCUCGAUGCCCUCUCUGCCCUCUACCCCCGACGCUCGACGGCCGAUUUAGCUCGCCUCUCCCACGACCUCCACGCUUUUGGCGGUUCUUCCCCCGCGGUUCGGUGAGGUCUCGGGUAUGCCCUCGUGCCGCGUCUCUUCUUCCUUGCUCAGCAACACUGGACUGCCUCUCUCUCUCUGAGUGUGUCUCUCUGUGCAUUCUUUCAUCCAUGAGGCAAGCAUUUCGACUAGGGUUCAGGGGUUUCGCCACCCCCUUCUUUGAGGUUCGUCCGGGUACCUCUCAUUUUUGCGUGAACCCAGCGUGAAUUUUAUAGUCUUUCUUUCCAUAUGACUACAAGCGACUGCUAAGCGACAAUGCGACGACAGUUUCGAAUCCUGGGUUUCGCUCUGUGAUGCUAAGCGUUGCUUUGGUUCCUUAAAAAGUUGCUGACUUUUUCGCAUGUUGUAGCUUCUUGGUUGCUCCGAGAUUUUGGGUUGGUCGUUCUAUCGUCUUGCUCGGAGCCAGCGAAAUGUUGUCCAAAAGGGGCAUGUCGAAUUCGUCGACACCUGAGUCGGCGGCGAUUUCUGAGGACAGGGAAGAAAUCGAAAGGAUUGGUGGCUUCAGUUCCUAGUUCUACCAAAAGUCAUGUCAAGGUAUUGUCUUUUAAUCGAACCUAUCGUUCCACCUGUGUUUUGGGGACUUGACCAUUCAGCAUUCAUUUUUUCUGCAGAAAAAUUCUGGUGCAAGCAUUGGUGAAGUCGUGUUGCCUAAUAAUGACCCGGCCAAAAUUGAGGCAAUGACAUUUCACGAAUUGAGAGCUACAUUGAGGUGGGGAUGAAUUGUUUUAGUUGCAAGCGUGUGAUAGUCGUUAUAGCGUUUCCUGCGCAACCUUUACAGUAAGCAAAACUCAAGUUUUUCUAUUUGAUGCUUGCAAAGGAGAUUAUUGAGCAGGAAGUGAAUAUUAUUGAUGGAAAACCAUGAGGUCUUGAGAAUUUGCCUUCAACAAAGAGCAAGGUCUUGAGAAUCUGCUUCGUUCGGGUCAAGAUGGCGAGCUCCACAGCCGCACAAGUCCACGGUCUUGUGCUGUAUGGUCCGGGCUUGUAGCUCUGUCGACGGCAAAAGCAAGGUUUACAGAGAACUCGGUCCGUCUCCCUCGCCUAAUUCCAUUAUGUUGUCUUUCUCGAAUGCUUUCAUGUGGGUAGUUCUUCUUUUGGUUAGAUUAAGAUGGAGUGCUCGGUUCAUUUGCAAAUGCGCAAGAUGAUAGAUGGUUCUUGCUUUUUUGAGAAGUUCUUUGACAUGUUGUUUUAGACUGCUUGCGAAGAAAUCCAGACCGAUUUGUGGUAAAAUGAAAAAGAAAGAGUGAACUUUUCCAGAUUUUAUUGGUCAUACAAUCAUGUCUUUCGUGUAAAAUUUGAAGUCAGUAAGUAUCUUUUGGGCCUGAAUCUUUCUCAUGAGGCCUCUUGCUUCACAUUAGGUGAACUCCCAUGUGUGAGUGGUUCUUGCUUUUUAAGUUAUCACCCUAGUGGAAAGAUUCUUCAUUUCUUGUUCCUCGGUGUUCCAAAUAUGCUUUGUUUCAGAGUUUGCUCUUCGGAAUUUCAAACCAGCGGUUCAUUUGAUAUCUAUGGUUGCCGUUGCAAGGAAGUUAUGUCAAACAUGUUGGAAAUAGAUGAGUUUUGCAAAAUGUGACUCCUGUAAGAGGACUUGAAGUCAAGUUUAAUUUUCUUGUACAAUCUGACAUGAAUUCUGAGAAAUGUAAGCAAAAGUGUUUCUGGGAUGUUGGUGGGGUAAAAAUCUUUGCAGUUCGGCUUUUAUGUAAAAUUUGCAUUUCUUUUUCUCCAGGGUUGUUUUCACUAAAAAGGAAGAUUGAAGAUGCAGUUCAACGCACUGAGAAGAUGGCUCCUACUGCACUGCAAAUUGAAGAAGCUAAAUGGAUUAAGCUUGAUGGACUGAUUCGAGAUUACAACCUUUGGGAUGAUCCUGAUAAAUCCUAUGAUGUUCUUGUGAAGUUGGCAGACAUGGCCAGAGCAGUCGAUGCCCUGAGGGAUUUAACUUACAAGGUGGUGUGGAAUGCCAUAUUCAUCUCACAGAAUAAGCUUUUCCGCCCAGUAGGUGUGGAUUAAGUUGGGCAAUUGUUGGGUCAAUGGUUUGCCCAUUAUAAGCUUGUCUUGACUCUUCUUCCGAGAUUAACUUGAUUCUUAAUGUGUUAAUGACUGUCAUAUCUAGUUUAACUGUAUCAAUUAAAGGAAGUGCAAUUGCUGGCUUUAGUUGACUUUUAUCUGCUGAAAUUUGCAGGCGGAAGAAGCAAAGCUGAUAACUCAACUGGUGGAGAUGGAUGCUAUUAAUUAUGCUCUUUUUGAGCAGGCAUACGCUUCGUCUUUGGAUAUGAGUAAGUUUUUGGACUGUUAUGAGAUGUUAAAGCUUCUUAAGGGACCAUAUGAUGUGAAUGGAGCGUCGAUGGUCAUCAAAGCUGAAUCCAAUGGCAAUUACCAUGAGGUUUGAUAAUCUAACUUCAUUUCUAGAAUAAUUAUGCAUGUGCAAAGAGAUGAUGUUUAUAUCACACUCUUCCGUUGUAAUAUACAUUGAUGUAGAAUAGAUGCAGAGUCUCUGGUUCCCGCUUCUUUAUAAUACUUACGCCAAAAUAUAGGAGUUUCAAAGAACUUGAGAAUGAAAAAACUGCAUAUAUAUGUACAUAUAAGGGUGGGACAUUAUUAGUGGAAUCUUGUUAGUAUAUAUGUAUGCUUGUGCGCAUCACCAUUUCAGUUACUUCUUAUUUACGAAUCUCUUUGCUUGAUGACUUAGAUGUCUUGAAAAUCAAUUGUGGGAUUUCUCCAGGGUUUAGUGGAUAUUUAAUUUAUUGUCUAGUAUCCUUCUUCCUGUGGGAGGUAUUUUGCAUGUCCCUCCCCUGAAUUCCAACUCAGAAGUAAACAUUAAGUGAUAAUGUGGUGGCUAUCAAAAGAAUAAUGAGAAAAAAGAAAAGUGAGAAUUUGAUCAGUAUGGAUAGUGGUUCGAUAUUAUUCUCCACUAUGAGGAUACUUAUGUUAUGAGGAUACUUCAUUUUGACAUCAGUAUGAACUAGGACAGGGAAUGAUAAGUUGCCAAUCUAUUUGCAUAUGAAAGAUGAAAUCUUGGAAAAUAGCGGACUGUAAUAUUCAUCUAUAAUGGGGAUAUAUUCCUUUUCCAUUAGCUAAUUCAAUGAAGUUCACUCAGUUUUGUUGACCCAAAAAAAAAAAAAGAAUCUUUUGGGCUUAAGCCUCUGCUGGUUCCAAUCUCUCUGUCUCUCAUGCAUUUGCUAAUCCAGUUAUGGGCUGAAAAACUACUGAGAAUGUACCAAAAAUGGGCUGAGAAGCAAGGUUAUUGAGGGAGGAUUGUAGAGAAGCGUCAGGCAACAAAUGGUGGAAUCACUUCUGCAACGGUUGAAUUUGAAUUUGAUUAUGCAUAUGGUUUUCUUCAAGGGGAGAGGGGUGUUCAUCGAAUGAUAAGUGGUUCAGAAACUGGAUCAACAAUUGAUGAGGUAGGUUUACAAUUAUCAUUUUUGUUUUGAUGAAACAUUGACUUUUGUAUAUUGCUAUUGGUUUUUGACUUCUUUUUAACAAUGAGCUCUGAAUGAUUUGUUUCUUCUCUUUCCAGAGAUUCAGAAGGCAAAAGUGGCAUCUUGUUAGUGCAUCAUUAAUAUCAAGAAACAAUUUAAAGUGUAUUAAAGACACGACAACAUGUAAAUGACCGUGUGCAAGGAAAAACACAUUGGAAUUGAAAGAUUGAUUGUUUCUGUGGCUCUUUCUUGAAAUCAAAGCAGCUAAAUAUGAACUUGUACUCAUGGCACCUUAUUGUAUAUAUUUGGGUAAAUUCUUUCUUGAUCUUAUCUUAAUUACACACUUAGAUAUUUGUGUGGCACCUAGAUGUCUACACGUAUCAUAGAGUCUAACAUUGGCUAAAAAAUAUAAGAUAUGCAACUUCAAAUGGUGUGGAUUAAUUUUGCACAUGAGCUUAAGGUUGAUUUAGUUCACUCAAAAACAUAGCCAAGGGAAUUGUUGCAUUUCAUGGGAUCCAACCAUUCAAGUUGUUUCUUUUUAUAGUUUAUCUGCUUCUUUUACAAGUGAAUUGAAGGUCGAGAAAAGCCUUUUCUGUGUAAUGUGUUUCUGUUCUGCUACAUCAUUGGCCCCUAAAUUCCUGUCAGUUCCUCAUUUUAGUACUCAAAAUUAUAUCGACAGCCUAGCAGCUGUCGAUAUAAUUCCUCUGUUCCGUGAUUCGGCCCCUGACCUAAAAAUUAGUGAGGAGGAUUUGCUAAUCUCGUGCCCAUCGUCAUCGCCUGAAGUAAAAGUCAUUGAAGGCCGGUCUGGAGUUGUUAUUCAGCAUGUUCCUACUGGUUUUGUUGUCCAAUCUUUGGGUAAUGAGUUGUCUAUUCCCUUAUUUGUUAGGGUUGACCUUCCAACUCAAAUUUGUUUACCAAUGAUUUCCGCAAUCUGGUUUUGACUUUACAAAGAAGCAAAUGCCUAUUCCUCAACACACGUUCAUGAUUGCCUGUCUAGUACGACAUUUUGUGAUUGAGAAAUAAGAUCUCAAAAUUUUUAUCCCAGGUGAAAGGAGCAUUUUUGCAAAUAAGAUUAAGGCCCUCAACCGGUUGAAGGCUAAACUUCUUAUCGCAGCCAGAGAUGUAGGAGUUCCAGGCAUAAAUGGCUUCAAGAAGGAAAAUGUGUUCGAUGUAUGGGGAGACAAGGUCCGAAGAUAUGUUCUUUCCCUCGCAAGCAUGUGAAAGAUGUAAGAAGUGGUGUUGAAAUGCCUGACCUGUAUUCUGUUUUGGACGGUAAUAUAGAACCUCUGAUUGGAGCUCAUAUCCAGAUGAGACUCUCAAAUGACAUGCCUCCACAGUAAAGCAGCUUUUCCCAAUUCGCUCUAUUAAUUUAUUUCUCUGCGUUGGUUCUUCAUCCCAAAGUUUUAUCCCUUGAAGUUUAUUUUUAUGUUAAAAACAAGACAAUUGUUCCUUUGUCAUACAUGUAUCUACGCCUGAAAUUUAUUUUGUUGACAAAACCAUAAGUUGGGAAAAAAGAAAGUGACCCUUCGGUAGGCAUUUUGACUGGGGGCACUGAUAGAUUUUAGCUAAAAAAUUGAAGGUAGUCCGAUCAAAUUCCCAUCACACGCGUGUAAACUACUCAAGAUCAAGACUAUUGUCAUGAACUAGGCAUAUGAAGUUACCAGUAUGUCCGGGUAGUCGAGUUUCUUUGUUGGUUCAUGAUCUUUAGUAAUUCUAACUGUCGGCAAUAAGUAAUUCUAAUUCCACCAAACAUUGCUCAAAGUUCGAUGAGUAUGUAUAAGAUGUGUGUUCACAGAAUUCGGAAUGAUGUAAUUAAGUUUACAUGUUGACAUCCCAAUGUUUGAUUUGGUGCGAGGAGCAGGCGUGCCAAUUAAACGCACGAGGUAGAUUCAUUUCUUGAUGCUACUGUUCCCUUUGAGCUUCAGCCUCUGUCUUCUCACUUGGUUUAUGAAGUCAGUGGGCAUGAUAAGUUCAUGUUAUGAGCAUGAAUAACUAAGAAAGAAGCAGUAAUAAGCAGUUCAGGAUUUAUGAAGAAGCAAUUGCAGUUCAUUGAUAUAGAUAAAAGUUUAAAGAUGGCAAAAACAUGUCGAUAGAUGAUGAUAAUAAUUAGCAGUUCAGGCUUUAUCCUGGCCUUUGUGAAGUUUGCUGGGACUUCCUGGUAUAACCAACAUAACAAUUCCAAGCAAAUAUCCCUUAUCAUGCAAAGACAAAUUCCAGGAGCCUUCGUAGUUGUCAAGGAAUCAAGCAAACAGUAAUACACUUGAGCAGCUGGAGGAUUCCAUAAAAUAAUGAAACUUGCUAAUUACAUUUGUCUAAAACAUUGCCGACAUUUUCACACCUAAUUAUGGGAACAUCAUCAUCUUCAGGUCUACCACGUUCAUGUACAAAAUUCAAGAGCCAAAAAUGACAUUGCUGAUACGUGCUCCUUUGAGGUUCUCUAACAACAAGACGCAAGCAAGGAUCCAUGAAGACUGAGCAGCAGACGGUUGUAGACAACCGUCUUUCCAGACUAACUUUUAAAUUAAAAAAAAAACAUCCACCAGAUAAUCAGAUUGAAUUGCGAACCAGAACGGUUGUACCUACAACUUGCACUCAGCAUUUCAGCAUUUCAGCAUUUUUCCCCUCGCCGGCUUUGGCAUCAGAAUGUAUGUUCAAAAACUUGCACAGAUUUUUUCGAAAGUGAUUUCAAUGUUCCAUCAUAACUCUUCCUCCAAAAGAUGCCUUGUAAAAUAAUCUAGAAAAACCCAGAUCACUCCACAGGGCCCAGACAAAGUAAAUACAGACAGCCCCUUCAUCUCUUCCUUCUUUUUUGCCCCCUUUUGCUAAGCAAAUUUCAUCAAAAAAACUUUCCCUUGCUAGUGGCUUCAACAUGAAUGACAAUGACAAUAAAAGCUCAAUACUUUUCAGCAAACAGCAUCUAGGAUGAUGCUGCCGGACUACCUUCGCAGUCCAUUCACCAAGAUCCCAAAAGAGAUGACAGAACUAAAGCUGGAGAAUCAGGCCAAUAGGACUAUGAUCACUAUCGGUGAUAUCAGGAAGGAUGUACGAGUCAUGAACUUUAUUUGCUAUAGAUUCUGAAAUGAGAAAAUAAUCGAGCUGCCACCCUGUAGAUUGCAAGAGGAUAGUUAACAGGUGAUAAUACCUAUUUCCAUAUGCUUCAUCUGAUAAGACAACGAUAUGCAUAAUGACUUAACAAAAAACAAAAGCUUGUCAUUGCUCAUAUUAUCACCAUUACAGGAGAGAAGUGUAACAUUAGAUAUAUAAUGUUCCAUCAAGUAGAUCUAUGUAUACCUUUAUUUGUCUUCCUCCCACCAUGCUGAUAACCCCAAUAAGUAUAACCAACAGCAUGAGGAUACUGUCUUCUAAAGGUAUCAACAAAGCCCCUCGACAGGAAGUUGGUCUCAAAAGAUUCCCUUUCUUCAAUUGUAAAUCCAGCACUUCUUUUAUUUCCCUGGAGUCUCAUGACAAUCAAAUUAAUGACAGAAAUAAGAAACAUUAGACGUAUUAAGAACUUCUGUUUCGGGAUGCCAAACAGCCUAAAUUGUGAUUUUUAUCAACCCCCCAACACAAAACCCCAAACACCCCCCAACAAAAACCCAAAACAAAAUUCAGUUGUAUGGAGGAAAAGCCUGAUUACAGUCCUCUGUUUUGGGGUUUUUCCCCUCUUUUAAGUGGGGUGGGGGGCAUAUGGUGUGGCCAGGACAUUGUCCUGUGACAGUUAAAAAGCUCAUGCAAAUUAUUAAUGCACCUAGUCAAUCAAAGGCAGAAAAGGCACAUUGAUUGUUUCCCUUACCGCAGGAUCAUAAAUGUCUAUUUCCUGAUGGGCACAAUUCAGAUCGCCAGUCAAAAUCACAGGCUUCAACUUUUCAAGUUCCUGUAUUGCCAACAGCAAGCACAAAUUUGAGUAAGAGAUGAAACAAUAUUGAAACAGAAUAAAAAUAGUAGUCUAUCGGAAAACCUUCAUAGGUUGUAGAAUUGAUCCAUGAUAUGGUUAAUAAUGACUCCUGAACAAAAGUCUAAAUAGCUUUAUCAAAAAACAAAAGGGUUACAUAGUGCUGAACAUACUUUAUGUAGUUACCAAGAGAUGGAUCCCACUGUGAAAUCCUAUACAUCUGACAUAAAUAAGCAACAUAAUUAAUGAAUCAUACUUGAAAGUGUGUAACAGAGUAAACCAAUGAAAUAGAUUGAUACCAGUCUUCUCAGGCCAUCGCCAGAAUUAGGAAAGUAACCACUCAAGAGAUAGAAUGAAUCAAACUCUGCAGUGACAAGCCGUCCCUCAGAAUCAUGAUAUGAUAUGCCCAAGCCAUAUGUAACUUAAAGGGGCUUUAUCUGCACAAAAAAAAUACUAGUAAUAACCUCAAAAAUAAUAAUCCAAAAAAGCCAAAUGUAGGAGAAAACCAGAAGGCACGGUAUCCACCUUACACAAAUUAAUAUAGAGAGAAGGUAGUACUUUUGCGUUUCUGACAUACAAAGUGCAACUCAUGCCGAUUUUAUUAUUCAUCCAACAUCACUUGAGAUGCUAAUUAUAUCUCAUAAGCAACUUAACUGAUCAUUGGCUGUGAUCUUUAUUUAAGAUGAGAAGCAUUUCAUUCGAAUAUACACAAAGCAAAUGGACUAACCCUACUACAAGCAUAUUAUUAUAGCAUUUAACUAGAUUAAAACAUCAGAAUAUCUAUACAGACUCCGACAUUCUUGGUCAAAAUAUGACAAUUCAUUGGGGUCAAAUGCACUCGCAGUAACAAAUCAGAAUGCCUCUGAACUGCAACAGUAGGUAGGGAGCUAGUCCUUCAACCCAGUCAUUCCGUGAACUCUUCCCACAUGCUUUACAAUAACAAUUUACAAGCCUCAGAAACAACCAUAGAAAUACAAAAAAGGACUUACAGGUUUCAUUAUCAUUUUGAGAAAAAGUGUGAUGCAAAAAAUUUCAUUUUCAUAAAAAAAUUGCUCUUUGUUGAAGGCAAAUUCUCAAGACCUCAUGGUUUUCCAUCAAUAAUAUUCACUUCCUGCUCAAUAAUCUCCCUUGCAAGCAUCAAAUAGAAAAACUUGAGUUUUGCUUACUGUAAAGGUUGCACAGGAAACGCUAUAACGACUAUCACACGCUUGCAACUAAAACAAUUCAUCCCCACCUCAAUGUAGCUCUCAAUUCGUGAAAUGUCAUUGCCUCAAUUUUGGCCGGGUCAUUAUUAGGCAACACGACUUCACCAAUGCUUGCACCAGAAUUUUUCUGCAGAAAAAAUGAAUGCUGAAUGGUCAAGUCCCCAAAACACAGGUGAAACGAUAGGUUCGAUUAAAAGACAAUACCUUGACAUGACUUUUGGUAGAACUAGGAACUAAAGCCACCAAUCCUUUCGAUUUCUUCCCUGUCCUCAGAAAUCGCCGCCGACUCAGGUGUCGACGAAUUCGACACGCCCCUUUUGGACAACAUUUCGCUGGCUCCGAGCAAGACGAUAGAACGACCAACCCAAAAUCUCGGAGCAACCAAGAAGCUACAACAUGCGAAAAAGUCAGCAACUUUUUAAGGAACCAAAGCAACGCUUAGCAUCACAGAGCGAAACCCAGGAUUCGAAACUGUCGUCGCAUUGUCGCUUAGCAGUCGCUUGUAGUCAUAUGGAAAGAAAGACUAUAAAAUUCACGCUGGGUUCACGCAAAAAUGAGAGGUACCCGGACGAACCUCAAAGAAGGGGGUGGCGAAACCCCUGAACCCUAGUCGAAAUGCUUGCCUCAUGGAUGAAAGAAUGCACAGAGAGACACACUCAGAGAGAGAGAGGCAGUCCAGUGUUGCUGAGCAAGGAAGAAGAGACGCGGCACGAGGGCAUACCCGAGACCUCACCGAACCGCGGGGGAAGAACCGCCAAAAGCGUGGAGGUCGUGGGAGAGGCGAGCUAAAUCGGCCGUCGAGCGUCGGGGGUAGAGGGCAGAGAGGGCAUCGAGCGUCGGAGAAGGGAGAAAAUAUUAGGUUCGCUUCCUGGUUCGUCGGCUGCUCGCGGUGGUUCGCCAAUCGGAAAGGGGGAGGGUGGAGAGAGAGAGGGAGUUCGUCGGACAGGGACAGCACCCGGUCGACGGCGGGGAGCCUGGCGCCACUCGGGAACGAGACCGAGGCCGCCUCCUUCCUGCCGAAGGCCGACGACUUCGCGGCGGAGGCUGGCGGUGUCUUCGGCCUGAGGGAGGGGAAGGACGAGUAGAUGCCAGAGACGGAGGACGCCAUCGGCGGCGGCGACGACGGCUCGGAGUCGGAGUUGAUGACGAGUUCGCCGGAGGGAGGGAGGCCCAGAAGUUGCCUAGAGACCCAGGCGAGCACAAACCUUACGCUCAAUCUCGGCGUUGGAAACAGUCGGAAACGAAGGGGAUCGGGAACCAGCUGCGAUUGGCGGGGCUCUUGGAGGAGGCACGGACCGGCGAGGCUUUUUGGGGAGGCGGAGGCGGAGGAGGUGGGAUACGCUGAGAAGGAAACAGAGGAAGUGCAGCUCGUCCGCGAGGAGAGAGAGAGCCCAGAAAAUAUUCAAGUGAGGAGAGAGAAAUUUUAAGCGGGAGGGCUGCGCAUUUAUUAUCCAUUGACCCGUGCUUUCUUCUGCCAACCGAGCCGAGCCGAGCCAUCAGCCGAGAGUUAUUUGGGAGAGAGAGAGGAGAGAGAGGAGCGCUGCGUCGAGGAGCAAGAGAAAAAGCGAAGAGGACACCAAGUGGGGCCCACCCCUCCACAUGGCACCUCGUGAGUGGCCGGGGACCACGCUGACGUGGUGGUCCUGGACCACCCAAUAUUUUCUCCGUAAACCCAGCACGGAGAGGGACGAAAGUGGAUUGCAGCCCGUCGAAAGAAAGGGUCGAGCUACACCCGAAAUCUCCAUUUCCGAGCACCAGGUAAGGGAUUUUAGCUCUAUUUCUCACGAGUUAGGGAUUUUCGUUUUCUUAAAAGUUUAAUAUCCAGAGCUAUGUAGGGUUUUGCUUUACCGGCAACGCUUUGGCCGCCAAAAUCCAAUCAUAUUUUGAUUACCCACAUCUCCUCGAGUCUAUAGGGAUUUCACAGAGUUCUAGUUGGAGUCAGAUUCCAGAGAAACGAACUCUCCAAGUCCUCCUCUCUGCGCCGCAGGUGAACAGUGUGUGCCGCCUGACUUCUUGGCUGCCGUUUGGUUCAACUUUGGGGAAAUGCUUACAAUCUCAAAUAGCUUUGAAAAAUAAUUUUAGCAAAAACACCGUUUGGCAAAACUUGCAUUUCUAAUUAGCUUUUGCUUUUUUUUUUAAAAAGUCUAAAAAUAAAAUCCGGUGGCCGGCUAACUGCCGGACGGCCAAUUUGGCCGCCGGACCGCCAAAUCGGGCAGCCUGAGGUCGCGGAGGCCAGAUCUAGCCACAGGACCGCCAGAUCUAGCCUCUCGACGGCCAGAUCUGGCGGUUGAGGUCGCUUGGGUCCGCGCGACCUCAGGUGGCGUCGCCUGGUUCGCGCGCGCCAGGCGACGCCACCUGGGUCGCGGGUUGCACCACCCCGGGCGGUGGUCACCGAGGACGCGCGACCCCCACGCGGUGGUGGUGGUUGCCGGAGAAGCCGAACUCUCAAGCGGCGGGGAAGACGAAGACGAACGGAGAAGAAGAUGAGACGAACGGAGAAGAUGAACAGUAAUGACGAUGAACAGUAAACUUGCAUCUCUGAAAUGCCCAAUGCAAAAAGCUAGUCCUACCCAACAUUCAGCUUUCAACUUUUCAAAUGCCCACAUUUCGAAAAUGAGCAUUCGAAAACCAUUGCCAAACACACAAAAUUUUCCCCAAGGGGCUUUGGGGGCUCAAAGCCCCUUGGGAAAGUCCAACCAAACGCCCCCUAAAGUCUUUUUUUGAGGCGGCGACUUGUCAAAUCUCAUAAUUUUAGAAUUAAUUAUUUUCUUGAGAAGGCAGUCCGCAAUUCCCAAGGUGGCUUUGAGUUAGAUCGGGUGUUUCUCGUCUCAAAAAUAGCAAAUUAUUUUUGGGUCUGUUGGAUAUUAAUGUGCAGUUUGGCUUUCCCGCUUUAGUACUUGCGGAUGCUAGUGUUUGCUCGAGAAUAAUGCUGUGCGCGCUAGGAAAAUAUACACAAGAUCGGUAGGUUAUAUAGUUGGGUGUGCUCUCUUUGCCUGCAGGUUGAUAAUCAAGACAACAAGAUGCCGCGACCUGAAGAUAUAGCCUGGAAAUUCGUGGUUAGACUGGAUAACAAGAGAUGGCGUUGUCCUUACUGUCAUAAAGUGUCCUCUGGAUCAGUCACAAGAGUGAAAAGUCACUUUCUUAAACAACCAAAAGAAGGGAUUGCCUCUUGCACAAAAGUGCCAGAGCACAUACGCACGCUAAUGGAAUUGUUACUCAGUCAUGAGGUGACUUUAGUACUUGUGGUAGCUACAUUAUAUGCUUAGUAAUAUUGCUAUGCGUGCUAAGAAGAUAUAUAAAAAAAUGGGGAUAAUUUAUGAAGGGGCGCGCUCUGUUUGCUUGCAGCUUCAUAACAAGGAUGAUAUAGCCUGGAAAUUCGUCAAUAGAGUGGAGGACAGCAAAUGGCGUUGUUAUUACUGCAGUGGAGAAUUCUUUAGAGACCUUACAUGGGUGAAAGGUCACUUGCUUGGAGUCCCAAAUGAAGGGAUUUCCAUUUGCACACUAGUGCCGGACCAUGUAAGAAAGCUAAUGCGGUCGUUACUUGAUGAGGUGGCUGAAGAAGAGAGCAGAGAAGCCAACAGUCCAUUGUCCAUGGGGACUUUGUUCUCGCCAGGCCUCGAAUAUACGUUGGAACAGUUGCACUUCAACCAACAGGAUGUCAUUGGGUCAAACUCUGACCAACAAUCACAAGAAGAGCGUCAGUUUCAGCAGAGUCCAACUAUGCCGUUAUUGGUGCAAAGUAGCCAUGGUAUGUCCGUGUGAAGUUUCUUUACAUUCAUCUUGGCACGGAGAAUAAAAAAUCAUUAUAUUUUUCGUUUUAUUAACUCUCUCUAGAAUAACUCAAAUUUAUCUAUUUUCAUAUUUCAUCGAUUCCAAAUUAUAGUAAUAUCAUUGCAUAUUAUAUAUGUCCGUCAAUUAGCCACGGAACCAGAGUCACGUGACACAGAAGUGCUGGACCACAUAAGAAAGCGUAAUGACCUCGAUGAGAUGGCCGAAGAAGAGAGCAGAGUGGUGGCUGAAGAACAGAGCAGAGAAGCCCAUGGUCAAUCCUCCAUCGAAUCAAAUUCCCGUUACAUGCCGACUCAAGCUGAGGUGGCUGAAGAAGAGAUCAGAGAUGCCAACCGUCAAUUUUCCACGGAACCACAGUCGCGUGACAUGCUGUCUCCAGCUGUUCCUCGGUCAUCACAAAGCUUGGAAGAUAUAGAAAACUUAUUCACAACAGAGUGGGCGACCGACUUGGAAAACUUAGACUAUGACCUAGAGCAUCAUUUUCGUGAGACUUUGGCAAUGCCGCCACCGGCGCAAAAUAUCCAUGGUAUGUUCAUGUGAAGUUUCUAUACAUGCAUCUAGGCAUGGAGAAAAAACAUCUAAUAUAUUUUUCAAUGCAAACACGUCGGGAUUUUUAACCAAAGUGGAGAGUAUUAAAUAUCUCCGAUAAAAACGAUCUUCCUAUGGGACUUUCCAAAUGUGAAGAAAGUCAAAUCACCUAUUCCUUAAUAACAGUGCAUUGAAUGUGUUGCACGUGUCCAUUGGACCCUUUGGAUCCACUAGACUAACUACAGUAGGUAUUCUUUCGUGUUCUAAUCAACUAUAUUCUUUCGUGUUCUAAUCAAGUAUAUCCUAAUUUUGAUGAACUUCACACGGAUGAAAACAUACCAUUUUCAACGAUGGCUUUAGCAGAAGUAGAAUCGGAUCUUCCUGAUCCGCCAUGUCAGCCACAAUAUUCCAAUCGAUCUCCUUAUCCCGAGGAAAUGCAAAUGAAUGACCAGCAGACUCCAGCAGGGGCAUUACCAUUCCAGGAUGUUCCAUUCCCUGUUGUAGGUAAUUCAAAUUGCUUGCAGGAUUGCAAUCGGCACUCUCAAUUGCAAACUCCAAUGGACGUAGAUCACUCAGUUGUAUCACAGCGUAGAAUCGACUCUCACAUUAAUGAGGCAACAAUCGUUGAUUUGCAAGUUCCAGAGGUGACAACGAUUACAAUAAGCCCAUCAUCAUCACAAGGUGUGUCUUGAUUUAUCUAUGUAGAUACUGUCAUUUGGUUAGAUCCUUAAAUAUCUAACAUAUUUAUUUUUAUAAAAUAGACAUGAACAACGGUUCUCCAACCAUGAACGCAUGGAGGACACCCCAAACUCGAAGAUGUAUAAAAUGGACUACGCAAGAGGACAGGGCGGUCGACAUUGCAAACCUCCCAUUAGAUGGUGCAACAAGUUACUCAAGGGCAUCUACCCCGCUAUCUUCAAUCCACCCCGAUUCGCCACAUGAUCUGUUGCCCAAUUUAAGUCAGUCUCUAACAUUAAAUGCAGAACAGAAUCCGACCGCGCCAUUGCCAUCGCAAAACCGCCUGCUCCAUGGUAACACUUCUCAGAAUGAGUCACAGGGGUCCAUUUUCCCUGGUGCCAUUGCAUCAGGUGCUCGACUCACUAACAUGGCCCCAACCAACGCUCCUCAGUAUUCUAAUCAACCACAUCAGAGCUUUCACAGGCAGUGUGGACAUGGCACUGGUUUAUCUGCUCCACGGGAUCCCAUGGACACAGAGCCACCUAUUUCAUCACAACCUGGAUCUCCCAUUGUUGAGGGCCGCAAUUUCCUUCCGCAGAUUUCAGAGGACAUCAUAAAUACAACUGGCCCAUCAACAUCAGAAGGUAUAAUACUAUCGAUCUAUUAAAUGGGUCUCGUUGACCUGCCUCAUCACAUUUUGUUAAGUAUACUUACUAAGGAAAUACUUUUCUUCUCAAUGCAUUGAUUACUCAUAAUACAAGAGGGACAAUGCAUUAAUAAUUACAAACUUUCCUUAAUUGGUAAUUACCAUUCAUGUGGUCUGUUUACAAACACCUCGUUGCUUUGUUAUGGUGAGUAAGAAUGUUUCGAUCAGAGUCUAAUGCGUGAAGUUGUGGCUUAUAAAUUAGUGAUGCCGAAAGGUGCACCAGUAGGGGCAUCAUCAUUCCAGUGUGAUCAAUUACUUGGUGUAGGUAAUUCAAAUCUGGAUUGCAAUCAGCCACGUAUAUCUAGUGUAACAAGUGUAACCAACACUGUCCCGCAUUCUAACCGACCACUUCCAUGCUGCAAUGGAGAAUGUGGAACUGAAACCAGUUCGUUUCCCUCGCAAGAUUCGAGGGGCAUAUGUCCCGUAACUGCAUUACAGCCUACCAGCGGCCCUCACAUCGAGGCAACACUCGUCAAUUUGCAAGUUCUGGAGAAUGGAGCAAAUAUGGCUGGUCCAUCACUAUCACAAGGUACUUCUUGAUUUACCUAAAUAGAGACUGUCACUCCAAAUUAAUCAUAGGUAUUCCAGCUCGAGUGAGCAUUGAUGCUUUCAUUGCAGAAGUAGCCUUCCUUGUAUUAUUAACUCUCUCUAGUAUAACUCAAAUUCAUCUAUUUCCAUACCUGAUCUUGUCUCAAUUACUGUGGUAUCGUUGCAUAUUAUGCAUGUCCGAUGUCACUUACUUUACUGCACGGUUUCUUUCAUCAAGAUAUUUAAGCCGUGCAUGUUGAUUUUCAUUGUGGAUGUUUUUUGUGACCAAGUUGUGUGUUGUUUUACCUGUAUGCAUGGACACUCCAAUAUUUUAGUGCAACCAGCUUUGGUGCCCCCUCAACAUCAAAGCGUUUCACAUCAAUUCAUUAGUCCUAGACAAGGAAUGCGCAGCAGAAUCCAACAGGGCUAUCAUCGUCACAGAAAAAUCAUAUAGUCCCAUGUCACCCACAAGCUCCAAUGAACAUGGAUCCCUGUAUCCUCUCAUCAUCACAAGCUCCAAAUAAUGCUCCUCCACGUCCUCAGAUUCAACGUCGUGGAAUAGGCCUGAUGGGCCCAUCAUCAUUACCGGGUAUAUAGUUAUUUACCUAUAUUAAUCCUUAUGUAUCACCAUGUUACGUUAUUAGGGAAGCAAGAAUGCUAUAAUGAGACCGAAGGAUUUAAUUGCAGAAUUAGAUAUGAACAAGGGCGUGCCAUUGACGAGUCAUACAAACAUAGACAACAACUUUGAAAAGAGUAGCCAUUUGAAAAGAAAAAUAAAGCGACUCUACAGUAGAGAAGCUGACAUAAAGGAUGAGUUAAAAUUUGCCGCGUCUCUAUCCCUAAAGAAGCCGAGAAUGGAAGUUAAGAAUUGGUUGGCAGAUGUGGAGAAUCUUAGAAAUGAUUUUCAUGGUAUUGAAGCAACAAGUGAAAAUUGUUUGCCGCCACACCAGCAGGUUGUACUGAUGCAAGAAGCAGAAGAACUUAUAAAACAAAGCAAAUUCCUAGAAGGACUAUUUGUGGCGAGAGAGACCAGAGUCAAUAAGUUGUUAGAACGAAAGUUGGUGGGAAAGGCAUUUCAAAGAAAUACAGCAGAGAUUUUGGAGUACUUAGUGGAGAAGCAAAUAUCCCGACUAGGCAUUUAUGGAAUGGGGGGUGUUGGUAAAACGACUCUUAUGAUGCACAUACAUAAUAGACUCCUCGAAAAAGCAAACUAUGGCAAUGUGCUGUGGAUCACCGUGUCACAGGAUUUUAACAUAGAGAAGUUGCAGGACAACAUUUGGGAGGCACUACGUUUAGACAUACCACGAGAAAAGGAUGUGAAGAAACAAGCAGCAAUGUUGUCCGAUUGUUUAACCAAAAUAGAGAAGUUGACAAUAAUCCUCGAUGAUGUGUGGGAACAUUUUGAUCUUGAAAAGGUGGGAAUCCCUAUUAGAGCCAAUGGACUUAAGCUGGUCGUAACCACUCGAUCCUCUAGUGUUUGCAGCCAGAUGCAUUGUCAAGAGAAGAUAAAAAUUGAACCUCUAUCUCAAGAAGAAGCUGAGAGUUUAUUUUUUGAGGAGCUUGGAUCCGAAGUGGCCUUUAAUUUGGAAAUUAAAGCAAUUGUGAAGUCCAUUGUUAAAGAAUGUGCAGGCUUGCCGCUUGGAGUCAUCACGAUGGCAACAAGUAUGCGAGAAGUGACUAAUAAGUUUGAAUGGAAUGAUUGCUUGGAGAAAUUGAAUGAAUCGGAUAUGAGGCAAAUAGAUAUGGAAAAGAAAGUCCUAAUGAUUCUAAAAUUCAGUUACGAUCGCCUUGGGAAUUGUGAAGUUCAACAGUGUUUCUUAUCUUGUGCACUUUAUCCAGAAGAUCAAUUGAUUGGUAGGAUCGAGUUGAUAGAAUUCUUUAUUGACCAAGGAUUGAUUGGUGGAUUGAAUACGAGGGAGAAACAAUAUGAUAGAGGCCUCACUAUACUGACCAAACUGGAAAAUGUUUGUCUAUUGGAAGCUUAUAAGAAAAGUGAUUUUCCACAGAGAGAUUAUGGGGAAGGGAUGAAGAUGCACGAUUUGAUUAGAGACAUGGCAUUGCACAUCAUGAAUGCGACUUCGAUNNNNNNNNNNNNNNNNNNNNNNNNNNNNNNNNNNNNNNNNNNNNNNNNNNNNNNNNNNNNNNNNNNNNNNNNNNNNNNNNNNNNNNNNNNNNNNNNNNNNNNNNNNNNNNNNNNNNNNNNNNNNNNNNNNNNNNNNNNNNNNNNNNNNNNNNNNNNNNNNNNNNNNNNNNNNNNNNNNNNNNNNNNNNNNNNNNNNNNNNNNNNNNNNNNNNNNNNNNNNNNNNNNNNNNNNNNNNNNNNNNNNNNNNNNNNNNNNNNNNNNNNNNNNNNNNNNNNNNNNNNNNNNNNNNNNNNNNNNNNNNNNNNNNNNNNNNNNNNNNNNNNNNNNNNNNNNNNNNNNNNNNNNNNNNNNNNNNNNNNNNNNNNNNNNNNNNNNNNNNNNNNNNNNNNNNNNNNNNNNNNNNNNNNNNNNNNNNNNNNNNNNNNNNNNNNNNNNNNNNNNNNNNNNNNNNNNNNNNNNNNNNNNNNNNNNNNNNNNNNNNNNNNNNNNNNNNNNNNNNNNNNNNNNNNNNNNNNNNNNNNNNNNNNNNNNNNNNNNNNNNNNNNNNNNNNNNNNNNNNNNNNNNNNNNNNNNNNNNNNNNNNNNNNNNNNNNNNNNNNNNNNNNNNNNNNNNNNNNNNNNNNNNNNNNNNNNNNNNNNNNNNNNNNNNNNNNNNNNNNNNNNNNNNNNNNNNNNNNNNNNNNNNNNNNNNNNNNNNNNNNNNNNNNNNNNNNNNNNNNNNNNNNNNNNNNNNNNNNNNNNNNNNNNNNNNNNNNNNNNNNNNNNNNNNNNNNNNNNNNNNNNNNNNNNNNNNNNNNNNNNNNNNNNNNNNNNNNNNNNNNNNNNNNNNNNNNNNNNNNNNNNNNNNNNNNNNNNNNNNNNNNNNNNNNNNNNNNNNNNNNNNNNNNNNNNNNNNNNNNNNNNNNNNNNNNNNNNNNNNNNNNNNNNNNNNNNNNNNNNNNNNNNNNNNNNNNNNNNNNNNNNNNNNNNNNNNNNNNNNNNNNNNNNNNNNNNNNNNNNNNNNNNNNNNNNNNNNNNNNNNNNNNNNNNNNNNNNNNNNNNNNNNNNNNNNNNNNNNNNNNNNNNNNNNNNNNNNNNNNNNNNNNNNNNNNNNNNNNNNNNNNNNNNNNNNNNNNNNNNNNNNNNNNNNNNNNNNNNNNNNNNNNNNNNNNNNNNNNNNNNNNNNNNNNNNNNNNNNNNNNNNNNNNNNNNNNNNNNNNNNNNNNNNNNNNNNNNNNNNNNNNNNNNNNNNNNNNNNNNNNNNNNNNNNNNNNNNNNNNNNNNNNNNNNNNNNNNNNNNNNNNNNNNNNNNNNNNNNNNNNNNNNNNNNNNNNNNNNNNNNNNNNNNNNNNNNNNNNNNNNNNNNNNNNNNNNNNNNNNNNNNNNNNNNNNNNNNNNNNNNNNNNNNNNNNNNNNNNNNNNNNNNNNNNNNNNNNNNNNNNNNNNNNNNNNNNNNNNNNNNNNNNNNNNNNNNNNNNNNNNNNNNNNNNNNCGCCGUAUUCCUUAUCUAGGGAAGCUCAUAUCUUUAAGAAAGUUGGAUGCCAGUAACUGUGCGCGUCUUGAAGCGCUUGAGGGUCUAGACAAGUUGGUGAACUUGACAUACCUUGACCUUAUCAAAACACAUAAUGCGAGAUUGCCCAAAGGAACACUGGAGUGUUUACUAAACUUGCAAUGUCUUAAAGUUUCGGCAAUAAAUGAAGAAACAAAAUUGGGGACAUUGGAGACAUUUGAAUGCUACUCUGAAAAUGCGGAUGAUUUUAACAAGUGUGUGAGGGCUAUUGGGCAAAGUAAUAAUCCUCUCUAUUACGGCCUCAACAUGAAUAUAGAAAAAUCAAACUUUAUUGUGGAAGUAAGUGAUGAUACUCGAUUUCGGAAUUUGGGGAGGAGCGUCAACAUUGGGGAGUGGGGUCAUGCUAUUUUGAGCGUGGGAGGGGAAUGCACUGGCAUUUUUAUUUUGAUUCCCCGAAAUGUGCAGACGAUGAGAAUGGGAAAAUGCAAGGGUAUAACAAAUUUGUCUAGCAUGGAUCCGCUUAAAUACCUUGAGGACCUAGAAAUAGAAGAAUGGGAAAACUUAGAGGUGCUCUGUGGAGGACAAGACGAAGAAGUAAUCGACGUCCCGGCCCCAACCCUCACCCCUCACCCCUUCUCGAGCCUUAUAUUUUUGAAAAUAAAGGAAUGUUCAAAACUGAAGUAUCUCUUUGGACAUGGGUCUAAAUCCAACCUUCCGCAUCUACAAGUUAUUGGAAUAGCGAAUUGUAAGGAAAUGGUGGGGAUAAUAGCAGCAGUUACAUCCCCACCACCACAUUCGCUCCCAUUUUUGCCUAGUCUGGAAGGUAUUAUUGUUUGGGGCUGUGGUAAAAUGAAGAGAGCGGUGGAAUCUGAGUGGAUGCCCCACUUCCCUAAGCUGAGAAACAUUGUAGUAUACAAAUGUGAGAAGAUGGAGGAGAUAAUCAGAGGUCCUCCUAAAUGCGUGCCGGUUGAAGGGAUUUCUCUCUAAUCUCUUAAGGUAGUACAUUGCGGUAGCAUGAGAAAGCUGCUUCCGCAUGAGUGGCUGCUCCAUCUUCGAAAUCUUCGAUGUAUCUAUGUCAAUGACUGCCGAGGAAUGGAGAAGAUGAUAUGCGGAGCGGGACAAGGUCAAGAAAGAAGCAUAACGACUCCUGUCAACAGCACCCCUUCAUCCUUCCUGCCUCCAAUUUCUCUCCCAAAGCUAGAGCAGUUGAAUCUAUCCGAACUACCCCAGCUAAAGAGCAUAUGCGAAUUCCCAAUAAGCUGCAAUUCCAUGGAAGAGUUGUUUGUGUACGAUUGCCCAGAAUUGAGGGGGAUUCCUUUGCAAUUGCGAUUGCGUGAAAUUGAGAAGCUUCCGCAUAUUUGGGUGGAAGAUGAGGAAAGGUGGAAGACGCUGAUGUGGGAUCAUCCCGAUGCUCAGGCUAUUCUUCAACCUCAUCUAAAAAAAAAGGGAUACCCUAGAGGUUAAUGAGUUUAAUUGAUAUAUGAUUGCUUCACUUCUUAAAAGUCGUUGCAAAGAUGUAGCUUUUCUGUCUAUAUAGUCAUGCAGCUCUCAUAGUGGCCUUUUGCAGAACUUUUCGCCAAGGGAAUGGUUCUCCUGUGACUCUGCUCUUGAAGAAAGCCUUGUUGCUCAACCGUGCUUUCCUGCAAACUCGACUCAGGUUGCCAUAUGAAUUGACCUUUUCUGUGUGGCCAUGCUUUGUCUAUUUUGAAUGCGAUCACAUGUUUUAUUGACUACUAGAAAUAAGUGAAUCUGGUCGAUAUUUCAGGUUAGUCAAAAAGCAACGGAUCUGAAGAUUUGGGAAGCCAAGGGAAUAGCAAAGCCUGUUUCCUAUCUUGUCUUAUAACUGAAAGGACAAGUUAUUAUUAUGGAUUUAUCUCCUUGGGAUAUUAGCCUUCUAAGAAAAGAGGGAAUUUUGUGCAGCACUACCUUUAAUCUGUUUUUGUUUAGAAAGGAUUUCAAAUAUGAUAUUGCUUUAACUUGUCGAUCGAAAAUAUUGUGUCAAAUACGCUGCUUCCCUCUGUUGGAUCAGAGCAACAUGACCCCGAUUAAACUUGUUUCGACAUUAAACUAUCGGGUAUAGAAUACUUGAUCUGCUUAGUAGUUGUAUCAUAUCUGGAAACGUAGGCUGGGAAGUUUUCUCUUCACCCGUUGUCAUACUUUGAGUUAGAAAUGUAAAAAGACGAAGAAGAAAGAAUUGCAUAGUUAUCGCCCCUCUUUAAAUGCCUCAAAGUUGUGGAUAGAUGGAGAAACCUACAGCUUCAGCUCAAGUUACCAAAAAUUAGAGCAGUAACCACUAGCAAGUCAAUGGAAAAAGGGCCAGCUUAUAGGACGUGGCACUUUUGAAAGUGUUUACAUUGCAAGCAACCAGUAAGUUAGCUCUGGGAAUCUUAGACACGUUCCAUUUUUUAAGAUAUCCAGUCAGCUAAACUUUGACAUAUUAAGUGACAGAAAAACCGGAUCUCUAUGUGCACGGAAGGAGUUUGAGCUAUCGCCUAAUGAUCCAAAUUUAGCUGAGUGCAUCAAGCAGUUAAAGCAGGUAAUGUUUUUGUUAUGCUCUGGGAUCCAAUCUAUUCUCUCAUCUGAUCUAAAUAUGCUGGGAGGAAACUUUCUUUCAUCAUUUCCAGGUAAUUGAUUGUUACUACAGGAAAUUCAGGUACUUAGCCAGCAUAGACAUCCGAACAUUCUGCAGUAUUAUGUCAGGGAAAUUGUGAGUCACAUUUCCACAGCACCUAUGCAUCCCAGCUCAAUGGGCGUUCAUUAUUUGACUCGCCAAAAUUUCAACAUAUUCAUACGUACUCAGGUUGAGGAUUGGCUUUACGUAUAUCUAGAAUAUGCACAUCACGAUUCAAUAGACAAGUAUAUCCAAGAGCGUCUUGGGACCCUAACAGACUCGGUUGUCCACACUUUACCCACUAUAUUGUGGCUGGAUUGGCUUCCCUGCAUGUUAACAACUCCAUACAUGGGUAAUUCUAAACCAUUGAUCAAGCAUCAUGAGAUGGCUUGUGCAGGGAUUUAAAGGGAGCUAAUUUAUUUGUGGAUGCAUCUGGGAUAUUCAAACUUGCUGACUUUGGAAUUGCUAAACAUGUGAGUUUUUACCUCUUCACUGCAAGACAACUCAGUGCAUGUAGAAAUUACUUGAUGAUCUGUGGUGCAUUCGAAUGUGAAGUCAGGGACCCAGGGUGACUGCGAACUUCUCAUUAUUGGUUUGUGGCAUUUCAUAUGUGCAAAAAUCUAUCACAGGUGGAUGAAAUGUUAUUAAGUAAUUUUCUUCACUUUUUUUCCCAUUGUUUCAGGUAAAGUUACCAUGUUGCAUAAACAGGAAAAGAUUUCUUGCUUUAAAUAGAUGCCGAAACCUAAUGAGAGUUCUUUCCCUUUCUACUGGUUUCUAAAAAGUUCCUAAGAGCAGUAGUGAAUAGAACGCAAUACCUUUGGCAAAAGGUUGUGGUGUUGUUUUUGCUGCUCCUCUGCAUUCCAAAAUAGGAUAGAAUUUAGUCAGAGUAAGCAAGGGCCUCCUUCCUAACAUGGGGUAAAUAAAAGUGUAUUGAUCCAUAGAAUGGAAUUCUGGAUAGUAGCCAAGGUGUUGUUGCUCUCUUUUUGAGUUCUCAAGCAUUUGCUGAGGUCAUGUUGUUGAUUGCUUCAAGUUGAAAGUGGUUGAUUCAGUAAUCAAUCUGAUGUAUCUAUGUCUAUAAAGAUGUUGCUAUUUUAUCCAGUGUUCCAUGAACACACCAAGUAGUCUUCAGCUUUACUAAUGCUGUACCAUUUCUUAGCUAACCGGACAAGCAGCUUGCUGCUCUUUGAAGGGAAGUCUAAACUGGAUGGCUCUAGAGGUACUCUGCUUUUGUUAACGUUAAUGCGGCAUUCUUUUUUAGUUGUGGCGGAAUGAUGGAAUAAUAUGUCUUGCAACUCAUACAAUCCUUGAUGGUGAAUAAUUACAGCACGGAUCUCAAUCAUACUGCCGACAUGUGGAGUUUGGGAUGUACUAUUACCGAAAUGAUUACUGGGAAACCUCCUUGGACUAUGAGUGAGUAAGUACGCUGCACUGUUUUUUUUUUUUUUCAUUUUCUCUCUAUCCUUCCUGGUAAUACGCUUCCAAGCAAAUCUGUGUUGUCGUUUUCUGUUGGAAGUUCGGGCCAUGCGCAUUACCAUUUGGUGUGUGAUCUGUGUCAUGAGUUUCUAUUUAAGGUUGAAUUAUUAAUGCAGGCUCAAGCUAUAUUUAAGGUGAUGCGAAGUUCUCCAGUAAUACCUGAGACGUUAUCUGCCGAGGGAAAGUAGCUGCGGAGAGGCCUUCUGCUGCUAUGCUACUUGAGCAUGCUUUCCUGCAAAUUUGAAGUUGCAAAUGAUUGACUUAUUUCAAGUGUUGUACGUUGUCGCAAAAGGGAUUUGUUGUCCUGUAAAGUUCCAUAUUUACUAAACCAAAAGGAUCACACGGUCCAUAGAUGUGAUGAAGUACUUGUAUAUUGACAAAAUAAGGCACAUACUUCUCUUGCAUGGUCUGACUGGCGGCAUACCAAUCUAGGCAAUUUGACAGUGUUGCUUAAUCUAAACCUUUUACUGCAUAGUGCAUUCUUACCAAAAACAUUUUGUACGAAGUACAUUUAUUCAUCAAAAUGGAAUGGUAUUGAUUUGGCUCCAAAUAAGCAAUAGGUCACGAAACACAAGCAAGAAAACCCAGAAAAGAAAAAAGAAAAAGAAAACCGAAGCUAUAGUGCAUCAGAAUUCCUAAACUCAUUUUGAAAGUAAAUACUUUGUCGGUUUGGUGGGAGAAACAUUGGCAAGUUUGGCAAACCUGCAAUGUCUUCGGAUUGCGGUAGUGAAGGGAGUAGUAUCGAAAUUAUGGGCAUUGGAGGCUCUUGAUUCUUCCCUUCAACAGUGUCGUUGAUCUCAAUAAAUACAUGAGAUUUCUCCAACCAAAAUGGCCCUCAUCAUAUUGUCACCAAAUUCCAGUGAAUCAAGAAAAGCCAUUGUGGUCUGCUUGCAAAUGUAAAUGAUCAUGAUGAUCCAAGAUUUGCAGCUUCCGAGAGGGGAAUUCACGUCGAUUGUUGCGAUUAUGCUCUUGUCAGGGCAGUAGGGGAAAGUCUUUCGCCUGAUGGUUUUGCUCCCAAGUGAUGCUGCAAGUUUGCCGUAUUUUCCCCUUAGGGUUGUUUGUCAUUUUGUGGAACAUUUUUAGAAUAAUUUUGCAUCCCGUGUCUAUAAAAUGCAAAUAGCCGAUGAAAUCUAUUGAAAACAUCUCAAGCUAUUCAUUUACGAGAUUUUAAUGGUUCUUAUAUGUAUAUAAUUUACCUUCCCUUACUUGUUCAAAUUUUUAGGUUGGACUUUCACUUAUGUGAAAAUAGCAAUUUGUGCGUGAAUUGCAAAGCAAACAUACUUCCUUUUUUUCUAUUUUUUUUCUACAAUUAAAGUGAUUCCUCUAUCCUAAUGCAUACCGGAAAUAUAUGAUAUGAAUGACAAAGUGUAACAGAAAAAUAAACUCCUCGAAAUUUUGCAAAGUCGGAGGCGCCACUGAGGCCGAGCGAUAUCUCUCGGUUGCAUUGGAUUCUUUCUUCGAUUUCAUUUUCUUUUGUUCUUUUCCUCAUUUUUGAACCAACAGCCUAACCAUGAGGCGCCUUUUCUCUUCUGUCCCUUAUCUGUACUCCUUUUCUUUCGUACAACUCGUUCUUCUUUCGCUGCUUUUUGGAUUUUUUUUUCUUGGUGUCCUCUGCCCAAACCCUUAAUGAAGACAACUAAUCGGUGUUUAGUUUUCCAAAGUGUAGCAUUAUUGAGCACCAUCAUCGACCAUCAAGUUCGCUAAACUCAGUCAUCAAUUAACUAACUGUUCUUGUUAAACAGGAGCUGCACCAACGNNNNNNNNNNNNNNNNNNNNNNNNNNNNNNNNNNNNNNNNNNNNNNNNNNNNNNNNNNNNNNNNNNNNNNNNNNNNNNNNNNNNNNNNNNNNNNNNNNNNAGAUCCAAACUACAUAUGAAACUGGACUCGUAAUUGGGAAAACAUGAAUUUAGCAUAUUAUACAUUGCUCCUAAAUAAUUUUAUGCACAUGCCAAAUAACAAGUACAUGUAUAAGUUAAGGCAAAUAGGUCUUUAGCAAAUUGACAAUGCAGAAACCGAGAGAGCGUAUGAAGUGAUCUUUGCAUUUUUGAAACUCUGUUAGUGUACAUUCUAGUAGUUUUCCCUUGUCAAAAUAUACUGAUUUUCAACUUUCGCUGAAAUGUCACACGUUCAAUUGGGGGAGAAUAUGAUCGAUAGUCCUAAUUAGCCAAGUCACAAAACCAAUCAUAUAUUUAAAUAGUUCAGAAAUCUUUCUGUUCAUUCUAAUUAAUAAUCGCAUCAAAGAAUUUUUCCCUAAACCUUUAUAUUCAGUCAUAGUUACUACUUUUCAGUUCACUCUUUGAAAGAUUCCCAUGAUCUCUUCAAAUAAAUUAAAAUACAAUUCAGGGUUAGUGGUCGUAACUUUAUCUAUUAGGUAUAUAGCUUAAUGCUCAUUUUGAAUGAGGGCAAAAGGUCACCCCGUUUACAUUCACGUGUUUGUCACAUUGUGAUGGGAAAAUGGGAACGAAAUGCAAGUUCAGAGGCACAGGAUGCAACUUUCUAAAUUUCCAUUUUCAAAUGCAUUGGGUUCCCUUUUCCCCAGUCAUCUCUUCUUAAUCAUCCCGGUGCAAGGACAGGACUUUCCCUGGACAGUGAUGCACAACAAGCCAUUAUCAUUGUACUGAAGUGAAUCUGUUUCCUUUGAUCGUGGACGAUUCUAUGCUCCCGAAAUCGGGGUAAUAUAUGAUGGGGUGCGCUCUAUUUGCUUGCAGGUUCGUAACAAAGAGGAUAUAGCUUGGAAAUUCGUCAAUAGAUUGGAGGACAGCAAAUGGCGUUGUUAUUACUGCCGUGGAGAAUUCUUUAAAGACCUUACAGGAGUGAAAGGUCACUUGCUUGGAGUCCCAAAUGAAGGGAUUUCCAUUUGCACACAAGUGCCGGACCAUGUAAGAAAGAUAAUGCAGUCGUUACAAGAUGAGAUGGCUGAAGAAGAGAGCAGGGGAGCCAAUGGUCAAUCCUCCGCGGAACCACAGUCACGUGGCAUGCCCGCUCAAGCUGAGGUGGCUGAAGAAGAGAGCAGAGAGGCCAACGGUCAAUCCUUCACAGAACCACAGUCACGGGGCAUGCUGCCUCAACCUGAGGUGGCUGAAGAAGAGAGCAGAGAAGCCAACAUUCAAUCCUCCACGGAAACACAAUCCCGCGACAUGCCCACUCAAGCUGAGGUGGUGGCUGAAGAAGAGAGCAGAGAAGCCAACGGUCAAUUUUCCAGGGUCUGUUGAAUAUUAAUCUGCAGUUUUGCUUUCCUGCUUUACUACUUGUGGAUGCUAUUAUUUGCUUGAGAAUAAUGCUAUGCGCAUUAGGAAAAUGUACACAAGAUUGAUAGGUUAUAUAAUCGGGCGUGCUCUCUUUGCCUGCAUGUUGAUAAUCAAAAUGACAAGAUGCCGCGAGUUAAAGAUGCCGUGAGUUAAAGAAAUAGCCUGGAAAUUCGUGAUUAGACUGGAGGGCGAGAAAUGGUGUUGUCCUUACUCUGGAAAAGUUACAAGAGUGAAAAGUCACUUUCUUAAACAUUCAAACAGAGGCAUUUCUCCUUGUAAAAAAGUGCCGGAGCACAUAAGCAUGCUAAUGGAUUGGUUACACAAUCAGGUGCCUUUAAUGCUUGUGGUAGCUACAUUGUUUGCCUGAGAAUGAUGCUAGCGUGCUAAGAAGAUUUAUGAAAAAUGGGGAUAAUAUAUGAUGGGGUGUCGCUCUAUUUGCUUGCAGGAUCGUAACAAAGAGGAUAUAGCCUGGAAAUUUGUUGAUAGACUGGAGGACAACAAAUGGCGUUGUCAUUACUGCCGUGUAGAAUUCUUUGGAGACCUUAUGGGAGUGAAAGGUCACUUGCUUGAAGGGAUUUCCAUUUGCACGGAAGUGCCGGACCACAUAAGAAAGCUAAUGCGGUCAUUACUCGAUGAGGUGGCUGAAGAAGAGAGCAGAGAAGCCCACGGUCAAUCCUCCGUCGAACCAAAUUCCCGUGACAUGCCGAGUCAAGUUGAGGUGGCUGAAGAAGAGAUUAGAGAGGCCAACCGUCAAUUUUCCACGGAACCACAGUCGCGUGACAUGCUGUCUCCAGCUGUUCCUCGGUCAUCACAAAGCUUGGAAGAUACAGAAAACUUAUUCACAACAACAGAGUGGGCGACUGACUUGGAAAACUUAGACUAUGACCUAGAGCGUCAUUUUCUUGAGACUUUGGCAAUGCCGCCACCGGCGCAAAAUAUUCAUGGUAUGUUCAUGUGAAGUUUCUAUACAUGCAUCUAGGCAUGGAGAAAAAACAUAUAUUAUAUUCAAACACGUCGGGUUUUUUAACCAAAGUGGAGACUUUUAAAUAUCUUCUAUAAAAACGAUCUUCCUAUGGGACUUUCCAAAUGUAAAGAAAGUCAAAUCACCUAUUCCUUAAUAACAGUGCAUUGAAUGUGUUGCACCUGUCCAUUGGACCCAUUGGAUCCAAUAAACUAACUACAGUAGGUAGUCUUUUAUGUUCCAAUCAACUAUAUCCUAAUUUUGAUGAACUUCACGCAGAUGAAAACAUACCAUUUUCAACGAUAGCUUUAGCAGAAGUAGAAUCGGAUCUUCUUGAUCCGCCAUGUCAGCCACAAUAUUCCAAUCGAUCUCUUUAUCGCGAGGAAAUGCAAAUGAAUGACCAGCAGACUCCAGCAGGGGCAUUAUCAUUCCAGUAUGUUCCAUUACCUGCUGUAGGUAAUUCAAAUUGCUUGCAGGACUGCAAUGACUCUCAAUUGCAAACGCCAGUGGACGUAGAUCCCUCAAUUGCAUCACAGCGUACAAAUCACAUUACUGGGGCACAAAUCAAUUAUUUGAAAGUUCCAGAGGCAGCAACAAAUACAACAGGCCCAUCAUCAUCACAGGGUUUGUAUGGAUUAAUCUACAUUGCUACUAUGGUUAUAUUAGAUACUUGAAUAUCUCCAUAUUAUUUUAUUGAAAUCUAACAUAUGAUUUUUUAAACAAGAUAGGAACAUGGAUUAUCCAAUCAAGAACAUGCUGAGCAUCAUUGCAUAUUCUAUUUGUCUGAUAUCAGUUUUUAUCACACCAUUACUUUCUUCAAAAUAUUUAACUCUAAUGCGGUCGUUACUCGAUGAAGUGACUGAAGAAGAGAGCAGAGAGGUGGCUGAAGGACAAAGCAGAGAAGCCAACCGUCAAUCCUCCACGGAACCACAAUCACGUGACAUGCCUGUAAGACAAAAUAAUUUAUAUACAGAAGCCAGGAUCAAUUAAAGACAAACCUCCAGCCAUUGUUUUGUUCACAUUCGUCAGAAAACCUGAAAUCAAAGAAAAUUGGGGACACUCUACUACCCAAUUCACUCUCGUACUGAUGGUGUAUUCUGAAUGAGAGGGUUUGAGUUAGACAUUGUCAUCAUCCGUCAGAAAUGAACGUACGUUCCUAUUUAUACACUGUCUCCCAUCAAGACGGGCGGUUGUCACCAAAUGGUACGAAGCGUGGAAAACUUUAUGUUGAACAGUCGCAACCUUUAGAGAAAAUAAAUGUGGGAUCAUAAAAAUAAAUAACAUUCUCCCACUUGAUCCCAUCAUUUUCAUUAUACAGAUUAUCCAACUAAUUCCACAAAAACUUUAUGCUUAAAGAAAAGAAACAAAACACAUGGAUCAUGGCGACAUGUCCUCUAAGAGUGAGUAAUAUCUUCCAUGUAUCACAAUGCACCUUAUUUCUUUAAUGUCAGCCUAUAUGUGACAACAAAUCUUAAUGAAUAAACCCCAUGUUUAUUCCAAAACCAAUGAUAAAUGUUAUUCUCAUAAACAACAAAAUGUGUACACAAAAAUUGAGAAUCAACAUUACAACUGAAUAAGAGUUUCAUACAACAAAAAUCGUUCAUAUAACGACAAAUUACAUAAUGGGACCUAUUCCCAUACUAGUUACAUGAUCCUUAUACUUCAUUGGUGGCAUGCCUUUAGUUAAAGGAUCGGCUAUCAUCAAUUCAGUGCUAACGUGUUCAAUGACCACUUUAUUCUCCUUAACACGUUCCCUUAUGGUUAAAUACUUAAUGUCGAUAUGCUUACUUUGACUGCCACUUUUGGCAUUUUUAGCCAUAAAAACCGUAGCUGAAUUGUCACAAUAUAUUCUUAAUGGCCUAGAAAUUGAAUCAAUAAUUCUAAGCCCAGCAAUGAAACUCUUCAACCAUACACCAUGCGAGGUAGCCUCAAAACAAGAAACGAACUCAGCCUCCAUAGUGGAAGUAGCAGUCAAAGUCUACUUGGCAUUUCUCCAUGACACGGCUCCGCCAGCUAAUAUAAAAAUGUAUCAAGAUGUUGAUUUUCGUGAAUCAAUGUAUCCCGCAAAGUCCGCAUCCGAAUAACCAACCACUUCCAGGUUGUCAGUCCGUUUAUACAUAAGCAUAUAGUCUUUGGUACCUUGAAGGUAUCUCAUCACUUUCUUUGCAGCUCUCUAGUGGUCUAAACCUGGAUUACUCUGAUAUCUUCCCAACAUUCCCACAGCAAAAGCGAUGUCAGGUCGAGUGCAAACCUGAGCAUACAUUAAGCUUCCAACAACAGAAGCAUAUGGAAUGUUGUGCAUUUGUUCCCUUUCUAGAUCGUUCUUCGGGUAUUGGUUCAAAUUGAACCUGUCACCCUUCACAAUGGGUGCUAUACUUGGUGAACAAUCUUUCAUCCGAAAUCUCUCUAGAACCUUAUUGAUAUAGGUUUCUUGAGAUAGUCCUAAAAUGCCUCGAGGUCCAUCUCUAUGGAUCUUAAUGCCAAUGACAUAAGAUGCCUCACCCAUAUCCUUCAUGUCAAAACUCCUAGAGAGAAAUUGUUUCACCUUAUGUAGCAACCACUUAUCAUUGGUUACAAGUAGUAUAUCAUCCACAUACAGUACAAGGAAACAAAUUUUGCUCACACUGACCUUCUGGUAUAUACAUUGAUCCAUGACAUUCUCUACAAAACCGAAUGAAGAGAUGACUUCAUGGAACCUUAAGUACCAUUGGCGGGAUGCUUGUUUCAAGCCAUAUAUAGAUUUCUUAAGUUUGCACACCAAAUGCUCACCUUUACUAGAGGAGAAUCCUUCAGGUUGUUUCAUGUAAACCUCCUUCUCUAGUUCUCCAUUGAGGAAUGCUGUUUUCACAUCCAUCUGAUGUAAUUCCAUAUCAAAAUGGGCAAUCAAAACCAAAACAAUACGAAGAGAAUCUUUCUUAGAUACAGGAGAAAAAGUCUCCGUGUAGUCGAUUCCUUCCUUUUGAGUGAAUCCUUUGGCAACAAGUCUAGCUUUAUAUCUUUCAAUGUUACCCAAUAAAUCAUUCUUAGUUUUGAAGACCCAUUUACAACCAAUGGCCUUCACACCAUUAGGUAACUCAACCAAAUCUUAAACUUUGUUAGAUGCCAUUGAACUCAUUUAUUCCUUCAUGGCAUUGUACCACAAAUUGGAUUUAUCACUAUCCAUGGCUUGUGAAAACGUUUUGGGAUCAUUCUCAGCUCUAAUAUUGUAGUCAAACUCUUGUAAAUACACAAUAUAAUCACUAGGAAUAGCCGAUUUCUUUAUUCUAGAAGAUCUUCUCAAUUUUGCAUCGACAUUCUCUUGAGGUGCGUGUUGCUUAACUAGUUGUUCAACAGUUUCUGGUAAUUAUUGAACAACUGGAUCUACUAGAUCAAUAUCAACAGGUUGUGGAACUUCAACGAUUGGUUGUUCAAUAGCCGGUUGAACUGAAUAGGCAUUAUAAGCAACGACCAACCCUAAACUUGAGGUGGGAGGAUGAAUGUCUGGAUGAUCUUUCUUAGGAACAAGGUCCUUCGAUUGAUCACUCCCACUAAUCAAGUCAUUUUCAAGAAAUUUAGCAUUUCUUGAUUCCACAAUCCUAGUAGUGUGAGAUGGACAAUAAAAUCUGUAUCCCUUAGACCUUUCGGCAUAUCCAAUGAAAUACCCACUUAUGGUCCUUGGGUCCAACUUCUUUUCUUGUGGAUUAUAAACUCUCACUUCAGACGGGCAUCCCCAAACGCGCACAUGAUGCAAACUCGGUUUCCAACAUUUAAAUAAUUCAAAAGGUGUCUUUGGGACAGCUUUGGUCGAAACUCGGUUUAAUAUGUACACUGCCGUCUUAAGUGCUUCAGUCCACAAAGAUUUAGGAAGUUUGGAGCUGCUAAGCAUGCUACGCACCAUGUCCAAUAAGGUCCGAUUUCUUCUUUCCGCUACGCCAUUUUGGUCCGGAGAACCAGGCAUAGUAUAUUGGGCAACUAUCCCAUGCUCUUGAAGAAACCUUGCAAAUGGACUAGGUGCUUGUCCAUCUUCAGUGUAUCUACCAUAGAAUUCUCCACCCCUAUCUGAUCUCACGAUCUUAAUUUGCUUAUCGCAUUGUUUCUCUACUUUCACCUUAAAUACCUUAAAGGCAUCUAAUGCUUCAUACUUAUUAUGAAUCAAAUAGAGAUACAUGUAACGUGAGUAAUCAUUUAUAAAAGAGAUGAAGUAUUUCUAACCACAAGAGUCCAUAUCCGAACUACAAAUAUCCCUGUGUAUGAUUUCUAAUAUUUCUGUACUCCUCUUGGCACCUUUUUUUGUCUUGUUAGUCUGAUUUCCCUUUAUGCAGUCCACACAAGUAUCACAAUCAGUAAAAUCUAAAGUACCGAGUACUCCAUCAUUUACUAAUCGCUUGACUCUUUCUAUGGAAAUAUGUCCCAAUCUCCGAUGCCACAACAUAGAGGAAUGUUCUUUCACAACACAUCGUUUUAUACCAACUUUAUCAUGAACAUGCAUCGCAUCAUAAUAGGCAUUGUCUUGUAAAUUAAUUCGAAAAAGACCAUCAGACAAAAUACUACUCCCAACAAUUUUAAAUUUAAAUGAUAAACAAAAGUUUGAAUCUGAAAAGUUAAAAAAGUAUCCCAAAGGUACAAGUCUUGAAACUGAAAUUAAGUUUCUAGAAAAACUAGGAACAUAAAAGGUCUUUUCCAAAUUUAAAACAAAACCACUAUUGAGAACUAGUCUAUAUGUCCCAAUAGCUUCUACAUGCGAACGCAUCUUAUUUCCUGAAUAGAUGCUUUGUUCACUUCCCACUGGCUUCCUGUGGUUUUGAAAACCCUACAAGGAAUUCGAAAUAUGGAUUGUAGAUCCAGAAUCAAUCCACCAAGUGUUGUGACUUACAUCAAUCAUAUUAGAUUCAUAACAAACACGAGAUUUGAUUACCUUUCUUCUCAAGCCAAGCCUUAAAUUUGACACAAUCCUUCCUUAUAUGCCCCUUCUGUUUAUAAAACAAGCAUUUGGAUUCUUUCUUAAUGUCAGCUUGGGGAGGUAUUUUACCUUUUCCCUUAUGCUUGCCAUAGCCCUUAUUCUUUCCUUGUAUUGUCAAAUGAGCCACUUUCUCCCAAUUCCAUAACCAGUCUUUCUUCGUCUUGAACACACAUGGUCAUGAGUUCAUUAAUAGACCAUUUAUUCUUAUGUGUGUUAUAAGAGAUCUUGAAAGGUGCGUAUUGUUGUGGGAAAGUGUUCAGAAUAUAAUACACAAGGAAGGAUUCAGAUAUCUCAACCUCAAGGUUCUUAAGCUGAGUUGCAAUGUUCCUCAUUUGCAUGAUGUGCUCACGCACACCUCUAACACUAGUGAGCUUCAAUGAUGAAAACUUCAUAAUCAGGGUCAUGGCAUGCGCCUUCUCAGAACUUUCAAAUUGCGCAUCUAUGGCCUCCAAUAAAGCCUUAGCAUUGCUAUGCUGAGCAACCGAACCACAAAUACUAGGAGAUAUCUGAGCUCUUAUAAACAUAGCACAAACAUGGUUGGACCGCUCCCAUUGGUUAUAAAGAGCUAUCUCAGCUAGAGUGCUCGAAUCAGUAGGAGCAGGUGGUUCGUCUUUCCUUAUAGUAUAGUCAAUGUCCAUCCACCCCAAUUGAAGAAGAACCGACUCCUUCCAAACUUUAUAGUUCUCACCAUUCAGUAUGGGAACAUCAAACUUAAAUUCAGAGAAAUUCACAUGUUGCGAAACUGCAUAUCAAAUAAUCAUACUUAUGUCACAAAAUUUGAGGCAAAUAUGUAUAAAUAAAUCAUAUUUUACCAAUGUAAACAUGUCACAAUAUGAAUCACAUAACAUAAAAACUUCAUGUGGGCUAAGUUUUUAAUUUAAAUAGAUUCAUAAUUACUUCAUGAAGAAACUACCAUAUUAUAUGCAUUUUCUUAAUCCCUAUGGGUAAAUUAAGAAAAAUAAUAUGAUAUUUCAUCCUAAUUAAUCAUAUUAAUAUAAUGAAAAUUCAUGUGGGAUAAAAUUCAUCAUAUUAAUAUAAUUAAUUACAAUCAAUGUCCGUUUUUAAAUAUGAUCCGGAGGCUUUUAAUAUAUAAUUUAAUUAAUUAAAGAUGUUGUGGCCACUCUCUAAUUAAUUAAUUAAUUAUAUUGACCAUUGGACAUUUAAUUUCACGCAUAAAAUAUUCAUAACAAUGCAUGAAAUGACAUAAUAUAUAAAUACAUCAAGGGCAUAACAGUAAAUAAAUAAAUUGGCCAAGGGCAAGAUUGCAAAAAACAAGAAAAUUUGAGGCAAAAGCGUAAAUAGAAGCCGCAUGGAGGAGACGCCAGGCACGCGCCUGUUCCCGCGGCAGGCGCGUGGUCCAUACGCGCGCGGUUCAGCGCGCGUGCGCGUGCAACACACACACCUAGCAACUGCCACGCUCGUGGAUCCCACGCACGCAACGGUUGAGCGCCCGUGAGAGCGCGUGGCGCGUGGAUUCCACGCCCCUGCAACCGCAGUGCGCGCGUAGGCUCCACGUGCCUUCUUCCUCACACGAACAGAAGCUUUUCUUCGCCAUUCCGCCGCGGUUUCGCCGGCUAUUUCUUCUCCGGCCGGCCAUUUCUUCUCCAGCAGCCCAUCUCAGACAGAAAUAAAUAAUGAGUUUUGAAGAGCAUGCCGGAAAAAUCACACGGGUCCAAGUUUCGGUGAAAAUGAGCAAAAAUUGGCCCCAAAAUCAUACGAAAAUUUCCUAAAACACAAUUCCUUCAACCACUGCGACUUCCACCGCCCGAUUAGCCUCCGGCGAUCACCGAUAUGCCGAAAUAACUCAUGACUAAUAUUCCUCAUGGCGGUGCGACCGUGCGGGUCCGAAAUCAUGGGGUGGGUCGCCGGAAUUUGCUUGGAAUUUGGGAGUUUCUCUGUUGGCCUCAAAACUCCGAAUUACUGUUCAUGUUCAAAAUGCCCAAAAAACACACCAAAAAUUCGAGAAAAACAAGGCAGAGGCACUAGACAUGCUCUGAUACCAAAUGUAAGACAAAAUAAUUCAUAUGCAGAAGCCAGGAUCAAUUAAAGACAAACCUCCCGCCAUUGUUUUGUUCACGUUCGUAAAAAAACCUGAAAUCAAAGAAAAUUGAGGACACUCUACUACCCAAUUCACUCUCGUACUGAUGGUGUAUUCUGAAUGAGAGAGUUUGAGUUAGACAUUGUCAUCAUCUGUCAGAAAUGAACGUACUUUCCUAUUUAUACAUUGUCUCCCAUCAAGACUGGCGGUUGUCACCAAAGGGUACGAAGCGUGGAAAACUUUAUGUCGAACAGUCGCAACCUUUAGAGAAAAUAAACGUGGGAUCACAAAAAUAAAUAACAAUGCCCACUCAAGCUGAGGUGGAGGCUGAAGAAGAGAGCAGCGAAGCCAACGAUCAAUUUUCCACGGGGCCUUUACUCUUACCAGGAUUUUUCGAGUAUAUGGAACAGUUAAACUUCAGCCAACAGGUGCAAAAUUGCCAUGGUAUGUCCAUGUAAAGUUUUUAUACAUUCAUCCAGGCGCGAAGAAAGGAAAAAUCAUUAUAUUUUUCAGAUUAGUAACUCUCUCUAUAAUAACUCAAAUUCAUCUGCUUCCCUAUCAUAUCGAUUCCAAAUUACAGUUGUAUCAUUGUAUAUUCUAUAUGUCCCAUAUCGUUAUCUUUUUACCGCAUGGUUUAUUUCAUCAAAAUAUUUACUUAUGAGCAUAUGUUGAUUUUCGCCGUAAAUAUUUGUUUUUUAAUCAAGUUCUAGACAUUCGUUUUACCUGUACCCAUGGCUUGAUUUAAAAGUCCCAUUGUUGAUUUAUUUUACGCUCAACUUUUUUAGUGCAACCAGUUUUGGUGCCCCCUCAACAUCAAAAUGCUCCACAUCAAUCCAAGACAAGGAAUGUGCUUCAGAAUCCAACUGCACAAUCAUCAACAGCUCUAAGGGAUAUGGAUUUACGUAUCCUAUCAUCAUCACAAGCUUCAGAUGUUGCUCCACAGUGGCCGACCGAUGUUUCAAACUUCAACCAACAGGGAUAUCAAUGGGCCAAACUCUGGCCAACAAUCACAAGCAGAGCGUCAGUUUCCUCAGAGUUCAACAAUGCCGUCACUGGCACAAAAUCGCCAUGGUAUGUUAAUGUGAAGUAUCUAUACAUUCAUCUCGGCGGGGAGAAAAACAUCUAUUAUAUUUUUCAACGCAAACAUGUUGGAUUUUUUAACCGAAGUGGUAACUUUUAAAUAUCUCCGAUAAACAUGCUUUUUCCACACAACUGUUCAAAUAUGAAGAGAGUCAAUAACCUAUUCCUUAAUAACCAUACAUCCAAUGUGUUACACGUGGCCACUGGACCCACUGGAUCCAGUAAACUAACUACAAUAAGCAUUCUCCCGUGUUCCAAUCAACCAUAUCCUAACUUUGAUGAACAAAACACAGGUGAAAGUUCCACGAUGGCUUUAGUGGAAGCGGAAUUGUAUUUUCAUGAUCUGUUAGAUUAGUCACAAUGUUACUUUCAAUCUCAAAUGCAAAUGAUUGCCCAUCAGACUCCAGCAGGGGCGUCAUCAUUCCAGGAUGAUCAAUUACCUACUGUAGAUAAUUCAAAUUGCUUGCCGGAUUGCAAUCAGCACUCUCAAUUGCAAACUUUAAUGGACAUAGAUCCCUCAAUUGCACCACAGCAUACAAGUGACUCACACAUUAUUGAGGCAACAACGGUUGAAUCUCAAGUUUCAGAGGCGGCAACAAAUGCAACAGGCCCAUCGUCAUCACAAGGUGUGUUUGGAUUAAUCUUCAUUGUUACUAUAUGGUUCCACUAGACUCUUAAAUAUCCCCAAAUUAUUUUAUCGAAAUCUAACAUAUGUUUUUUUUGUAAAUUAGAUAUGAAUAGGGGUUCUCCAGUCAUGGACGUACGGAGCAUCUAUGCCAACGAUGAAGAGAUAAGAAACCUGAAAAGAAAAGUGGAAGAACUUGACGACAAAAAAGCUGUCAUAAAGGAGCAGAUGGAGAUAGAGUCUGCUGCUUCCUCUGUUCGGAAGAAGCCGAGGAUAUUGGUUGAGAGAUGACUGAAAGAGACAGAAAGAGCAAGAAAUAAUUUCCAAAUAAUUGGCCAAGCCAAUGUGGAAACUUUGCCACCAAAGGAACAGGUGGAGACAUUGACGAGAGAAGUGGAAGAACUCAUAGGAAAAAUGCUUCCACAAACACUACUCAUAGAGGAGAGAGAUGCCAAAGGAGUCAAAUUUUUUGAACGAAAGCUAACAGGUGAAGUGAUUCAUAGGAACAUUAAGUUGAUUUGGGAUUGUCUGAAGGAAAAUCAUGUAUGCAAAUUGGGUAUUUAUGGAAUGGGUGGUGUUGGGAAGACAACUAUUAUGAUGCACAUACAUAAUAGACUUCUCAAUGAUGCAACCUUCGAUGGUGUGGUUUUUAUCACUGUGUCCAAAGAUUUCAGCAUUUAUAAGUUGCAGAGUGAUAUUGGGGAGGCAUUAAAAUGUGGCAUUAAGGAGGUUGAGGAUGAGAAGAAAUGAGCAGCGAUGUUGUUGGAGCAUUUAGAAAGAAAGAAGAAUUGUGUAUUGAUUCUUGAUGAUGUGUGGGAACAUCUUGAUCUUGAAGAGUUGGGAAUCCCUAUUAGAGCACAUGGAUUUGAGUUCAUCUUAACCACUCGAUCCUUUGAUGUGUGCUGCCAAAUGCAAUAUCAAGAAAAGAUCAAAAUCAAGCCUCUAUCUCAAGAAGAAGCCGAGAGUUUGUUUUUGGAGGAGCUUGGACCCGAAAUGCCACUUAAUUUGGAAAUUGAAGCAAUUGUGAAGUCCAUUGUUAAAGAAUGUGCAGGCUUGCCGAUUGGAGUAAUCACGAUGGCGAGAAGCAUGCGAGGAGUGACCGAAGUGUUUGAAUGGAGGGAUUCCUUGGUGAAAUUGAAAGAAUCGACUAUUAGACAAACAUAUAUGGAAGGUUUUAAGAAUUUUGAAAUUUAGUUAUGAUUGCCUUGGUAAUUCUAAUGUCCAACAAUGUUUCUUAUCUUAUGCACUUUAUCCAAAUGAUGGAUUAAUUGGUGGAUUGAGUACGAGUAAUGAACAAUAUGAUAGAGGGCUCACCAUAUUGAACAAAAUGAGAAAUGUUUGCCUAUUGGAAGGUCAGCACAAGAGAGGGAUGUGGAUGAAGAUGCAUGAUUUGAUUAGAGACAUGGCAUUGCAUAUCAUGGGUGUGACUUUCAUUGUAAAAGCAAGAAAGCAAUUGAUGAGGAUUCCAUCCGAAGAAUAUUGGACUGAUGCUUUGGAGAAAGUUUCUCUAAUGAAUAAUAACAUUAAAGAUUUUCCAUUGGACAUGUCGCCAAAUUGCCCUAACCUAUCAACUCUUCUAUUAAAAAAUGGCUUGUCGCAUGAUGCGGUCAUCCCUGAUUCUUUCUUCAAAAAUUUAUGCGGGCUAAAGGUUCUAGAUUUGAGUGGAAAUGAUAUGACAAAACUUCCAAAUUCCAUCUCAAACUUGGUAAACUUGAGAGCACUAUUGCUCAGACAUUGUCAGGAAUUGCGCCGUGUUCCUUAUCUAGGAAAGCUCACAUCUUUAAGAAAGUUGGGCGCUGAAUACUGUAGGAGUCUUGAAGUGCUUGAGGGUUUGGAAAAGUUGGUGAACUUGAGAUACCUUAACCUAACUGGAACACAUAUUGAGAGAUUGCCCAAGGGAAUGUUGGACCAUUUAUUACACUUGCAAUAUCUUAAAUUUUCGGUGGUAAAUGAAGAAGACAUUACGAAAUUGGGGGCAUUGAAGACAUUUGGAUGCUACCUUAAAAAUGUGGAUGAUUUCAACAAGUGUGUGAAGGCUAUUGAGCAUAGUAAUAACCCUCGCUAUUACGACCUCAAAGUGGAUCGAGAAAAACCAGAGUUUAUUGCGAAAGUAAGCGAUGAUACUCAAUUUGGGAAUUUGAGGAGGAGAGUCAUCAUUUGGGAUUGGAGUCAUGCCAUUUUGAGCGUGGGAGGCGAUUGCACCAGCAUUUUUAUUUUGAUUCCCCAAGAUGCGCAGAUAAUGAUAAUGAGAAAAUACGACGGUAUAACAAAUUUGUCUGGCAUGCGUCUGCUUGAAUACCUUGAGGAGCUAAAUAUAGAAGAAUGGGAAAACUUAGAGGUGCUCUAUGGAGGACAAGACAAAGAAGUAAUCGUCAUCCAUGACUCCCUUACCCCAACCCCUACCUUUCCGCUCUUCCCCAACCUUAGGGUUUUGCGAAUAGAAAAAUGUACGAAAUUGAAGUAUCUCUUUGGGCAUGGGUCUAAAACCAACCUUCCGCAUCUACGAGACAUUCUAAUAUAUGGAUGUGAGGAAAUGGUGGGGAUAAUAGCAGCAGUUACAUCCCCACCACCACAUCCGCUCCCAUUUUUCCCUAGUCUGGAACAGAUUACUAUUGAAAAAUGUAAUAACAUGAAGAGAGUGGUGGAAUCUGAGUGGAUGCCCCACUUCCCUAAUCUAAGAAGAAUCUAAGUAUUCAAAUGUGAGAAGAUGGAGGAGAUAAUCGAAGGUCGUCCCCCAUACUUGCCAGUUGAAGGCAUUUCUCUCGAAUCUCUUACGGUAAUAGAUUGCGGUAACAUGAGAAAGCUGCUUCCGCAUGAGUGGCUGCUCCAUCUUCGAAAACUUCGAAAGAUCAUGGUCUCAUCGUGCAAUGGAAUGGUGGAGAUGAUAAGUGGAGCGGGACAAGGUCAAGAAGGAAGCUUAACGACUCCCUGUAAACAACACCCCUUCAUCCUUCCAGCCUUCUUCAAUUUCUCCCCCAAAGCUGGAGUGGUUGGGACUACUCAAUCUACCCCAGCUGAAGAGCAUAUGCGAAGUCCCAAUAAGCUGCGAUUCCAUGAAAAAUUUGACGGUGUACGGAUGCCAAGAACUGAAGAGGAUUCCUUUGCAACUGCGAUUGUGUGAAAUUGAGGAGCUUCCACAUAUUUGGGUGGAAGAUGAGGAAAAGUGGAAGACGCUAAUUUGGGAUCAUCCCAAUGCUCAGGCUACUCUUAAACCUUAUCUCCUAAAAGGGAAUCACACUAAUAGAGAAAGUCCUUUAUUUUGGGAGGGACCGAGUCCUCCAAGUGCUAUAGGUUAAUGAGUUUAAUCGAUAUACAAUUGCUUCACUUCUUAAAAGUCCUUAUAAAGAUGUAGCUUCUCUGUCUAUAUAGUCAUGCAGCUCUAAUAGUGGCCUUUUGCAGAACUGUCCACCAAGGGAGAGGAUCUCUAGUGACUCUGCUCUUGAAGAAAGCCCUACUGCUCGACCAUGCUUUCCUGCAAACUCGACUCAGGUUGUCAUAUAAUUUGACUUUUUUCGUGUAUAUUUUGAAUGUGUUCGCAUGUUUUAUUGACUAUUGGAAAUGAGUCAAUCUGGUCGAUAUUUCAGGUUAGUCAAAAAACAACGGAUCUGAAGAUUUAGGAAGCUAAGGGACGAGCAAAGCCUGUUUCCUAUCUUGUCUUAUAACCGAAAGGACAAUUUAUUAUUAUGGAUUGAUCUUCCUAGAAUAUUAGCCUUCUAAGAAAAGAGAGAAUUUUGGGCAGCACUACCUUUUAAUAUGCUUGUGUUUAGAAAGGAUUUCAAAUAUGAUAUUGCUAUAACUUGUCGAUCAAAAAUGUUGUGCCACAUAUGCUGCUUUGCUCUCUUGGAUCAGAGCAACAUGACUCUGAUUAAACUUGUUUCGACAUUAAACUAUCGGAUAUAGAAUACUUGAUCUGCUUAGUAGUUGUAUCAUAUCUGGAAACGUAGGCUGGAAAGUUUUCUUUUCACCCUUUGUUGUAAAAUUUCACCUCAACCCCACUUUGAGUUAUAAAAUAAAAAUCCAUCACCCCUCUUUUGAUUCCUUGAAGUCGUAAAUAGAUGGAGAACCCUACAGCUUCAGCUUAAGUUGCCAAAAGAUUAGAGCAGUUACCACUAGCAAGUUAGUGGUGAAAAGGCCAACUUAUUGGACAUGGCACUUUCGGAAAUGUUUACAUUGCAAGCAACAGGUUAGCUAGCUCUGGUAAACUUUGACAUGUUCCAAUUUUCUAGAUAUCCAGUCAGCUAAACUUUGACCUAUUAGGUGACAGAGAAACCAGAUCUUUAUGUGCAUUGAAGGAGUUUGAGCUAUUGCCUAAUGAUCCAAAUUCAGCUGAGUGCAUGGGGCAGUUAAAGCAGGUAAUGUCUUUGUUAUGCUCCGGGAUCCAAUCUAUUCUCUCAUCUGAUCUAAAUAUGCUGGGAGGAAAUUUUUUUUUAUCAUUUCUAGGUAAUUGAUUGCUUUGCUACUACAGGAAAUUCAAGUACUUAGCCAGCUUAGACAUCCAAACAUUCUGCAGUAUUAUGGCAGUUAAAUUGUGAGUCACCUUUCCACGGCAUCUACACGACCCAGAUCAAUGGGCAUUCAUAAUUUUACUUACCGAAAUUCCAACAUAUUCAUACAUACUUAGGUUGAGGAUCAACUUAAAAUAUAUCUAGAAUAUGCACAUCACGGUUCGAUAGACAAGUAUAUUCAGGAGCAUCUUAGGACCCUAACAGAAUCGGUUGUUCACACUUUUACCCUCCAUAUUGUGGCUGGAUUGGCUUCCCUGCAUCUUAACAACUCCAUACAUGGGUAAUUCUAAACCAUUGAUCAAGUAUCAUGAGAUGACUUGCAUACUAGAUUAGGAUGAUUGGACCUUCUUCUUUGUCCCUAUAGACCUGUUAAAACUCUUUGGCUUGCGCAGGGAUUUAAAGGGAGCUAAUUUAUUUGUGGAUGCAUAUGGGAUAGUUAAACUUGCUGACUUUGGGAUUGCUAAACAUGUGAGUUUCCACCUCUUCACUGCAAGACUACUGAGUGCAUGUAGAAAUUCCUUGUUGAUCUAUGGUGCAUUCGAAUGUUAAGUCAGGAACCCAGGGUGACUGCAUACUUCUCAUUAAUGGUUUGUGGCAUUUCAUAUAUGCAAAAAUCCAUUAUAGAUGGAUGAAAUGUUAUUGAGUAAUUUUCUUCACUUUUUUUCCCAUUGUUUCGGGUAAAGUUACUAUGUUGCAUAAACUAGAAAAGAUUUCUUGUUAUAAAUAGAUGCUGAAACCUACUGAGAGUUCUUUCCUUUUCUACUGGUUUCUAAAAAGUUCCUAAGAGAGGUAGUGAAUAAAACGCAAUACCUUUGGCGAAAGGUUGUGGUUUUGUUUUUGCUGCUUCUCUGCAUUCCCAAAGAAGGAUAGAAUUUAGUUAGAGUAAAGAAAGGCCUCCUUCCUAACAUGGGGUUAAUAAAAGUGUAUUGGUCCAUAGAACGGAAUUCUAGACAAUAGCCACGGUACUGUUGGUCUCUUUUUUGAGUUCUCAAACAUUUGCUGAGACCAUGUUGUUGAUUGCUUCAUGGUCAUUUUUCUCAGUAAUGAGCUAACAUAAGUUGAAAGUGGUUGAUUUAGUUAUCAAUCUGAUGUAUUUAUAUCUAUAAAGAUGUUGCUAUUUUAUCCAGUGUUCCAUGAACACACUAGGUAGUCUUCGACUCUACUAAUCUCUUACCAUUUCUUAGCUAACCGGACAAGCAGCUUCUUGCUCUUUGAAGGAAGUCUAAACUGGAUGGUUCCCGAGGUACUCUGCUUUGGUGAAUGUUAACGCUGCAUUCUUUUUUUGUCGUGACGGAAUGAUGGAAUAAUAUAUCCAGCAGCUCAUACAAUCCUUGAUGGCAAAUAAUUACAGCACAGAUCUCGAUUGUAUUGUCGACUUGUGGAGUUUGGGAUGUACUAUUACCGAAAUGAUAAUUGGCAAACCUCCUUGGAGUGAGUAUGAGUGGGUAGGUACGCUGCAUUGCUUUUUCAUUUUCUCUGUUUGUCCCUCCAAGUAAUACGCUUCCAACCAAAUCUGCAUCGUCGUCUGGAAGAGAUUAUUGUUUGGGACUGUGGUAAAAUGAAGAGAGCAGUGGAAUCUGAGUGGAUGCCCCACUUCCCUACUCUGAGAAGAAUCACAGUAUAUGAAUGUGAGAAGAUGGAGGAGAUAAUCGAAGGUCCUUUCUCAUACGUGCCAGUUGAAGAGAUUUCUCUUGAAUCUCUUGAAUCUCUUGAAGUAGCAAAUUGCAAUAACAUGAGAAAGCUGUUUCCGCAUGAGUGGCUGCUCCAUCUUCGAAAUCUUCAAAGGAUCGAGGUCGAUUAUUGCAAAGGAAUGGUGGAGAUGAUAAGCGGAGCCAGACAAGGCCAAGAAGGAAGCACGGUGACUCCUGUAAAUAACACCCCUUCAUCCUUCCAGCCUCCUAUUUCUCUCCCAAAGCUGAAGUUCUUGGGUCUAUGGUCUUUGCCCCAGUUGGAGAGCAUAUGCGAAGUCCCAAUAAGCUGCGAUUCCAUGAAAGAAUUGACAGUGUCCGGAUGCCCAGAACUGAAGAGGAUUCCUUUGCAACUGCGAUUGCGUGAAAUUGAGGAGCUUCCGCGUUUAUGGGUGGAAGAUGAGGAGCAGUGGAAGACGCUGAUGUGGGAUCAUCUCGAUGCUCUGGCUAUUCUUCAACCUUAUCUCCAAAAAUGGAAAUACGCUGUAAGUAAUGAGUUAAUUGUAUACGAUUGCUUCACUUCUUAAAAGUCUUUACAAAGAUGUAGCUUUUCUGUCUAUAUAGUCAUGCAGCUCUAACAGUGGCCUUUUGCAGAACUGGACGCCAGGAGAAAGGAUCUCCCUUGGCACUGCUCUUGAAGAAAGCCCUGCUGCUCGACCAUGCUUUCCUGCAAACUCGACUCAGGUUGCCAUAUGAAUUGACUUUUUUCGUGUGGCCAUGCUUUGUGUAUUUUCAAUGCGAUUGCAUGUUUUAUUGACUACUGGAAAUUAGUCAGUUUGGUCGAUAUUUCAGGUUAGUCAAAAAACAACGGAUCUGAAUAUUUGGGAAGCCAAGGGACUAGCAGAGGUCUGUUUCCUAUCUUGUCUUAUAACCGAAAUGAAAAUUUACUAUUAUUAAUUUAUCUUCAUGGAAUAUUAGCCUUCUAAGAAAAGAGAGAAUUUUGGGCAACACUACCUUUAAUUUGUUUGUGUUUAGAAAGGAUUUUAGAUAUGAUAUUGCUCAAACCUGUCGAUCCAAACUGUUGUGCGAUAUACGCUGCUUCGCUCUUUUGGAUCAGAGCAACAAGACCUCGAUUGAACUUGUUUCGACAUUAAACUGUUGGGUAGAGAAUACUUGAUCUGCUUAGUAGUUGUAUCAUCUCUGGAAAUGUAGGCUGGGAAGUUUUCUUUUCACCCUUUGUUGUAAAAAUUCACCUUAGCCCCACUUUGAGUUAAGAUGUAAGAAGAUGAAGAAGAAAGAAUUGCACAGCUAUCAACCCUCUUUUAAUGCCUCUAAGUCGUGGAUAGAUGGAGAACCCUACAACUUCAGCUCAGGUUGUCGAAAGAUCAAGCAGUUACCACUAGCAAGUCAAUGGCAAAGAGGCCAGCUUAUUGGAUGUGGCACUUUCGGAAAUGUUUACAUUGCAAGCAACUAGUAAGUUAUCUUUGGGAAACUUUGACAAGUUCCAUUUUUUUUCGAUAUCCAGUCGGCUAAACUUUGACAUAUUAAGUGACAGAGAAACCAUAUCUCUAGGUGCAUGGAAGGAGCUUGAGCUAUUGCCUAAUGAUCCAAAUUUAGCUCAGUGCAUGAGGCAGUUAAAGCGGGUAAUGUUUUUAUUAUGCUCUAGGAUCCAAUCUAUCCUCUCAUCUGAUUUAAAUAUGCUGGGAGGAAACUUUCUUUCAUCAUUUCCAAGUAAUUGAUUGCUUUGCUACUACAGGAAAUUCAGGUACUUAGCCAGCUUAGACAUUCGAACAUUAUACAGUAUUAAGGCAGUGAAAUUGUGAGUCACCUUUCCACGGCGUCUACGCAUCCCAGCUCAAUGGUCAUUCAUUAUUUGACUCACCAAAAUUUCAACAUUUUAUACAUACUCAGGUUGAGGAUCAUCUCAACAUAUAUCUAGAAUAUGAACAUCAUGGUUCAAUAGACAAGAAUAUCUAGGAGCGUCUUGGGACCCUAACAGAAUUAGUUGUUGCACUUUUACUCGCCACAUUGUUACAAAAUUGGCUUCCCUGCAUGUUGACAACUCCAUAUAUGGGUAAUUCUAAACCAUUGAUCAAGCAUCAUGAGAUGACUUGCGUAUUGGAAUAGGAUGAUUGGACCUUCUUCUUUGUGCUUACAGACCUGUUAAAACUCUCUGACUUGCGCAGGGUUUAGAGGGAGCUAACUUAUUUGUGAAUGCAUCUGGGAUAUUCGAACUUGCUGACUUUGGGAUUGCUAAACAUGUGAGUUUCCACCUCUUCACUACAAGACUACUGAGUGCAUGUUGAAAUUCCUUGCUGAUCUGUGGUGCAUUCAACUGUGUACUUCUCAUUAUUGGUUUGUGGCAUAUCAUAUGUGCAAAAAUCUAUCGUAGAUGGAUGAAAUGUUAUUGAGUAAUUUUCUUCACUUGUUUUCCCAUUGUUUUGGUUAAAGUUACUAUGUUGCAUAUAUGGGAAAAGAUUUCUUGCUAUAAAUAGAUGUCGGAACCUAAUGAGAGUUCUUUCCUUUUCUACUGAUUUUUAAAAAGUUCCUAAGAGCGGUAGUGAAUUUGUAAUACCUUUGCCAAAAGGUUGUGGUGUUGUUUUUGCUGCUCCUCUGCAUUCCAAAAGAAGGAUCAAAUUUAGUCAGAGUAAAGAAGGGCCUCCUUCCUAACAUGGGGUAAAUAAAAGUGUAUGGGUCCAUAGAACGAAAUUCUGAACUAUAGUCAAGAUAUUGUUACACUCUUUUUGAGUUCUCAAGCAGCAUUGGCUGAAGUCAUGUUGUUGAUUGCUUCAUGGUCUUUUUUACUAAGUAAUGAGCUAACAUAAGUUGAAAGUGGUUGAUUCAGUUAUCGAUCUGAUGUAUCUAUGUCUAUAAAGAUGUUGCUAUUUUAUCCAGUGUUCCAUGAACACACCAAGUAGUCUUUGGCUUUAAUAAUGCCAUACCAUUUCUUAGCUAACCGGACAAGCAACUUACCGCCCUUUGAAUGGAAGUCUAAACUGGAUGGCUCCAGAGGUACUCUGCUUUUGUGAACGUUAAUGCUACAUUCCUUUUUUUGUCGUGGCAGAAUGAUGGAAUAAUAUAUCUUGCAGCUCAUGCAAUCCUUGAUGGCGAAUAAUUACAGCACAGAUCUCGAUCAUUCUGCCAACAUGUGGAGUUUGGGACGUACUAUUAUUGAAAUGAUAACUGGGAAACCUCCUUGGAGUGAGUAUGAGUAAGUACGCCGCAUUGCCUUUUCAUUUUCUCUGUUUGUCCUUCCAUGUAACACGCUUCCAACCAAAUCUGCGUUGCCGUUUUCUGUGGGAAGUUCAGGGUCGUGUACAUCGCCAUUUGGUAUGUGAUCUGUGUCAUGCGUUUCUGUUUAAGGUUGAAUCAUUAAUGUAGGCUCAAGCUACAUUUAAGGUGAUUUGAAGUUCUCUAGCAAUACCUGAGACGUUAUCUGCCGAGGGAAAGGAUUUCCUGCAAUGCUGCUUUCGAAGACAGUCUGUCGAGAGGCCUUCAGCUGCUAUGCUACUUGAGCAUGCUUUCCUGCAAAUCUGAAGUUGCAGAUGACUGACCUAUUUCAAGUGCCAUAUGUUGUCACAAAAGGGUUGUUGUCCUGUAAAGUUCCAUAUUGACUAAACCAGAAGGAUCACACGGUCCAUAGAUGUGAUAAAGUACUUGUAUAUCGACAAAAUAAGACGGAUGUUCCUCUUGCAUGGUCUGACUAGCGGCAUACUGAUCUAGGCAAUUUAACAGUGUUGCUUAAUCUAAACCUUUUAGUGUAGAGUGCAUUCUUAUCAUAAACAUUUUGUGCGAAGUACAUUUAUUCAUCAAAAUUGAAUGGUAUUGAUUUGGCUCCAAAUAAGCAACAGAUCAGUGAAACAAAAGCAGGUAAACCCAGAAAAGAGGAGAAAAAGAAAAUCGAAGCGAUAGUGCAUCAGAAUUCCUGAACUAAUUUUGAAAGCAAAUACUUUGUCGGUUUGGUGGGAGGAACAUUGGCAGGUUUGGCAAACCUGCAGUGUCUUAGGAUUGCAUUAGAGGCUCUUGAUUCUUCCCUUCAACAAAUACAUGAGAUUUUCUCCGACCAGAGUGGCCCUCAUCACUAUCACCAAAUUCCGGUGAAUCAAGAAAAGCCAUCGUGGUCUGUCUCUGAAUUUAAAUGAUGAUGAGGAUCCAAGAUUUAUAACUUCCGAGAGGAGAAUCAACGUUAAUUGUUGUGAUUAUGCUCUUGUCAGGGCAGUGAGGGGAAAGUCUUUCCCCUAUUGGUUUUGCUCCCAAGUGAUGCUGCAAGUUUACUGUAUUUUCCCCUUAUGGUUGUUUGUCAUUUCGUGGACCAUUUUUAGAAUAACUUUGCAUCUCCUCUCUAUAAAAUACAAACAACUGAUGAAAUCUGUUGAAAAUAUCUCACACCGGUCUUUUACAAGAUUUUAAUGGGCCUUACAUUCAUAUAAUUUACCUUCACUUGUUCAAAUUUUUAGGUUGGACUUUCUCUUAUGUGCAAAUAGCAAUUUCUGCUUGAAAUGAAGAGUAAACAUGCUUCCCUUUUUUAACUAUUUUUUCUACGAUUAAAGUGAUUCCUCUACCCUAUACUAGAAAUAUAUAAAGUGUCACAGAAAAAGAAACUCCUCGAAAUUUUGUAAAGUCGGAGGCGCAGCUCAGAUUGAGCUAUGACUCUCAACUGCAUUAAAUUCUCUCUUCAUUUUCGUCUUCUUUUGUUCUUUUCCUCAAUUUUUAGCCAACAUCCUAACCAUAAGGCGCCUUUUCUCUUUUGUCCCUUAUCUCUCCCCCUUUUCUUCGUACACCUCACUCUUCUUUUCCUGCCUCUUUUUUUUUUGGUUCUCUGCCCGAACCCUUAACGAAGACAACUAAUUGGUAUUUAGUUUUCCAAAGUGUAGCAUUAUUGAGCACCAUCAUCGACCAUCAAGUUCGCUAAACUCAACCAUCAAUUAACUAACUAUUCUUGUUUAACAGGCCAGGCCAACGCUCGCUUGGGCAAGGGCGAGCCCCGGUGAGGGCUCCCAUUAUUUAAAAAUAUUUAAAAAUUAUUAAAAAAUUAUUAAAAAUGAUCUACGUCAGCGCCAGCGGUCCUACGUGGCACCACCAAUGUCCACAUCAGCAUUUUUCGGCCAAAAUUGACCAGAUGGACUGAAUUGGCAAUAAGUGAAAACGUUUAAGACUGAAUUGGCAAAAUUAAAAAUGCAAUAGGUUUAGGACUUUUUGGACAAUUUUCCCGAAAUAAUUGCGAUACCAAAUGCUAAAGGGCAAGACGGGAGACUUUUAUACGAAGUGAAUGGAAGCAAAGGUGCUUCUGAAAAGGGCAUUUUCAGAAGGAAAAGUGCUUGUGCAGCUAAGGGGGGAAAGAGGGGAGUCUUAUAAGAACUGAGGUAAAAGUGCUUGCAAAAAGGACAUUUUCGGAAAAAAAAAAAGUGCUGGUCAUAAGAGCUUUAUAAAUAGUGAUAUGGCUUCUUAUAAAACGUUUUAUACGAAGUCGGAAAAGUUUUGUAAGAAGUGACGUGGCUUCCUCUAUAAGGGCAAGGCAGGAGACUUUUAUAAGAAGUCAAUGAAAGCGAAAGUGCUUCCGAGAAGGGCAUUUCGGCAGGAACAGUGCCUGUGCAGCUAAGGGGGAGACAGGAAAGUUCUAUAAGAACUGAGGCAAAAGGGCUUCCAAAAACAGCAUUUUCGGAAGAAAAAGUGCCGGUCAUGAGAGCUUUAUAAAUAGUUACGUGGCUUCUUAUAGAACGUUUCAUACGAAGUCGGGAAUGUUUUGUAGCGGCUGACUUCGUAUAAAACGUUUGACUUCGUAUAAAACGUUUAAAUGUUUUAUACGAAGUCAGGAAAUUUUUGUAAGUGACGCGGCUUCUUUCUCAUGAAAAGCCCCCAGAGGACGCCGUUCUUCUUUUAAAACUCUCCUGGCCAGCACAUUUUUUUCAAUUCACUUCUUAUAAAACUCUUGUCUCGCCCCUUAGCAUUUGGCACCGCAUUUCUCUCACAAAACAAUUCACUCAUGGGGAAUGUUUUUACGCGCCAUUGUGAAGACGCGAUCAUUCCUGAAGCUGAAGCUGUGGUUAUAUCUGGUAAUUUUCUCUUCUUCAUCUUCUUCAUCUGUGAUUCACGGUCACCCAUAGACGUUUGAGUUGAGUUUGAUUCUUAUGUUAAAAUUUACGUCCUUCAUUUCCUUGAGAUUCAAUUGUUUCGCUUAGAAAGUUUGUCAACUAGAUAAGGGCUGGUGAUGAUGUGUUUAAUGCACUUUUGUAGGUCAGAUUUGGCGAUUAUGUGUUUGUUUUUCUCACUUUUAAGCUUCUAAAGUACAGAGAACUAGUCUUUUGAUAGUUACAAAAAGUACAGAGAAGUAGUCUUGUAAAGGUUGAUCCACUGGUAGAAUUGUGUGGCAAUCAUUAUGAGACCGUGAUGUAAUGCCUCUUUAUUUUUCUAAUCCAUAGAUCUAUUUCCCAUGUCUACCAUUCGUAAUGAAGAAGAGGGCAGUGAAGAAGUUGAAUUACAUGAUGAAUUUGCCAUCAUCAAUGUCCCCAUUCAAGGUGGAGAUGGCAAUACCAUACCCAGUGAAGAAGAGGGCGGUCAAGAAGUUGAAUUACACGAUGAAUUGAUUGCCGUCAUUAUCCCCAUUCAGGGUGGAGAUGGCAAUACCAUACCUAGUGAAGAAGAGGACGGUCAAGAAGUUGAAUUACACGAUGAAUUGAUCGCUGUUGUUGUCCCCAUUCUGGAUGGUGAUGGCAAUGGUGACGGCCAUAUUGAGGAUGGCGACAACAAUGUUGGUGAGCAUGAAGUGGAGCAAGAGGUGCAGGAGGUGGAGAAUGAGCAGGACGGCGGCGAGGGGGCUGGUGUGGGGGUUGUUGUUGGUCCUGCCGUUGCUGGUAAUAGAGCUGGCUUUAUUGUUCUGGCAACGGUGCUAGUGGGGGCGCUCGUCUUGUGGAAGAUGCGGCUGAUAACACUGUUAGAGUUGCUUUUGAUGGUGGUGGUAGUAUUGGCAGUAGCCUUGCUCCUUGGGCGCAUGGAUUGGCUAAACUUGAUAUGGAUCUUAAUCCUAAGACUCAAUAUUAUCCUAGUAUGAUGGAGAGAUUGACGCGUGGAUUGCCACGUGAGAUGUCUAGGUGGACUUCUUUGGAUGAUUUUCAGUAGAACAUUUUUGUUGCAGGAACCUCUGUUUGUAUCCUUAUUUCAUCAUGUAUACAUUUGUAUCAUUACUGGUUAUGUUGUCAAUGUACUUGGAAGGAAUAAACAUAUUCAUAGUUUAUUAACAGCUGAUUGUUCUCCUAUUGGUAUAAUUUAAGUACGCAUACGUAAGGAAUGGAGUAAGUACGGCCAUAACGAUUAUUCUCUAAUUUUAUGCGAGACUUAGAUAAAUUAGCCUCCCUAUACCAUAAAACCCGGUGGCAAUUUGAUGAACCGUCAUGUUUUCUUAGGAUUAGUAUGUGCACAAGUAGUUACGGAAUCUUAACUUUCACGUAAGAGGAUGGUCAGUAAGCUUUUCUUUGCCCAUGAGCUUAGCUCUCCUUUUUAUAUUCAGCUGGACUCAUCAAUGACAGAGGGUCAUUUGAUUCAAUCUUCUAUGUGAUGUUGAUGCAUAUAUGAUUACAUAUAAAUAGACGUGACAAAUGAGUGGACUGAAUUGAUUUUGGAUGGAUUAUCAAUAGGUUCAAUUCAAAUUCACGCAUUUAAUUCACGUUGACCCAUUUAUUUUCUGCACAAUUUAUAUGACACAUAGCCAAUCCAAACCCACCAACAUAACUCACAAUUUUUUUUAUUAAUACCAAUUAAACAAUUAUCAAAUUAAAAUAAUAAAAAUUAAUAGGGAUAAAUACACUUAAAAUCCUAAAAUUUGUCAUGAAGUAUAAUUAAAUCCUAAAAUUUAUCACAAAAAUUCAAUUGAAUUUUAAAAUUUUCAAAAAUAGUAAUUUAAGGGAUUUUUUUUCCCCUUCGCAGGCUCCCCUUUUCUCUCUCUCCAUGCCCGCUUUUUGGAAUUAAAGAGGAGAAGAAUGAAUUUUUCGCACUAACCUCCUUCUACUUCCUCUGCUUCUUCACGAACGACCAUAAGCCUUCACAAACCGAUCCCUUUUUUCUCUGCCAUGCUUUAGUCGAGCCGUAGCAGUUGUCCUUUGACCCGGAUGUUGCCGGUGACACCGUGGCCCGUCUCUGAGCUCGACGGCGAGAAUUGAGCCACCUAGAUUCAUCUUGCGCCUCUAUCUCUCUCGUCAUCCCCUUUCGACUUCGGAUGGGGCUGAUUCGAGCCAUUGACAUAAUUUCGUCUCAGAUUCACGGCCGAGUCGAGGCAUAGAUCUGAGAUCUAGGGCUCAAUCGAGCUCCACCAAAGGCGAGGGCUCAGUCGAGCUACACCAGAGGCGAGGGCUCUUGGGAGUUAUGUUCAGAUGAUCAUUACAUGAGAGACCCAUGCCAGUACCUACUCAAGGACUACUGCUUUGGAUUGUGCCUAAGAGACAGAAAUGAUCUUUCCUUGACCAUCCAGGACUUCAACUAUGCCAGCUUUUCAGGACUUAGCUACAUCAAACAUCCCCAUUAGUGGAUAAAAGUUGAAACGCCAUUAACCCGAGAAAGAAGCCAGUGCUUUUAGAAACUCUUCUGGAUAACAUAACAAAGUGCAUUCUGCCAAUGGUAUAUGCUUUCAUUUUAUAUGAAGCUAUAUGCAUGUCGUCAUUACAAAUUUAAAAUUGAGCUCGACUGCCCAGUAUUCAUGCAAUUUUCCUUAUCUUAGCCCCUCCAGAAACUAUCAAUGCUUGCUAUAUUAAUAAAACCAAAUGCUAUUUGAACAGAACAAGGCCUAAUUUUUCUUUUGCUCUUCCAAUUUCUUUGGGUUGGUUUGAAUUUGAUUUAAUUUUUGUGUUUUUCCCUUCUUUCUUGCCUUUUACCUAACAAACCAUGAUAUUUCAACAAACAGUGAUGACAAAGCAUCAAAUUAUGACAAGGAGAUUCAUUUAUAUUGAUUGAAUCAUGCAAUAGUGAAGUUAAAGUUAUUUAUAUUAGUUGAAAGGUGAUCAUUCUUGACAUGGAGUGACAGCAAAAUACUUUCGUACUUUCUCUUCGUAAAGUGAAUAUUGUUUUACUCUUCUAUUUAAAAUCUAACAUGUAGAAAGUAAUUAACUAAGCUAAAUAAUAUAGAGUAAUUUGAGAAAUGGCAAUAUCUAUCCGAAUUCCAACAUGUCAACACAUUGAACUUUGAUGUAAUUACAUAUAUCUGUGCACGUCAUACUCUAGUAUUCCAUUGAAUUACAGCAUAAAUGCUAGAGUAUAUAUUUUGAUACUCAACCUAGAUACUCAACCCAGUGUGCUUGCUGGUAGUCAAUAUUGACAAAGUUAAAUAAGAGAAUCACAGUGCAGAAAAUCAGCGCAUCUUUGGCUGAUUCAACUUAGAAAUAAUUAAGAGGGAAAGGACCUAUAGGCUCUUAAGUCUUUGCAGAACUAGUGAAGAGCUUUAAAAUGCCAAGGCAGGCGAUUGGGAUGCAUGAGAUUCUGCAAAACCUUGAGAAGUGCAAAAGACAGGGGACAGCAGAGACCUCAGUUAAUGCAAAUUCAACAGGCACAAAUGAUCAAUGCAAUCAUGCGAUAUGAACUUGAACAGAAAAUUGCCCAAGAGCUCAUUAUGGCAGGGCAAGCUGGAAGAGGCUUACCCUGAAGUGGAUUUACCCAAUCUUUCAUCUUUACAUCGUCUCUGAUCAUCGACCAUCGACUCGAAAACAUCUAACAGUUGAUCCAGUCCCUCUGGACUGCCCCCAACUGCCUUCAUCGCGUAGAUGGCACUCUCGAGAGUGGACAAACAUCCAGCCUUAGGCUGACUUCUAACUUCUCUGUACAAGCUCAUCACCUCCAAAUCCAACUUCAGAUGAGGCAACAGCUUCAACCAAGGAUUCUCGCUGUACAUUCUCUUUGCCUUCAUCCACGUGCCGUCCAGCAAGAUCAAGUUCCUGACUUUGAACUCAGCUGCCUUGAGUUCAUCAAUGCUGAGCGCAUUCUUGGUCGGAAACAGAAGUACCGACCCGCGCGGCACUUCAAGUACGAAUUCCUCAGAUUCUUCAAGCUCCAAGCUCGAAUUCAAUACAAGGUUUUGCGAUUUCCUAACCACAAAUCCAUUCGACAGAACGUCAUGAGCUGACUGGCAAUCUAAUAUGGAAUCAAAAUCAGCUCCUCGAUGACCAAUUUGAGACAUCCAAACAUGGUCUAUCGAUUCAAUAAUCCCCUUCUUGCCCAUUCGAAAACUGAUAACAGGUUUGCUGGUACUUCUAGACAAGACUCCACAAGCGCGCGAGUUCUGCGGCACCUUGGAAUCCUCUGAAACCUCCCCACCGUUUGGGGCAAUCGAACCGCAGUCCCUUUCAUCCCCAGGACAAUAAGCUCCAUUCGAUUCGACGACCGAAUUAGGGCUUCCCACCUCCACUCCAGAUACCAAUCCAUUGGCGCUGAUUUCGCGGUCUUGCUCGAGCGGCGAGAUCGAGAACUCGACGCCGGAGUUGACGUCGGAAACGGCGGCGACGGCGACGUUCUUGAGCGCUAGCCUCAAGAUUUGGGUGGAAUUGAGGGGGUGCUUCCGCUCCAGGCUGUGCUGGAGGACAGUGACGCGGACGGGGUGGUCGAGACGCGGAGAUCGGAUCCGGGUGCAGAGGCACGUGCGCGCCGGCUUCGAGCAGGACGGGCAAACGGGUCACUUCGGAUUGGUGGAGCGGGCCGUUUCCGCCAUUUUCGCCGACCGCGGCGGACGCUGGCGGCGAUCCGGCUGGGGGAAGGAGGGAGCUUGAGGAGGAGGAGGAGGAUGGUCGGGGACGCGUAUCGAAACGGGCUCGGAUUCAGGUUCGGGAACGGGUUCGCGAAUCGGAUACGGGUUGCGAAAUGGACCCGCAUUUUCCCAGAAAUUGGGAGAUGAUUUUUGGGAAUCUGAAAAAAACGGUAGGGGCCGGAGCGGGCGGGGGCGCUGUUUGGCCAAAACGGUCGAGCAAAUGGUUUUGAAUUUACGAAAGAGCGUGCCAGCGGCGGCCUCUGUGAUUCAAAUCCGAAAAAUAGUGUGCAGAGGCCAAUCGAUGACUGCCGCCGUGAGGCAAGGUUGGAUAUCAUGAUAGCGACCAAGUGGUGGAGAUUGUUCUUGUGGGUUUAUCAUGCCAUGAGAUGGCAACUACUGCGGCGAUGGUCGAAAUCAGGAUGAUGAAUGACUGAAAUCAUGCAUCUAGACCACAGUAAGUAUCCACUUAGAUCAAAUGGUCAACAAGUUAACAAUUGAGGCCCAUGAAGAUUUUAGCAGAGGAAGUUGAUAUGUUCUUUAGAUCCUCGGACGGCGGUCGCGGUUUGCACUUCAGAUUGUAAUAGCAGCCUUGGGGUUCCUCCUUUCAAAGUCUUAUGGGUAUUUAUCACUUAGACGUCCUAAGCUUCAUAUCAGAUGCUAAUGAUGUUGCUGAACUUCACAUGAAAUCGCCUUCUUGGAAUUUGCAUGAGUAUUGUCCAAUUUCAACUUGGUGAGGAACUUUUUGGCCGAAAAAAUAAAUAAAUUUGGUUGAUGUUUCAGGUUAGCCAAAGGACGAUAUAUCUGAAUAUCUAAGAAACCAGAGGACUAGCAGAGUCUACUUCCUGUCUGGCUUAGAACUGAAAGGAAAAUUUAUAAAAAUUAUUAUAUGAUUGAUCUUUCCAAAAUGUUGCCUCCUAAAGAAAAGAGAGAAUUUUGGCCAAUACCGCCUUUAAUUUGUUUGUGUUUAGAAAUGAUUUUGAACAUGAUAUUGCAUAAACUUGUCAAUUGAAAAUGUUGUGCCACACAUGUUGCUACUCUCUCUUUUGAAUCAUACCAACUUGACAUGGAUUGAAUUGUUUCAACAUUAAACUAUUUAGAAUAUUUAUUCUACUUAGUGAUUUUAUCAUAUUUGGAAACAUAGGCCGGCAAGUUUCUUUUCGCUCUUUGUUGUCAAAAGAAGAAGAAAGAAUUGCAUAGCUAUCACCUCUGUUUUGACAAAUAUAGUAGCUUCCCAUGUCUGGGGUAAGACGGUGAAACUCGCAAGGGUUCGUCUUAAGUCAGCUUGUGCUUCGCACAAUGUCCUGUAACCGACUUGUUAGCUUAGUACCCCAAUUACCUUAUACUCCUUUUCUUCAAUUAUUAUUUUAGCACACAGAGAGAGGACCAAUGCUGAGGUCUUGAUGAGCACCGACUACCCUUGAGCAACCACUUCAACACUUCCUUGAAGAGAGAGGAAACACCCCUCCUUCUCUUCGUUUCCAUUUUCCUAUUAUUUUGUUUUUUGUUUUUUUUGGUGAUCUUUGCCUUUUAUUUUUUAAAAUUUUUUGCCUUUUCUUUGAGAUGUCACAUCAGCACCAUGCGUUCUAAAAUUUUUUAGAAAUGUCAUAUCUCCACUUUCAAAAGAAAUGAAAGAAACGUUGAAUAUAGACAGAGAAGGGGCUGGUCUUGUAUCCAAUUCAUGCCACGUCAGCAAGUUGGUAAUGUCCCUAGCCAUGAAUUAUGGAGGAACUUGAUUUCAUUAACAGAGAAAAGCUAAAGGACAUAUUUCUUCUUUUUCCCCCAAGAAUGACAGCACGUGUAUUCGGAGGAAGCUCCUCGAGGCACGGUCCGUCCUUCAGCCACAUGUUAGAUAUAAUAUUGGUAAAUGGUGAUGAACAUCAUAGUUUCUUAUGGAAUGAUCCUUGGCAUCCUCAUGCGGUGUUGUUUGGAUGUUUAUCCUAAAAAAUUAAUUUAUAAUGCUGCACUGGCCCUGAACUCUCUAGUUGCUGGUGUCAUUUAUGGAGAUGAGUGGGUUUGUCCUCCAGCAGGAUCAGAAUUUUUUGUGCAUAUUCAAGCAGCCAUAUGUGGAACGAUCUUUCCCCUGCUCUGCUUUUGAGGGCAGAGCAAUUUUCAAAGGAAAUUCCUUCGGAUGCUUUACUCAGCUGAUGCUUGGAAGCGAGUAAGGAUAAAAUGCAGAAGAUCUAAUCCAAGGCAUAAAUUCAGCUUUGUAGCUGCUUGCUAUCUUGAACAGACUGCAACUUGGACGGGAUAAAAUGGGGGUCCUCCAUUGAUGACAAAUGUGUCUUAUGCUCUUCUUCCCGAGUCUAGGAAACCUUUGUGUUUUGAGGGUGCCUUCUCAAAGGAUGGAGAUUUCUAAUGCGGCUGGUUAAAGUUUGUUGGAAUGUUAAUAAUUGGGAUAGAAUGGGUUCUCUAGAGCUUGUAGAGGGAGGUCUUUGACUAAAAUCGUAUUGAAACUCAUUUGGAAUGGUGCCAUCUACUCUAUUUUGGGGAUAGGAAUGAAGUUUUUCACAAUCAUGCUGCUCCUCCGUCUGCUGAAGCUGUUAAAAUGGCGGUCUUUGGUGUGAGACUUCGCAUCAAGAUGUUGCAAGAAACAAAGAGUCUUUCGAAGGAUGCAGAGAAAGCUUUGUGUAUGUUAUUUCGAAUUGUUUGUUAAGCCUGGGUGUUUUCUGUUGUUCUUUCUCUAGGCUUCAUAUACUAACCUGAAAAAAAGAGCUAACGGAAUUAAUUGCAAGUUAGAGGAUUUCACAGCACAAAAAUGAUAAAGCAAGACCGUAUCUCAUGAGAUACGGUUUUUUUUUUUUUUUUACCGACCAAAAAACAAAAGACCGUAUCUCAAUAUAAGAUUUGCAUUUUACGGGAUUGGUUCUUAUUUUCUUUUUAUGGUUUCGAGUGCCACUCACCACGUGUCAUCUUUCCAUGGAGGUUGGACCUGGCCGCUGGUUCCUUGAUGUUGGUCCGGUCCUGACUGCCAUUGACUCUGUUUUUCCAUUUCAUAAAAAUGCCCGACCAUUGAUCUUUCUCGAGUACCCCCAAAGCCUGACGAAUCCAUAAACUCCUGAAAAUUUAAAUUGGCAACCUCCUGAAAUUCCUGACGCUAAUUUCUUCCGUGGUCCAGAUUGCCAGAGCAGCUUCGGUCCUUCCUUUUCAUCUAUGUUUGCUACUUUGGAAUUUCCAAUUUCGUCGGUUCUUUUCUAUAUCUGCUAUUUACCCACUCUGAGGGAUCUUCAGGUGGUUCUACUUACUGGGCGAUUUUUCUUUCGUUUUUUUUUUUUUUUUGGUUGGAUGCUUACUGGGUGAUUGGGAAAGGGUUUAGUAUGGCUUCUUUUUUACAGAUGCAGAUCUUGUCUGACUUCAUUCUUUUCUAGUUAGCUCGAAGUUGUCUCCUCUCUUGUAGCUCAGAAUAAGAGAUGCCUAGAGAGGUUGAUCCAUUUCGGAGGCAUGUGGAGGUUGUGGCGAACAAGUGGAAGUGUAAGUUUUGUGGCAAGGAUUUUGGUGGAAGUGCUACAGGGAUCAGGGCACACCUCGUGGGGGCUCUGGACUAUGGUAUUAAACUAUGCGAGACAGUUGAUGAGCAUGUGGGAUCCCAAGCUUUGAAAGUGAUUAAAGGUAAAAGUGUGGCGGAUGCAACCAACAGGGGAGGCGCAUCUAUUGAGGUAAUGGGACGAAGAAGUGACGGCAUGGGCCAAAUUGUAGUCCUUGGUAGUGACCAUGCUUCGAGUCCCCAUAGUAUGCAGGACUCGAAUCGAAACGUCCUAGAGCAACCAUCUUGCCAUUGGCAGAAUGGAAGUGUUGCUGGUGCAGCUUCAGUAGAUUGUCAGUAUCAAGAGACCUUGUGUCUCGUUGGCAUGCCAGUGCGUGAUGCAGAAUUGCCCCCGCAAGGGCCGCAACCCAAUGGGUCAAUUCAACGCUUGAAUGAUGAACAUGGAAACGAAAAAACUUCAUCUCUCCAGCAACCUGCAACCGAUCCUUUGGCUUCGAUUUUUCUUGAUCCAAAGUCAACUACCAGAGCUCUUUGAUCAGUGUAUUGAUCUGGAGACGAGGCAUGAACAACGGAAUAGUAGAGGGCCAUCACCAUUGCAAAGUCAUCGAUCCCUUAAUAACAGCGUGACAAAUGAGUUGCAUCAAGUCAACUAGACCUGGUGGUGCUGCGCCUGGUCCCCGUCUCAGUGACACAAGUACAAUUGGCACUCCCCAGCAUCCCAAUCAAAACUAAUUUGGGCUUUGAUGAACAAUGGAGAGGUGAAAAUGCUCCAUGUCCGCAAAAUCUUCAGCAGAGUGGGUGACUUAUCUUCUCGAUAUGCCCUAUCAGCCACAGCAUUCCAUUCCAUCUUGUUAUUCUGAGGAAAUGCCAAUGAAUGACCUGCAGAAUCGAAUGGGUCCAUUGUCAUCACAAAAUGAUCAAUCCCUUGACGUUCAAAUUGUUUGCAAGACUGCAAUUAAAUCCCUAUUGCCGAAGUAGUUCCGCUGUCCAAUGCUACAAGCGUAACCAAUGCCGUUGAGCAUUUUAGUCGACAGCCACUUCUUAUACGUGAUGAAGAAUGUGAAAAUGAGAGUAGUUCCUUUCCCUCACAAGCUUCAAUGGACAUAUCUCCGCCAAGUGCAUCACAGCCUUCCUCUGGCCCUCAUUCUUUUGAGAAACCGGACGUAGAUUCCCAAGUUCCACAGGGCGGAACUAACAAGGCCCAUUGUCAUUACAAGGUAUGCGUUGAAGUGAUCCUUCUCUUCUCUUUUCUACUGUCUCCUAUUUAACAUCUCCCACGUUUUCCUAAUUAUAGGCGUAUCCUUGAAUGUUUCAUAUGUGUACUUUCUCUUAUUUUUUAAUGAUGAAUGUUAUAUGAGAAUAUCAAACGGAUGUAAAUGUUAGUUUCAGUGUAGAUGUUUUGUGGGAUUAAGUCUAGAUUUUGACUCUACUUACGCUUGUGGCUUGUUUUGAAAAUUCAAUGGUUGAUUGAUCAGGAUUGUUAAUGAUGAUUUUAAUCUGCUUUACUUUUGCAACCAGCUUCCAGGCACCCUCCAUGUCAAAGUCUUCUAGAUCAACCUCUUAAUCUUGAGACGAUGAACACAGAGCAUCACCCAAGCGUGUCAUCGUCAUCAUCACAGAGUAACCAGUUCUUGAUUACAUGUUUCCCACAAGCUCCGAUGGACAUAUCUGUGAGUAGUCCAUCAUCACCGCGAGGUACAUGUUAAUUCAUCUAAAUUGAUCCUUAUGUAUCCUGAUGCUACUUAAUUAGGGAGAAGCAUGAGUGCUUACAUUAGGAUCUAACACGUAGAAUUCUUGAUUCACAAUUAUCUAUUAAUAGAGUCAUUCAAACGCUGGCAACUUUGAAAAUAAUGGAGCUUUGAAAAGAAAGGUAGAAUGACUCUACAAUAGAGAAGCUGACAUAAAGAAUGAGUUGGAAUUUGCUGCAUCUCUAUCUCUGAAGAAGCAGAGAAUAGAAGUUGUGAAUUGGUUGACAAACGUGGAAAAGCAGAGGAAAAAUUUCCAAAGUCUUGAACCAGCCAGCGCAGAAAAUUUGCGACCACAAUAACAGGUGGACAUGUUGAUGGAAGAAGCGGGAAGACCUUAUCAUAAAAAGCAAAUUUCCAGAAGGACCGUUUGAGGUGGGAGAUGCCAAAGUCAAUAUAUUAUUAGAACGAAAGUUGCAGGCGGGAAAGGCAUUUGAGACAAAUAAAUACUAAGAAGAUCUUGAGGUGCCUAAUAGAGGAUCGCAUAUCAUGAUUAGGCAUUUACAAUAUGGGAGGUGUCGGGAAAACAACCAUUAUGGUGCACAUACAUAAUAGGCUCCUAGAAAAAGCAAACCAUAUUAAUGUAUUGUGGAUUGCUGUGUCACAAGAUCUCAACGUUUAUAAGUUGCAAGGUGACAUUUAGAAAAAAUUUCAUGCAUGGGUGUUAAUUUGGAUAAUGCUUACUAUUUAUUAAAACAUUGAAAAUAUAUCAUUUCGUAGAUUCUAAGAAGGAAUAAUAAUAAAAAAUUAAAGUAACGUGAGGUGGAGUAAAAACAAUCACAUCUUUAAGGGGUAAUAUCACCGAAAACCCAAAACUGGUACAUAUGCUCUAAAAUUAUUUUUAAACUUAAAUUGAUAUAUUUAUGGUAAAUUUAUCCUUUAAUAAUUUUCAUUAAAUUUUACAAUUAAAUUAUUAAGUUGGAUGACAUGUGGUAAUUGAUGAGUAUAUCAAUUUGGGAUUUUACCUUCAAUUUAUCAUAUGUGUAUGAAUUUGUAGUUUUUUGUAGUAUUAAUCAAAUGUAACGGAAAUCAAUGGAUGAUAAAUUUGUCACAAAUUCACAAGUUUUGAAUUUUUGGUGUAAAAAUUAGUUCGAGAUAAAUUUAUUACAUGUGUAAUAAUUUGGGAUUUUUGUAAUAUUAACCCUAUUUAAUUAGAGUAGAUUAAAAAAGGAUAUGAUAAAAUUAUAAGUGGUUUUUUUAGUUUAUAGAUAUAAAAUUCGGUCACGUCAAUCUAAGUACUAUUGAGGCACGUUAUUAAGGGGUCUAAUCGUCUCAUUCAAAAGGGCAUUUUCGGAAGAUAAAGUGCUGGUCAGGAGAGCUUUAUAAAUAGUGAUGUGGCUUCUUAUAAAACGUUUUUUGUCCUGACUUGGUAUGAAACGUUUUUUGUCCUGACUUGGUAUAAAACGUUUAAAUGUUUUAUACGAAGUCAGGAAAGUUUUGUCAGAAGUGACGCGGCUUCUUUCUUAUAAAAUGGCCCCAAAGGAUGCCCCACUCGACAUCACAGCACGGAGAGACGGAGGAGUAGAGAGAGAGAGAGGUGAAGAGCGACGACGGUGGAUUGCAGCCCGUCGAAAGAAAGGGUCGAGCGACGCCUGAAAUCUCCAUUUCCGAGCACCAGGCAAGAGAUUUUACCUCUAUUUCUCACGAGUUUGCGAUUUUCGUUUUUUUAAAAGUUUAAUAUCCGGACCUAUGUAGGGUUUUGCUUUACCGGCAACGCUUCGGCCGCCAAAAUCCAACCAUAUUUUGAUUACCCACAUCUCCUUGAGUCUAGAGGGAUUUCGCAGAGUUGUAGUUGGAGUCAGAUUCGAGAGAAACGAACUCUCCAAGUCCUCCUCUCUGCGCCGCAGGUGAAGAGUGUGUGCCGCCUGACUUCUUGGCUAAGCCACCUUUCGGGGCGGCGACCUGUCGAAUCUCGUAAUUCUAGAAUUAAUUAUUUUCUUGAGAAGGGAGUCCGCAAUUCCCAAGGUGUCUUUGAGUUAGAUCGGGUGUUUUUCGUCUCAGAAACAGCAAAUUGUUCUUGGGUCUGUUGGAUAGUAAUGUGCAGUUUGGCUUUCCCGCUUUAGUACUUGCGGAUGCUAGUGUUUGCUUUACACAAGAUCGGUGGGUUAUAUAGUUGGGUGCGCUCUCUUUGCCUGCAGGUUGAUAAUCAAGACAACAAGAUGCCGCGACCUGAAGAUAUAGCCUGGAAAUUCGUGCUUAGACUGGAGGGCAAGAGAUGGCGUUGUCCUUACUGCCAUAAAGAAUCCUCUGGAUCAGUCACAAGAGUGAAAAGUCACUUUCUUAAACAAGCAAAAGAAGGGAUUGCCUAUUGCACAAAAGUGCCAGAGCACAUACGAACACUAAUGGAAUUGUUACUCAAUCAUGAGGUGACUUUAGUACUUGUAGUAGCUACAUUAUCUGCUUGAGAAUAGUGCUAUGCGCACUAAGAAGAUGUAUAAAAAAUAGGGAUAAUAUAUGAUGGGGUGCGCUCUAUUUGCUUGCAGGUUCGUAACAAAGAGGAUAUAGCUUGGAAAUUCGUCAAUAGAUUGGAGGACAGCAAAUGGCGAUGUCAUUACUGCAGUGUAGAAUUCUCUGGAGACCUGACAGGACUGAAAGGUCACUUGCUUGGAGUCCCAAAUGAAGGGACUUCCAUUUGCACACAAGUGCUGGACCACGCAAGAGCACUAAUGCUGUUGUUACUCGAUGAGGUGGCUGAAGAAGAGAGCAGAGAGGUGGCUGAAGAACAGAGCAGAGAAGCCCACGGUCAAUCCUCCAUCGAACCAAAUUCCCGUGACAUGCCGAGUCAAGCUGAGGUGGCUGAAGAAGAGAUCAGAGAAGCCAACCGUCAAUUUUCCACGGAACCACAGUCGCCUGACAUGCUGUCUCCAGCUGUUCCUCGCUCAUCACAAAGCUUGGAAGAUAUAGAAAACUUAUUCACAACAACAGAGGGGGCGACCGACUUGGGAAACUUAGACUAUAACCUAGAGCGUCAAUUUUAUGAGACUUUGGCAAUGCCGCCACCGGCACAAAAUAUCCAUGGUAUGUUCAUGUGAAGUUUCCAUCGAUGCAUCUAGGCAUGGAGAAAAUAUAUCUAUUGUAUUUUUCAAUGCAAACGCGUCGGGUUUUUUUAACCAAAGUGGCGACUUUUAAAAAUCUUCUAUAAAAAUGAUCUUCCUACGGGACUUUCCAAAUGUGAAGAAAGUCAAUCACCUAUUCCUUAACAACAGUACGCAUUGAAUGUGUUGCAUGUGCCGAUCGGACCCACGGGAUGCAAUAAACUACAGUACGCAUUUUCUCGUGUUCCAAUCAGCCAUAUCCUAAUUUUGAUAAACAACACACAGGUGAAAGCUUGUCACGUUCAGCGAUGGCUUUAGCAGAAGGAGAAUCGUUUCUUCUUGAUUCGCCAUGUCAGCCACAAUGUUCCAAUCGAUCUCCUUAUCCCGAGGAAAUGCAAAUGAAUGACCACCGAACUCCAGCCGGGGCAUUAUCAUUCCAGUAUGUUCCAUUACCUGCUGUAGGUAAUUCAAAUUGCUUCCAGGACUGCAAUGACUCUCAAUUGCAAACUCCAGUGGACGUAAAUCCCUCAAUUACAUCACAGCGUACAAAUCACAUUACUGGGGCACAAAUCAAUGAUUCGAAAGUUCCAGAGGCGGCAACAAAUACAAUGGGCCCAUCAUCAUCACAAGGUUUGUAUGGAUUAAUCUACAUUGCUACUAUGGUUAUGUUAGAUCCUUGAAUAUCUCCAUAUUAUUUUAUCGAAAUCUAACAUAUGAUUUUUUAAACAAGAUAGGAACAUGGAUUAUCCAAUCAAGAACAUGCUGAGCAUCACUGCAUAUUCUAUAUGUCCGAUAUCACUUUUUAUCACAUUAUUACUUUCUUCAAAAUAUUUAACUCUAAUGCGGUCGUUACUCGAUGAGGUGGCUGAAGAAGAGAGCAGAGAGGUGGCUGAAGGACAGAGCAGAGAAGCCAACCGUCAAUCCUCCACAGAACCACAAUCACGUGACAUGCCCACUCAUGCUGAGGUGGAGGCUGAAGAAGAGAGCAGGGAAGCCAACGGUCAAUUUUCCACGGGGCCUUUAUUCUCACCAGGAUUCCUCCUCGAAGAUAUGGAACAGUUAAACUUCAGCCAACAGGAUGUCAUUUGGUUAAACUCUGCCCAACAAUCACAAACAGAGCGUCAGUUUCAUCAGAGUUCAACAAUGCCGUCACAGGUGCAAAAUAGCCAUGGUAUGUCCAUGUAAAGUUUUUAUACAUUCAUCCAGGCGUGGAGAAAAGAAAAAUCAUUAUAUUUUUCGUAUUAGUAACUCUCUCUAUAAUAACUCAAUUUCAUCCGCUUCCAUAUCGUAUCGAUUCCAAAUUACAGUUGUAUCAUCGCAUAUUCUAUAUGUCCGAUAUCAUUAUCUUUUUACCGCACCGUUUAUUUCAUCAAAAUAUUUACUUAUGAGCAUAUGUUGACUUUCGCUAUAAAUAUAUUUUUUUUAAAUCGAGUUCUAGACGUUCGUUUUACCUGUACCCAUGGCUUGAUUUAAAAGUCCCAUUGUUGAUUUAUUUUACGCUUGCCUUUUUUAGUGCAACCAGUUUUGGUGGCCCCUCAACAUCAAAAUGCUCCACAUCAAUCCGAGACAAGGAAUGUGCUGCAGAAUCCAACUGCACAAUCAUCAACAGCUCUAAGGGAUAUGGAUUUACGUAUCCAAUCUUCAUCGCAAGCUUCAAAUGCUGCUCCACAGUGGCCGACAGACGUUUCAAACUUCAACCAACAGGAUAUUAAUGAGCUAAACUCUGGUCAACAAUCACAAGCAGAGCGUCAAUUUCCUCAGAGUUCAACAAUGCCGUCACUGGCACAAAAUAGCCAUGGUAUGUUCAUGUGAAGUAUCUAUACAUUCAUCUAGGCGGGGAGAAAAACAUCUAUUAUAUUUUUCAACGCAAACACGUGGGAUUUUUUAACGGAAGUGGUGACUUUUAAAUAUCUCCGAUAAACAUGCUUUUUCCACACAACUUUUCAAAUAUGAAGAGAGUCAAUAACCUAUUCCUUAAUAACAGUACAUCCAAUGUGUUGCACGUGGCCACUAGACCCACUGGAUCCAGUAAACUAACUACAAUAAGUAUUCUCUCAUGUUCCAAUCAAUCAUAUCCUAAUUUUGAUGAACAACACACAGGCGAAAGUUCCACGAUGGCUUCAACGGAAGAAGUGCCGAAUUCUCAUAAUUUGCUAUGUCAACCACAUUGUUACAUUCAAUCUCAAAUACAAAUGAAUGACCAGCAUACAAGUGACUCUCACAUUAUUGAGCCAACAACGGUUGAUUCGCAAGUUCCAGAGGCGGCACCAAAUGCAACGGGCCCAUCCUCAUCACAAGGUGCGUUUGGAUUAAUCUUCAUUGUUACUAUAUGGUUCCACUAGAUUCUUAAAAAUCCCCAAAUUAUUUUAUCAAAAUCUAACAGAUGUUUUUUUAUAAAUUAGAUAUGAACAGGGGUUCUCCAGUCAUGGACGUACGGAGCAACUAUGCCAACGAUGAAGAGAUAAGAAACCUGAAAAGAAAAGUGGAAGAACUCGAUGACAAAGACGCUGUCAUAAAGGAGCAGAUGGAGAUAGAGUCUGCUGCUUCCUCACUUCGGAAGAAGCCGAGGAUAUUGGUUGAUAGAUGGCUAAAAGAGACAGAAAGAGCAAGAAAUAAUUUCCAAAUAAUUGGCCAAGCCAAUGCGGAAACUUUGCCACCAAAGGAACAGGUGGAGAAAUUGACGAGAGAAGUGGAAGAACUCAUAGGAAAAACGCUUCCACAACCACUGCUCAUAGAAGAGAGAGAUGCCAAAGGAGUCAAACUUUUGGAACGAAAGUUAACAGGUGAAGGGAUUCAUAGGAACAUUGAGUUGAUUUGGGACCGUCUGAAGGAGAAUCAUGCAUGCAAAUUGGGUAUUUAUGGAAUGGGUGGUGUUGGGAAGACAACUAUUAUGAUGCACAUACAUAAUAGACUUCUCGAAGAUGCAACCUUCGAUGGUGUGGUUUUUAUCACUGUGUCUCAAGAUUUCAGCAUUAAGAAGUUGCAGAGUGAUAUUUGGAAGGCAUUAAAAUGUGGCGUUAUGGAGGAUGAGGAUGAGAAGAAACAAGCAGCGAUAUUGUCGGAGCAUUUAGAAAGAAAGAAGAAUUGUGUAUUGAUUCUUGAUGAUGUGUGGGAACGUCUUGAUCUUGAAGAGGUGGGAAUCCCUGUUAGAGCUGAUGGAUGUAAGUUGAUCUUAACCAGUCGAUCCUAUUAUGUGUGCUGCCAGAUGCAAUGUCAAGAGAAGAUAAAAAUUAAACCUCUAUCUCAAAUAGAAGCCGAGAGUCUAUUUUUGGAGGAGCUUGGAUCCGAAGUUCCACUUAAUUCGGAAACUGAAGCAAUUGUGAAGUCCAUUGUUGAAGAAUGUGCUGGAUUGCCAAUUGGAGUCAUCACGAUGGCAAGAAGCAUGCGAGGAGUGACUGAUGUGUUUGAAUGGAGGGAUUCCUUGGUUAAAUUGGAAGAAUCAAGUAAGGGGCAAACAGAUAUGGAGAAGAAGGUCUUAAUGAAUCUAAAAUUUAGUUAUGAUCGCCUUGGUAAUCCUGAUGUGCAACAAUGCUUCUUAUCUUGUGCACUUUAUCCAGAAGAUGAAUUGAUUGAUAAGUUCGAGUUGGUAGAAUUCUUUAUUGACCAAGGAUUGAUUGGUGGAUUGAAUGCGUGGACAGAACAAUAUGAUAGAGGCCUCACCAUAUUGAACAAACUACGAAAUGUUUGCCUAUUGGAAGAUCAUGGGAGCGAGACGAAGAUGCACGAUUUGAUUAGAGACAUGGCAUUGCACAUCAUGAGUGCAACUUCCAUUGUAAAGGCAAGAAAGUGGUUGGAAAGUAUUCCAUCUGAGGAAUAUUGGACAGAUGCUUUGGAGAAAGUUUCUCUGAUGGGAAGCAAAAUAAGUGAAAUGUCACCAAAUUGUCCUAAACUAUCAACUUUACUACUGAAUGGAAGCUUGUUAGAGGAUGCGGUCCUCCCUGGUUCUUUCUUCAAACAGUUAUGUGGGCUAAAGGUCCUAAACCUGAGUGACUGUGAACUAACGGAACUUCCAAAUUCCAUCUCAGAUUUGGUAAACUUGAGGGCACUAUUGCUUAGAAGGUGUCGGGAAUUGUGCCAUAUUCCUUAUUUAGGCAAGCUCACAUCUUUAAGGAAGCUGGACGUUAGUGACUGUUUUGAGCUUGAAGAAGUGCCCGAGGGUCUGGAAAUGUUGGUGAACUUGAGAUACCUUGACCUAUGUUUUUCAUUGACCGUUGAAUUACCUAAAAUAAUACUGGGGGGUUUGCUAAACUUGCAGCAUCUUAAAGUUUAUUUUCUAGAUGGACAAGACAUGACAAAAUUGAGGGCACUGGAGACACUCAAAUGCUUUUUUGAAGAUGCGAAUGAUUUCAAUAAGUGUGUGAGGGUUAUUGAACAGAGUAACCUUCUCUGCUAUUAUUAUCUUUGUUAUUAUAUCGACAAAAAAUAUCAUGAUGAGGAAGAAUGUGAUAUUACUCAGGACAGGGAAGUCAAAAUUUGGGGGUGGGAUCAUGCUAUUGUGAGUGUGGGAGGGGAAUGCACCGGCAUUUUUAUUUUGAUUCCCCAAGACGUGCAGAAAAUGACGAUUUGUUGGAACGGUAUAACAAAUUUGUCUAGCAUAGGUCCGCUUGAAUACCUUGAGGAGCUAGAUAUAGAAGACUUAAACAACUUAGGGGUGCUCUGUGGAGGAGAAGACAAAGAAGUAAUCGACAUCUUUGCCCCAGCCCUUGCGCCUCUCCUCUUCUCGAGCCUUAGGGUUUUGAAAAUAUGGAGUUGUCCGGAACUGAAGUAUGUCUUUGGGCAUGGGUCUAAAUCCAACCUUCCACAUCUACGAGAGAUUGAAAUAGGGGGAUGUGAGGAGACGGUGGGGAUAAUAGCAGCAGUUACAUCCCCACCACCACAUCCGCUCCCAUUUUUCCCUAGUCUGGAACAGAUUAGCAUUACAGGCUGUUACGAGAUGAAGAGAGCGGUGGAAUCCGAGUGGAUGCCCCACUUCCCUAAUCUAAGAAGAAUCAAAGUAUCCGGAUGUGAGAUGGAGGAGAUAAUCGGAGGUCCUCCCCCAUACUCGCCGGAUGAACAGAUUUCUCUCGAAUCUCUUGAGGUAAGCUAUUGCGAUAAAAUGAGAAAGCUGCUUACGUAUGAGUGGCUGUUCCAUCUUCGAAAUCUUCAAAGUAUCUCUGUCACUUACUGCAAAGAAAUGGUGGAGUUGAUAAGCGGAGCGGGACAAGGCCAAGAAGGAAGCAUAACGACUUCUGUAAACAACACUCCUUCCUCCUUCCAGCCUUCUUCAAUUUCUCUCCCAAAGCUAGAGUGUUUGGAGCUACGCUAUCUACACCAGCUGAAGAGCAUAUGCGAAGUCCCAAUAAGCUGCGAUUUCAUGAAAAGAUUGGACGUGUGCAGAUGCCCAGAACUGAAGAGGAUUCCUUUGCAACUGCGAUUGUGUGAAAUUGAGGAGCUUCCGUAUAUUUUGGUGGAAGAUGAGGAAAAGUGGAAGACGUUGGUGUGGGAUCAUCCCAAUGCUCAGGCUAUUCUUCGACCUUAUCUCCGAAAAGGGCCACGCUGGCCUCCAAAUGCUAUAGGUUAAUGAGUUUAAUUGAUAUACGAUUGCUUCACUUCUUAAAAGUCCUUUCAAAGAUAUAGCUUUUCUGUCUAUAUAGUCAUGCAGCUCUAAUAGUGGCCUUCUGUAGUACUGAACACCAAGUGAAAGCAUCUCCUGCGACUCCACUCUUGAAGAAAGAACCCUGCUGCUCGACCAUGCUUUCCUGCAAACUUGACUCAGGUUGCCAUAUGAAUUGACUUUUUUUGUGUGGCCCUGCUUUGUCUAUUUUGAAUGCGAUCGCAUGUUUCAUUGACUACUGGAAAUGAGUCUAUCUGGUCGAUAUUUCAGGUUAGUCAAAAAGCAAUGGAUCUGAAGAUUUGGGAAGCCAAGGGAAUAACAAAGUCUGUUUCCUAUCUUGUCUUAUAACUGAAAGGACAAUUUAUUAUCAUGGAUUGAAUUUCUUGGGAUAUUAGCCUUCUAAGAAAAGAGAGAAUUUUGUGCAGCACUACCUUUAAUCUGUUUUUGUUUAAAAAGGAUUUCAAAUAUGAUAUUGCUUUAACUUGUCGAUCGAAAAUAUUGUGUCAAAUACGCUGCUUUGCUCUGUUGGAUCAGAGCAACAUGACCCCAAUUAAACUUGUUUCGACGUUAAACUAUCGGGUAUAGAAUACUUGAUCUGCUUAGUAGUUGUAUCAUAUCUGGAAACGUAGGCCGGGAAGUUUUCNNNNNNNNNNNNNNNNNNNNNNNNNNNNNNNNNNNNNNNNNNNNNNNNNNNNNNNNNNNNNNNNNNNNNNNNNNNNNNNNNNNNNNNNNNNNNNNNNNNNUACUUUGAAUUAGAAAUGUAAAAAGACGAAGAAGAAAGAAUUGCACAGCUAUCACCCUCUUUAAAUGCCUCGAAGUUGUGGAUAGAUGGAGAACCCUACAGCUUCAGCUCAAGUAACCAAAAAUCAGAGCAGUAACCACUAGCAAGUCAAUGGAAAAAAGGCCAGCUUAUAGGAUGUGGCACUUUUGAAAGUGUUUACAUUGCAAGCAACCAGUAAGUUAGCUCUGGGAAUCUUAGACAUGUUCCAUUUUUUUAGAUAUCCAGUCAGCUAAACUUUGACAUAUUAAGUGACAGAAAAACCAGAUCUCUAUGUGCAGAGAAGGAGUUUGAGCUAUUGCGUAAUGAUCCAAAUUUAGCUGAGUGCAUCGAGCAGUUAAAGCAGGUAAUGUUUUUGUUAUGCUCUGGGAUCCAAUCUAUCCUCUCAUCCGAUCUAAAUAUGCUGGGAGGAAACUUUCUUUCAUCAUUUCCAAGUAAUUGAUUGCUUUGUUACUACAGGAAAUUCAGGUACUUAGCCAGCAUAGACAUCCGAACAUUCUGCAGUAUUAUGUAAGGGAAAUUGUGAGUCACAUUUCCACAGCAUCUAUGCGUCCCAACUCAAUGGGCGUUCAUUAUUUGACUAACCAAAAUUUCAACAUAUUCAUACAUACUCAGGUUGAGGAUUGGCGUUACAUAUAUCUAGAAUAUGCACAUCACGAUUCAAUAGACAAGUAUAUCCAGGAGCGUCUUGGGACCCUAACAGAAUCGGUUGUCAGCACUUUACCCGCUAUAUUGUGGCUGGAUUGGCUUCCCUGCAUGUUUUUUUUGGUAAAGAGGCUUCCCUGCAUGUUAACAACUCCAUACAUGGGUAAUUUUAAACCAUUGAUCAAGCAUCAUGAGAUGACUUGCAUAUUGGAUUAGGAUGAUUGGACCUUCUUCUUUGUGCCCCCAGACCUGUUAAAACUAUUUGGCUUGUGCAGGGAUUUAAAGGGAGCUAAUUUAUUUGUGGAUGCAUCUGGGAUAUUCAAACUUGCUGACUUUGGGAUUGCUAAACAUGUGAGUUUUUACCUCUUCACCGCAAGACUACUCAGUGCAUGUAGAAAUUCCUUGCUGAUCUGUGGUACAUUCGAAUGUGAAGUCAGGGACCCAGGGUGACUGCAUACUUCUCGUUAUUGGUUUGUGGCAUUUCAUAUGUGCAUAAAUCUAUCAUAGAUGGAUGAAAUGUUAUUAAGUAAUUUUCUUCACUUUUUUUCCCAUUGUUUCAGGUAAAGUUACCAUGUUGCAUGAACGGGAAAAGAUUUCUUGCUGUAAAUAGAUGCCGAAACCUAAUGAGAGUUCCCUUUCUACUGGUUUCUAAAAAGUUCCUAAGAGCGGUAGUGAAUAGAACGCAAUACCUUUGGCAAAAGGUUGUGGUGUUGUUUUUGCUGCUCCUCUGCAUUCCAAAAUAAGGAUAGAACUUAGUCAGAGUAAGUAAGGGCCUCCUUCCUAACAUGGGGUAAAUAAAAGUUUAUUAAUCCAUAGAAUGGAAUUCUGGACAGUAGCCAAGGUGUUGUUGCUCUCUUUUUGAGUUCUCAAGCAUUUGCUGAGGCCAUGUUGUUGAUUGCUUCAUGGUCCUUUUUCUCAGUAAUGAGCUAACAUGAGUUGAAAGUGGUUGAUUCAGUUAUCAAUAUGAUGUAUCUAUGUCUAUAAAGAUGUUGCUAUUUUAUCCGGUGUUCCAUGAACACACCAAGUAGUAUUCAGCUUUACUAAUGCCGUACCAUUUCUUAGCUAACCGGACAAGCAGCUUGCCGCUCUUUGAAGGGAAGUCUAAACUAGAUGGCUCUAGAGGUACUCUGCUUUUGUUAACGUUAAUGCGGCAUACUCAGAGGUCCUCCCCCAUACUCGCCGGAUGAACAGAUUUCUCUCGAAUCUCUUGAGGUAAGCCUUUGCGAUAACAUGAGAAAGCUGCUUACGUAUGAGUGGCUGCUCCAUCUUCGAAAUCUUCAAAGUAUCGAGGUCACUGAGUGCAAAGGAAUGGUGGAGUUGAUAAGCGGAGCGGGACAAGGCCAAGAAGGAAGCAUAACGANNNNNNNNNNNNNNNNNNNNNNNNNNNNNNNNNNNNNNNNNNNNNNNNNNNNNNNNNNNNNNNNNNNNNNNNNNNNNNNNNNNNNNNNNNNNNNNNNNNNNNNNNNNNNNNNNNNNNNNNNNNNNNNNNNNNNNNNNNNNNNNNNNNNNNNNNNNNNNNNNNNNNNNNNNNNNNNNNNNNNNNNNNNNNNNNNNNNNNNNNNGGAGCUUCCGUAUAAAACCUGUUCAUUCCCAUUUCCAGCAGCAGGCGAGUGCCCUUGUUUCUCUAGGAAUUGGGUUUCUGCCUUCAACGAGAGGAAGAGUCUUUGCUCGAUCCCUGGAUGCUGACUGGUGCUUCAGAUUCUCAAGAACAGCUUCUUAGCUCUACUUCUAUUUGUGCAUCUUUGCUACUUGCAUGCAUCUGAAUCUUCUUUUUCUGUCCUAACCGGUAUGUUGCUUCGUCCUCAUCUUUGCCAUUUUCCAUUUGUAAGAAUCAAAUAGAGACUCCAACUGAACAUCCUUAUUUGCCUGGAUCAAAUAUGUGCCCACUUAACAAGUAGAUCUGAUGGAUUCUAUGCGAAAUGAAGGGUUAAAUGACCUGAAUGUAGGUGGGUGGACUUAACUGUGAGAUGCAAUAAACUUCUCGAAGAGAGACCAAGAAAUAGAGAGAGAAGGGGCGAGAAGAGAAAGAGAGGAAGAGCGACAACGGUGGAUUGCAGCCCGUCGAAAGGGUCGUGCUACGCCACAAAUCUCCAUUUUCGAACACUAGACAAGGUUGUUCUAGCUCUAUUCCUCACGAACUUGGGAUUUUUGUUUGUAAAGUUAAUAUCCGGAUCUAUUUUGUAUUUUGCUUUGCUGGCAACGAUUCGGUCAAAAUCCAACGAUAUUUCGAUUCCCCACAUCUCCUUGUAAUUCUAGAAUUAAUUAUUUUAUAGAGAAUGUAGUCCGCAAUUCCCAAGUUGUCUUUGAGUUGAUCCGGUGCUUCUUGUGUCAAAAACAGGAGAUUAUUCUUGGGUCGUUGAAUAUAAUUUGCAGUUUGGCUCUCCUGCUUUAAUACUUGUGAUGCUGUUAUUUGCUUGNNNNNNNNNNNNNNNNNNNNNNNNNNNNNNNNNNNNNNNNNNNNNNNNNNNNNNNNNNNNNNNNNNNNNNNNNNNNNNNNNNNNNNNNNNNNNNNNNNNNAUGCUAUGCGCGCUGAGAAAUAUUCAAAUGAUCUCUACGUUAUAUGAUCAAGUGCACUUUCUUUGCCCGCAGGUUGAUAAUCAAGACGGCAAGAUGCCGCGACUUGAAGAUAUAGCCUGGAAAUUCGUGAUUAGACAGGGCAAGAAAUGGCGUUGUCCUUACUGCAAAAUUGAAUACUCUGGAUCAGUCACAAGAGUGAAAAGUCACUUUCUUAAACAACCAAAAGAAGGGAUUGUCUCUUGCACAAAAGUGCCGGAGCACAUAAGCACGCUAAUGGAAUUGUUACAGAGUCAGGUGGCUUUAGCACUUGUGGUAGCUAUAUUAUGUGCUUGAGAAUAAUGCUAUGCGUGCUAAGAAGAUUUAUAAAAAAUGGGGAUAAUAUAUGAUAGGGGUGCGCUCUAUUUGCUUGCAGGUUGAUAACAAAGAUGAUAUAGCCUGGAAAUUCGUCGAUAGACUGGGGGAAAACAAAUGGCGUUGUCAUCACUGCAGGGAAGAAUUCUUUGGAGACCUUACAGGAGUGAGAGGUCACUUGCUUGAAGCCCCAUAUAAGGGGAUUUCCAUUUGCACAGAAGUGCCAGACCACGUAAGAACGCUAAUGCGGUCUUUACUCGAUGAGGUGGCUGAAGGAGGGAGCAGAGACUUGGCUGAAGAACAGAGCAGAGAUGCGGAGCCACAGUCGCGUGACGUGCUGUCUCCAGCUUUUCCUCCGUCAUCACAAAGCUCGGAGAGGGCGACUGACAUGGAAAACUCCAACUAUGACCUAGAGUGUCGUUUUCAUGAGACUUCAGCAAUGCCGUCACUGGCACAAAAUAUCCUUGGUAUGUUCAUGUGUUUCUAUACAUGCAUCUAGGCAUGGAGAAAAAACAUCCAUUAUAUUUUUCAAUGCAAACACGUCGGGUUUUUUAACCGAAGUGGAGACUUUUAAACAUCUCCAAUAAAAACGAUCUUUCUACGGAACUUUACAAAUGUGAAGUAAGUCAAUUACCUAUUCCUUAAUAACAGUGCAUUGUCCACUGGACUCACUGGAUCUAAUAAACUAACCAUAGAAGGCAUUUUCUCGUGUUCCAAUCAACCAUAUCCUAAUUUUGAUGAACAACACACAGGUGAAAGCAUGUCAUGUUUGCCAAUGACUUUAGCGGGAGUGGAAUCGUUUCUUUUUGAUUUGCCAGAACGGUCACAAUGUUCCAUUCAAUCUCAAAUGCAAUUGAAUGAUCAGCAGACUCCAGCAGGGACAUUAGCAUCCCAUUAUGAUCAAUUACCUGCUGCAGGUAAGUCAAAUUGCUUGCGGGAUAGUAAUCAGCACUCUCAAUUGCAAAUUCCAGUGGACAUAGAUCCCUCAAUUGCAUCACAGCAUACGAUCGACUCUCACGUUAUUUGGGUAACAAUCCUUGGUUUGCCAAUUCCAGAGGUGGCAGCAGAUACAAUAGGCCCAUCAUCAUCAUCACAAGAUGUGUCUUGAUUAAUCUAAAUAGAUACUAUCAUUUCGUUAGAUCCGUAAAUAUCCUCAAAUUAUUUUAUUGAAAUUUAACAUAUGUAUUUUUGUAAAAUAGAUAUGAACAGGGGUUCUCCAAUCAUGAACGUACGGAGGACACCACAACCUCGCAGAUGGAUGGAACAGGUGGUGCAGGAGGACAGGGCGGUCGACAUCGCAAACCUCCCAUCGGAUGGUGCAACAAAUCACUCUAUCGCAUCUCCCCUGCCAAAUUCAUUGCUUGAUGAUGGGCCAAAUGAACUGUUGCCCAUUUUACCUGGGUAUCUAACAUUAAAUCCACAACGGUAUCAAUGUGCGUCAUUGCCAGCACAAAACCACCAGCUCCUUGAUAAUACUUUUCAGAAUGAGUCACGGGGGUCCAUUUUGCCUGGUCUCAUUGCAUCAGAUGCUCCACUCACUAACGUGGCCACAACAAACACUGCCCGGCAUUUUAAUCAACCAGAUCAGACCUUUCACAGGCAGUGUGAAGGUGGCACUGGCUUAUCUCCUCUACCGCUUUCCAUGGACAUAGAGCCACCUCUUCCAUCACGACCUUUCAAUGGACCUCCUAUUAUUGAGCCAUUUAAUUCCCCUCCGCAGAUUCCAGAGGACAUCUUAAACACAACUGGCCCAUCAACACCGGAAGGUAUAAUACCAUCGAUCUAUUAAAUGGGUCUCGAUAACGCUUAUUAACAAAAUCCAUAUUAUAUUUAUCAUUCAUGUGGUCUCUUGUAAACCCCAUGUUGCUUCUAUGGUGAGUAAGAAUGUUUCAAUUGGAGUCUAAUGCAUGAAGUUGUGGCUUAUAAAUUAGUGAUGCCAGAAGGUGCACCAGCAGGGACAUCAUCAUUCCAGUAUGAUCAAUUGGUGUAGGUAAUUCAAAUCUGGAUUGCAAUCAGCCACGUAUAUCUAGUGUAACAAGUGUAGCCAACACUGUCCCGCAUUCUAACCUAUCAUUCGAAGCUGCAAUGAAGAAUGUGGAACUAAAACCAGUUCGUUUCCCCUGCGAGAUUCGAGGGGCAUAUGUCCCAUCACUGCAUUACGGCCUAUUAGGUGCCCUCACAUCGAGGCAACACUUGUCAAUUUGCAAGUUCUGGAGAAUGGAGCAAAUAUGGCUGGCCCGUAACCAUCACAAGUGACUGUCUUGAUUUACCUAAAUAGAUAGUCAUUCCAAAUUAAUCAUAGGUAUUCCAACUCGAGUGAGCGUUGAUGUUUUCAUUGCAGAAGUGAUCCUUCUUUGUAUUAUUAACUCUCUUUUAGUAUGACUCAAAUUCGUCUAUUUCCAUAUCUAAUCUUUUCUCAAUUACCGUAGUAUCAUUGCAUGUUAUGUUUGUCCAACAUCACUUACUUUACGGCAUGGUUUUUUCAUCAAAAUAUUUUACUUAUCUGCAUGUUGAUUUUCCUUGUGGAUGUCUUUUGUGACCAAGUUCUAUGUUGUUUUACCUGUGUGCAUGGACACUCCAAUAUCUUAGUGCAACCAGCUCUGGUGCCCCCUCAACAUCAAAGUGUUCCACAUCAAGCUCCAAAUAAUACUCCUUCAGCUCCUCAGAUUCAACGUCGUGGAACAGGUCUGAUAGUCCCAUCGUCAUUGCCAGGUAUAUAGUUAUUUACCUAAAUUAAUCCUUAUGCAUCGAUCACCAUGUUAUGUUAUUAAGGGAAGCAAGAAUGCUAUAAUGAGACCGAUGGAUUUAAUUGCAGAAUUAGAUAUGAGCAAGGGUGUGCCACUAACGAGUCACACAAACAUAAACAACAACUUUGAAAAGAGUAGAGCUUUGAAAAGAAAAAUAAAGCAACUCUACAGUAGAGAAGCUGACAUAAGGGAUGAGUUAGAAUUUGCCGGGUCUCUAUCACUAAAGAAGCAGAAAAAGGAAGUUGAGAAUUGGUUGGCGGAUGUGGAGCAGCUCAGAAAAGAUUUUCAGAGUAUUGAAGCAACAAGUGAGGAUUGUUUGCCGUCACACCAGCAGGUGGAUACACUGACGCAACAAGCAGAAGACCUUAUGAAACAAGGCGAAUUCCCAAAAGGACUAUUUGGGGCGAGAAAGACCAAAGUCAAUAAGUUGAUAGAACGAAAGUUGGUGGGAGAGGCAUUUAAGAGAAAUACAACAAAGAUUUUGGAGUACUUAGUAGGGAGUCAAAUAUCCCGACUAGGCAUUUAUGGAAUGGGGGGUAUUGGUAAAACCACUCUUAUGAAGCACAUACAUAAUAGACUUCUCGAAAAAGCAAAUCAUGAUAAUGUGUUGUGGAUCACCGUGUCACAAGAUUUUAACACACAAAAGUUGCAGAACGACAUUUGGGAGGCACUAAAUUUAGGCACACUACAAGAAAAGGAGGUGGGGCAACGAGCAGCAAUGUUGUCCGCUGUUUUAACCGAAAGAGAGAAGUUGAUCAUAAUCCUUGAUGAUGUGUGGGAAGAUUUCAAUCUUGAAGAGGUGGGAAUCCCUGUUAGAGAAGAUGGAAAUAAGUUGGUCUUAACCACUCGAUCCCUUGAAGUAUGCCGCCGGAUGCAAUGUCAAGAAAUAAAAAUCGAACCUCUAUCUCUAGAAGAAGCUGAGGAUUUAUUUUUUGAGGAGCUUGGAUCCAAAGUGGCCCUUAAUUUGGAAACAAUUGUGAAGUCCAUUGUUAAAGAAUGUGCAGGCUUGCCACUUGGAGUCAUCACGAUGGCAGCAAGCAUGCGAGGAGUGACGAAUGUGUCUGAAUGGAGAGAUUGCUUGGAGAAAUUGAAAGAAUCAGAUGCCCCAACGGAGAUGGAAAAGAGAGUCUUAAAGCAACUAGAAGUCAGCUACGAUCGCCUUGAGAAACGUGAAGUUCAACAGUGUUUCUUAUCUUGCGCACUUUAUCCAGAAGAUAGAUUGAUUGAUAAGGUCGAGUUGAUAGAAUUCUUUAUUGACCAAGGACUGAUUUGUGGAUUGAAUAUGAAUACGAGGGAGAAAGAAUAUGAUAGAGGCUUCACCAUAUUGAGCAAACUGGAAAAUGUUUGCCUAUUGGAAGAUUAUGGAGAAAACAUGAAGAUGCACGAUUUGAUUAGAGACAUGGCAUUGCACAUCAUGAGUGCAACUUCCAUUGUAAAAGCAGGAAAGUGGUUGGAAAGUAUUCCAUCUGAGGAAUAUUGGACAGAUGCUUUGGAGAAAGUUUCUCUGAUGGAAAACGAAAUAAGUGAAAUUCCAUUGAACAUGUCACCAAAUUGUCCUAAACUAUCAACUUUACUACUGAAUGGAAGCUUGUUAAAGGAUGCGGUCCUCCCUGGUUCUUUCUUCAAACAGUUAUGUGGGCUAAAGGUUCUAAACCUGAGUGACUGUGAACUAAUAGAACUUCCAAAUUCCAUCUCAAAUUUGGUAAACUUGAGGGCACUAUUGCUUAGAGAGUGUCGGGAAUUGUGCCAUAUUCCUUAUUUAGGGAAGCUCACAUCUUUAAGAAAGUUGAACGUUGGUGGCUGUUCUAAGCUUAAAGAAGUGCCCGAGGGUCUGGAAAUGUUGGUGAACUUGAGAUACCUUGACCUACGUUUUUCAUCGACCGUUGAAUUACCUGAAAGAGUACUAGGGGGUUUGCUAAACUUGCAGCAUCUUAAAGUUUAUUUUCUAGAUGGACAAGACAUGACAAAAUUGAGGGCACUGGAGACACUCAAAUGCUCUUUUGAAGAUGCGAAUGAUUUCAAUAAGUGAACAGAGUAACCCUCGCUGUUAUUAUUAUCUCGGCAUGGCUCAAAAAGAUAUUUCUUAUUAUCGUGAAGCAUGUUAUUCUACUCAUGAGGAAUACCGUGAUAUUACUCAAAUUGAGAAUCGGAAGAGGGAAGUCAAAAUUUGGGGGUGGGAUCAUGCUAUUGUGAGUGUGGGAGGGGAAUGCACCGGCAUUUUUAUUUUGAUUCCCCACACCCGUGCAGAAAAUGACAAUGAUUGGUUGCGACGGUAUAACAAAUUUGUCUAGCAUAGGUCCGCUUAAAUACCUUGAGGAUCUAUGUAUAGGAUACUCAGAAAACUUAGGGAUGCUCUGUGGAGGAGAAGACGAAGAAGUAAUCGACAUCCUUGCCCCAGCCCUUGCGCCUCUCCUCUUCUCGAGCCUUAGGGUUUUAAAAAUAUAUGAUUGUCCAAAACUGAAGUAUCUCUUUGGGCAUGGGUCUAAAUCCAUCCUUCCGCAUCUACGAGAGAUUGAAAUAUAUGGAUGUGAGAAAAUGGUGGGGAUAAUAGCAGCAGUUACAUCCCCACCACCACAUCCGCUCCCAUUUUUCCCUAGUCUGGAACAGAUUAGCAUUAGUCGCUGUAACAAGAUGAAGAGAGCGGUGGAAUCUGAGUGGAUGCCCCACUUCCCUACUCUGAGAGGAAUCACAGCAAUUUAUUGUGAGAAGAUGGAGGAGAUAAUCGGAGGUCCUCCCCCAUACUCGCCGGAUGAACAGAUUUCUCUCGAAUCUCUUGAGGUAAGCCGUUGCUAUAACAUGAGAAAGCUGCUUACGUAUGAGUGGCUGCUCCAUCUUCGAAAUCUUCAAAGUAUCGUGGUCAGUCACUGCAAAGGAAUGGUGGAGUUGAUAAGCGGAGCGGGACAAGGCCAAGAAGGAAGCAUAACGACUUCUGUAAACAACACUCCUUCAUCCUUCCAGCCUUCUUCAAUUUCUCUCCCAAAGCUAGAGUGUUUGAAGCUACGCUAUCUACACCAGCUGAAGAGCAUAUACAAAGCCCCAAUAAGCUGCGAUUCCAUGAAAAGAUUGAAAGUGUACGGAUGCCCAGAACUGAAGAGGAUUCCUUUGCAACUGCCACUGCGUGAAAUUGAGGGAGCUUCCGCAUAUUUAUGAUGGAAGAUGAGGAAAAGUGGAAGACGGCUGAUGUGGGGAUCAUCCCGGAUGCUCAGGCUAUUCUUUCAACCUUAUCUCCAAAAAGGGUCAAAUGCUAUAGGUUAAUGAGUUUAAUUGGAUAUACGAUUGCUUCACUUCUUUAAAAGUCCUUUCAAAGAUAUAGCUUUUCUGUCUAUAUAGUCAUGCAGCUCUAAUAGUGGCCUUCUGUAGUACUGAACACCCAGGUGAAAGCAUCUCCUGCGACUUCACUCUUUGAAGAAGAACCCUGGCUGCUCGACCAUGGCUUUCCUACCAACUUGGACCUCAGGUUGCCAUAUGAACUGACUUUUUUUGUGUUGCCAUGCUUUGUCUAUUUUGAAUGCGAUCGCAUGUUUCAUUGACUACUGGAAAUGAGUCUAUCUGGUCGAUAUUUCAGGUUAGUCAAAAAGCAAUGGAUCUGAAGAUUUGGGAAGCCAAGGGAAUAGCAAAGUCUGUUUCCUAUCUUGUCUUAUAACUGAAAGGACAAUUUAUUAUUAUGGAUUGAUUUUCUUGGGAUAUUAGCCUUCUAAGAAAAGAGAGAAUUUUGUGCAGCACUACCUUUAAUCUGUUUUUGUUUAAAAAGGAUUUCAAAUAUGAUAUUGCUUUAACUUGUCGAUCGAAAAUAUUGUGUCAAAUACGCUGCUUUGCUCUGUUGGAUCAGAGCAACAUGACCCCAAUUAAACUUGUUUCGACGUUAAACUAUCGGGUAUAGAAUACUUGAUCUGCUUAGUAGUUGUAUCAUAUCUGGAAACGUAGGCCGGGAAGUUUUCUUUUCACCCUUUGUCAUACUUUGAAUUAGAAAUGUAAAAAGACGAAGAAGAAAGAAUUACACAGCUAUCACCCCUCUUUAAAUGCCUCGAAGUUGUGGAUAGAUGGAGAACCCUACAGCUUCAGCUCAAGUAACCAAAAAUCAGAGCAGUAACCACUAGCAAGUCAAUGGAAAAAAGGCCAGCUUAUAGGAUGUGGCACUUUUGAAAGUGUUUACAUUGCAAGCAACCAGUAAGUUAGCUCUGGGAAUCUUAGACAUGUUCCAUUUUUUUAGAUAUCCAGUCAGCUAAACUUUGACAUAUUAAGUGACAGAAAAACCAGAUCUCUAUGUGCAGAGAAGGAGUUUGAGCUAUUGCGUAAUGAUCCAAAUUUAGCUGAGUGCAUCGAGCAGUUAAAGCAGGUAAUGUUUUUGUUAUGCUCUGGGAUCCAAUCUAUCCUCUCAUCCGAUCUAAAUAUGCUGGGAGGAAACUUUCUUUCAUCAUUUCCAAGUAAUUGAUUGCUUUGUUACUACAGGAAAUUCAGGUACUUAGCUAGCAUAGACAUCCGAACAUUCUGCAGUAUUAUGUAAGGGAAAUUGUGAGUCACAUUUCCAUAGCAUCUAUGCGUCCCAACUCAAUGGGCGUUCAUUAUUUGACUCACCAAAAUUUCAACAUAUUCAUACAUACUCAGGUUGAGGAUUGGCGUUACAUAUAUCUAGAAUAUGCACAUCACGAUUCAAUAGACGAGUAUAUCCAGGAGCGUCUUGGGACCCUAACAGAAUCGGUUGUCAGCACUUUACCCGCUAUAUUGUGGCUGGAUUGGCUUCCCUGCAUGUUAACAACUCCAUACAUGGGUAAUUCUAAACCAUUGAUCAAGCAUCAUGAGAUGACUUGCAUAUUGGAUUAGGAUGAUUGGACCUUCUUCUUUGUGCCCCCAGACCUGUUAAAACUAUUUGGCUUGUGCAGGGAUUUAAAGGGAGCUAAUUUAUUUGUGGAUGCAUCUGGGAUAUGCAAACUUGCUGACUUUGGGAUUGCUAAACAUGUGAGUUUUUACCUCUUCACUGCAAGACUACUCAGUGCAUGUAGAAAUUCCUUGCUGAUCUGUGGUACAUUCGAAUGUGAAGUCAGGGACCCAGGGUGACUGCAUACUUCUCAUUAUUGGUUUGUGGCAUUUCAUAUGUGCAUAAAUCUAUCAUAGAUGGAUGAAAUGUUAUUAAGUAAUUUUCUUCACUUUUUUUCCCAUUGUUUCAGGUAAAGUUACCAUGUUGCAUGAACGGGAAAAGAUUUCUUGCUGUAAAUAGAUGCCGAAACCUAAUGAGAGUUCCCUUUCUACUGGUUUCUAAAAAGUUCCUAAGAGCGGUAGUGAAUAGAACGCAAUACCUUUGGCAAAAGGUUGUGGUGUUGUUUUUGCUGCUCCUCUGCAUUCCAAAAUAAGGAUAGAACUUAGUCAGAGUAAGUAAGGGCCUCCUUCCUAACAUGAGGUAAAUAAAAGUUUAUGAAUCCAUAGAAUGGAAUUCUGGACAGUAGCCAAGGUGUUGUUGCUCUCUUUUUGAGUUCUCAAGCAUUUGCUGAGGCCAUGUUGUUGAUUGCUUCAUGGUCCUUUUUCUCAGUAAUGAGCUAACAUGAGUUGAAAGUGGUUGAUUCAGUUAUCAAUAUGAUGUAUCUAUGUCUAUAAAGAUGUUGCUAUUUUAUCCGGUGUUCCAUGAACACACCAAGUAGUAUUCAGCUUUACUAAUGCCGUACCAUUUCUUAGCUAACCGGACAAGCAGCUUGCCGCUCUUUGAAGGGAAGUCUAAACUAGAUGGCUCUAGAGGUACUCUGCUUUUGUUAACGUUAAUGCGGCAUACUCAGAGGUCCUCCCCCAUACUCGCCGGAUGAACAGAUUUCUCUCGAAUCUCUUGAGGUAAGCCUUUGCGAUAACAUGAGAAAGCUGCUUACGUAUGAGUGGCUGCUCCAUCUUCGAAAUCUUCAAAGUAUCGAGGUCGCUGAGUGCAAAGGAAUGGUGGAGUUGAUAAGCGGAGCGGGACAAGGCCAAGAAGGAAGCAUAACGACUUCUGUAAACAACACUCCUUCAUCCUUCCAGCCUUCUUCAAUUUCUCUCCCAAAGCUAGAGUGUUUGAAGCUAUGCUAUCUACACCAGCUGAAGAGCAUAUACAAAGCCCCAAUAAGCUGCGAUUUCAUGAAAAGAUUGGACGUGUACGGAUGAUUGACUUAUUUCAAGUGCCAUACGUUGUUGCAAAUGGAUGUUGUACUGUAAAGUUCCAUAUUUACUAAACCAGAAUAAUCACAGGGUCCAUAGAUGUGAUGAAGUACUUGUAUAUCGACGAAAUAAGAUGCAUGUUCCUCUCGCAUGGUUUGACCAGUGUCAUCCUACGAUCUAGGCAAAUUUGACAGUGUUGCUUAAUCUAAACAUUUUGUAUGAAGUACAUUUAUUCAUCAAAAUUGAAUGGUAUUGAUAUGGCUCCAAAUAAGAAACGGAUCAGCAAAACAAAAGUAAUAAAACCCAAGGAAAGACAAAAGUAAUAAAACCCAAGGAAAAAGGAAAAGAAAAAGAAAAUCGAAGUGAUAGUGCAUCAGAAUUCCUGAAUUGGUGGGAGGAACAUUGGCAGGUUUGGCAAACCUGCAACGUCUUAGGACUUGGGAAGUGAAGGGAAAAAUAUCAAAGUUACGGGCAUUGGAGGCUCUUAAUUCUUCCGGACAGACCACAAUGGCUUUUCUCUAUUCACCGGAAAUUGGUGAUGGUGAUGAGGGCCACUCUGAUUGGAGAAAUUUCAUGUAUUUGUUGAGAUCAACGAUGAUGAUGAUCCAAGAUUUGCAACUUUCGAGUGGAGAAAUUUCAUGUAUUUGUUGAGAUCAACGAUGAUGAUGAUCCAAGAUUUGCAAUUUUCGAGAGGAGAAUCAACGUUGAUUGUUGCGAUAAUGCUUGUCAGGGCAGCAGGGAAAAGUUUUUUCCUGGUGGUUUUGCGGCUUUUGCCCCCAAGUGAUGCUGCAAGUUUGCUGGAUUUCCCCCUAACGGUUUUUUGUCAUUUCCCGGAACGUUUUUGGAAUAAUUUUGCAUGUUGUUACAAAGAUCUCAUGCGGUUCGUUUACAGGAUUUUAAUAGGCCUUAUAUUUAUAUAAUUUACCUUCACUUACUCGUUCAAAUAUUUAGGUUGGAUUUUUUCCUAUGUGCAAAUAGCAAUUUUUACGUGAAAUGCAAACUAAACAUGCUUCCUUUUUAUUAUUAUUUUUUCUGCAAUUAAAGUGAUUCCUCUACCCUAAUGCAUACCAGAAAUAUAUUCAAAAGUGUGACAGGAAAAAGAACUCCUUGAAAUUUUGCAAAGUCGGAGGCGCUUUUUAGACCAAGCGAUGUCUCUCGGCUGCAUUGAAAUAUGUCUUCGUUUUCGUUUUCUUUUGUUCUUUUCCUCAAUCUUCAANNNNNNNNNNNNNNNNNNNNNNNNNNNNNNNNNNNNNNNNNNNNNNNNNNNNNNNNNNNNNNNNNNNNNNNNNNNNNNNNNNNNNNNNNNNNNNNNNNNNGCUGUUUUUUUUUUUUUUUUGUGUGUUCUCUGCCCAAACCUUAAUGAAGACUACUAAUUGGUGUUUGGUCUUUCAAAGUGUAGCAUUAUUGAGCAUCAUCAUCAACUCAUCAAGUUCGCUAAACUCAGUCAUCAAUUAACUAACGAUUCUUGUCUAACAGGAACUGCACCAACGUAGCAAGAAAAAGAUAAACAAAAACUCAGGCAAGAACUCAUUCGUUUUCAAGACUCGGUCAUAAAAAUCGAGGAAAAGAAACUAUGAAUAUGUGCCGGAUUUUUCUCUGCUGCCGUGCCCUUUUUAACCUACUUUUGACCCAGAAUUCGACCAUUUACAGCUCUCGGUUCCUUUUGUGUGUUUUCACACUGCUAAUUUCCUUCAUUCACACACGAAGGAAAGUCGUGUUGAAAGUGGCCUCCUUUCGGCCAACCAGGAGGAGGGAACGGAAAGGACUUCACUUCGAAGAGCGGGCACGUCCAAAAUUCUCAUAAGAAUUCCCAUUUAAAUUCGCCUGGAAAUUUAGAGUCGGGUUGUGUAACAGAUUGGUUCACAAUAAUUGCACUCUUAUUAGAAAGGGCAGUACAAUCACAAGAAUGUGAGAUUACAAAUGGAUGUUAUUAUGGGUCAAAUUAUCAGUGUUUUUCUUCGUUAAUUUUUAUGAAGAUGCGAUUGAAACCUUUGAGCUCGUAACAGUAAUUUAACUUAAAAACUAUUGAGUUAUUAUAGUCUUUAAAUCAUUCUUGGGACAUUUUUUUUUUCUUUUGGAUCUGAAGAUCCAAACUACAUAUGAAACGAGUCCCGUGAUUGGGAAAACACGAAUUUAGCAUAUUAUGCUUGCUCCUAAAUAUUUUUAUGUGGAUGCCACAUAACAAGUACCUAUAUAAGUUCAUGCAAAUAGGAUCCAACGAAUUAACAAUCCAAAAUUUGAGAGAAAAUAUGAAGUGAUUUUGUGCAUUUUUGAAACUCUGUUAGUGUACAUUCUUGUAGUUUUUCCUUGUCCAAAUAUACUGAUUUUCAACUUUCACUAAGAUGUUGCAAAUUCAAUUAGAAGCAUAUAAUUAAUAGUCCUAAUUAGCCAAGUCACAAAACCAAUCAUAAGAGAUUCAUUGCGGUUGUCACAAAGUCUUGAAUUGGUGGGAUGGUUAUUCCCAUGGCAAGAGCGGCUAACAUCGCAAACUUCAUCCUCUAGGGAUUAAGUUAAAAUAUUACCUUUGGCACUUAAGGUGUUCUUAUACUCCAUAAUAAAUAUGUUACUUAUUUUAUCAAUUAAUCUACCCUCAAUAAUAUGCUAAUAUUGGUUUAGAUAAUUUGUCGAUUUGGCUAUAACUUGGAAUAAGAGACAAUAACAAUAUAAAUCUAAUAUUGAAAAAAAUUUGUAUGAUUUUUUUUUUCACUUAUUAGUUAUUCUUUUAGCAAUUACCGAAUAACAUCAUUCAAACUGCAUAAUGCCAAAUCUAUUUUUUUUUUCCAAUUACAUUAUGCCAUAAAUGUGCGAAUCAACAUACAUGAUUUCACCUCAAACAAAUGGACUUUUUUUAUGAAUAAAUUUUUUAAAAAAAAAAGAUAGAAAAAUAGCUCAUAUUAGGGCCAUUUACCAGGUAAUGCAAAUUAAAACCAAGUCUUAUUUAUGUCUAUUAAAAAUUUCCAAUGCCAUAUCAUAUCAUUUACACCUAAAAUGCAUAGAAUAUACAUUCGGAGAAGAAGGAAGAUAAGAGAAACUUAAACAAAAGAGCAUUUCUAUCUGUCGUAAGAUAGAAAGUAAACAUCAAAUUUAGAUAAUCUUACUUUAAAUACUUAUGUAGCAAGCACAUUCAUAAAAAUUAGAACAUAAUGUAAGCCUAAACAAUAAUAUAACGAUUGAUUUAUAUAAAGUGUCAAUAUAACAUUAUGCAAAAAAUUUAUACAUGUAAUAUGGGUUCAUAUCAAUAAAUGGAAUUGGAAGUAAAUUUCUGAAUCUGUGCAACCCAUGGGUCUUUGUUUACUACACAUUCUACAAAAAAAUGCAGUCAUAAGUUACAAUUUGAUGGAAUCACCUACCAAUUCUACUCACAUCAUAGGAAAUGUUUUCUAGCAGCUGGAUGGCUUGGAAUAUUUUGGGGCCAGAGAUGGACACAUUUCAUUCAUAUGAGGGUACAGGUCUACUGUAUUGUAUCCUGGCAGCUCCANNNNNNNNNNNNNNNNNNNNNNNNNNNNNNNNNNNNNNNNNNNNNNNNNNNNNNNNNNNNNNNNNNNNNNNNNNNNNNNNNNNNNNNNNNNNNNNNNNNNNNNNNNNNNNNNNNNNNNNNNNNNNNNNNNNNNNNNNNNNNNNNNNNNNNNNNNNNNNNNNNNNNNNNNNNNNNNNNNNNNNNNNNNNNNNNNNNNNNNNNNNNNNNNNNNNNNNNNNNNNNNNNNNNNNNNNNNNNNNNNNNNNNNNNNNNNNNNNNNNNNNNNNUAAAAAAGAUAACCCAACUAGGGUCAAUCAGAUCGCACUUACAGUGAACUCUGUAACAUGAAUGGAGCUAGAAAUUGGAUCAAGAGUCCUGCUGCUUUGUACAUUCAAGAACAAAAGCUACACAAGAGGCGGACUUCCCAUCACUAUAUACCCAAUGGUCUUGCUCUGGAGUGUCAGCAGUUCAGCAAAAGAUGACCCCCUCAUU
RNAcentral lists this long non-coding RNA (140542 nucleotides) under Eucalyptus grandis. RNAcentral's name for it is "long non-coding RNA (EGRA_LNC003569)". Lineage: Eukaryota; Viridiplantae; Streptophyta; Magnoliopsida; Myrtales; Myrtaceae. The record is from RNAcentral.